RNAcentral lists this long non-coding RNA (112111 nucleotides) under Citrus x clementina. Its description in RNAcentral is "Citrus clementina (C. clementina) long non-coding RNA (CCLE_LNC002036)". The stretch from base 47223 to 47296 matches the Rfam family "tRNA". Lineage: Eukaryota; Viridiplantae; Streptophyta; Magnoliopsida; Sapindales; Rutaceae. The record is from RNAcentral.
AGCGGCCAAGCACGCUACUUAUGUGCCUCACACUGCUGGGAGGUACUCAGUUAAGCGUUUCCGGAAGGCCCAAUGUCCCAUUGUUGAGAGGCUUACGAACUCUCUUAUGAUGCACGGUCGUAACAACGGCAAGAAAUUGAUGGCCGUCAGGAUUGUUAAGCAUGCCAUGGAGAUCAUUCACCUUUUGACUGACCAGAACCCAAUUCAAGUCAUUGUUGACGCUGUCAUCAACAGGUAUUGAAGUCUGAUUUCUCUAAAACAUUGUGGAAGUUUUUCUUUGCUAUUUAUGCAACUGGUUUAUCGAUGUGCUCUUUUAUUGAAUUAUCUCGAAUUUCCUUUGUUGCUGCAGUGGUCCAAGGGAAGAUGCUACCCGUAUUGGAUCUGCUGGUGUUGUUAGGCGUCAGGCUGUGGAUAUUUCCCCAUUGCGCCGUGUGAAUCAAGCGAUCUAUCUACUCACCACUGGUGCUCGUGAAUCUGCUUUUCGUAACAUCAAGACUAUUGCCGAAUGCUUGGCCGAUGAACUCAUUAAUGCUGCCAAGGGUUCAUCUAACAGGUAACCAACCAAUCAUGGCCUUGGUUCUGCUCUGUUACUUCUUUACUUACAAUUUCUUGAAACUGAUUGUUACCACUUGCAUUUUCAGCUAUGCGAUCAAGAAGAAGGAUGAGAUUGAGAGAGUGGCAAAGGCCAAUCGCUGAGGACGUGAUAGUGGAGAAGCAGAUGCAGAAAGUUGUACUUUUAAAAAAAAAAAAAACUUUUGGACGAUGUUUUGUUGCUAUUUUAUGAAUGUUGUUUCAAGUUUUGAGUAGAUGAUAUUGAGGAUGCAUUUAGUGACUUACCGGUUCCAUAUGCCAUGUGGUGGAUGUUACGAUGGAGUCUGCACAACUUAGUCAAACUAGAAUUUGAUGGUUUAUAAAUUCUGCUGUUUGUGAUUACCACAGUGCUUCUUGAAUGCAUUCUUCUGAAGAUUGAUGUGAUUUUUUCUCUCUUUAUUACUGGCAUAUCCUUAGAAUUUAAAUGGUUUUUUAAUGUUAUAUAUAUAUAUAUAUAUAUAUAUCAUUCAAUGAGGUCACUUUGACUUGGCCCGUAGGCGAAUGUUGAGUCUUUGAGUUCUUAAUUGCAUUUUGAAAAUUAAUCUUAUUUCUUAAUCAAUAUCCAUAAUAUAAUAUGAAAACCAAAUUUGUGAAUUUGAUUCAAGCUUUCCCUGUCCAAACCCAAGCCCAAGUCGAAGCCCAGGGGUCUGUUAAUAAAAAUUAAAAGAAAACAUAAAAUUAAAGGAAAGCAAUAGAAAUUCUCCUGCGGUCAAAAGGUUUUGUAAGAAAAAGAAUUUUGUUCUUACCGGAUUUCUUGAGGAAUAUCGAUAAGGUUACUUUUUGUGUGUGUGUGUCUGUGUGUGUGUGUAUUUAAUAGGGUACCUUUAGAGGGGUGCUUCUUAUAAGUCUAUUUAUAAAAUAGUUCGAUGCGGAUUAUUUAUAAUUGUUAGAUGCAAACAAACUUGUUGACAUUUCAAAUAUUUUUUUUUCAAUAGAAUAACAAGAGUAAUGAUACACUUUCGUGAGGGAAUUUACUAAAAAAUUGAAAGCAAUCGAAUUUUCUAACUAAGGUACUAGUAAAAAAUAAAGUAUUAUUUUAUGCUAUAUAAUACGUAAUAUUUUCAAAAGAUAGAGCAAAUUCAAGUUUCAAUUAGUAUUCCCUAAUUAUACUCAUUUAUGUUCGUAGAGCAACAAUAAAGAAUUGCAUAAAAUUAAAUUUGAUAGAAAUCAUAAGUUAAUUCAUAUCGUUCUUCAAUAAAAUAUGAACUAGGUAUUUUGGUUUGUUUAUUCUUUAUUUAUUCAAAAUCAUUAACUAGUUUUUCUCGACAUGUAUUGAUUAUUUACUGGGUGAGGCUAAUUACACUUUAAAAACUGAUUUCAACACUCUAUUACUUUGAACACUCAUUUAUUAAAUUUAAAAAAUUAUAUUUUACUUUGUAUACUCUUUCAAAUACCAAAACAAUUCCUUACUUAAACUACUUUAAUUAAUUAUCUUUAUUUACUCCGCACACUUAUAAAAAUACUCAUCUUAAAAAAAUAAAAUAAGGCACUCAAAAUUUUUAUGGAUUAGUUUGUAAUUUAAUAAUUUAUUUAAAAUAAUUCAUUUAAGAUCUUUUAGAGAAGUAAGAUUAUAAUUUCUGCUGGUUUUCUUUAAAGUAAUUUCUGUUGGUAUUAUUAAUGAAUAUUUCACUCAUUCAAUUAACGCCAUGACUACAACUUAGAAGAAUAAAAAAUAAAUGGAUCAUGGAUGAAUACUUUUCUCAAUCAACAUGGUCAACGUACAAUUUCACUUAAAUGAAUUUUCUAACUUAAUAGAUGUUUGUGGUCUAUAGUCAUUCUUAAUGGCCGUGAUUCAUAAUACAUUGGCACGAACCUGUUAAUUAACACUUAUAUUUAUGUAAAUUUAAUAAUUCGUAGUCGGUGGAUUGAUUAUUGAUCUAUUUUUGUAAAUUCGUAAAAAUCCGAGAAUUCGUAAAAAAAUAAAAAGUAUUUAUUUAAUUAAAAAUAAAACUUGUAAAUAUGACAUUAGUACUUGCUAGUAAAUAAAUAAGUUAAAAUAUAGUUACAUUAACACUAUAUUAUAUCUUAUUCGAUAAUAACAUAAAAUAAAAAAUAACUAAAUAAACAAAUAUAGCUUCCUAAAUAGUAAAUUUUCAUUUUGGUGUGUUAUAUUUUGAAACUUUAAAUGCAUUUUCUAGUUUUAUUUAAACAAUUAAUUUAUUUAAAUCUUAUUUAAUUUUAAAUUUGGUCGGUAGUAAAAUUAUUUUUAUAUUAAUUUUUUUUAUUUAGUUAAUUCGUGGAUUGGACAUAAUUAAAAAUUUUCAGUCCAUAAACCAAUCCGCAAAAUGAUGGAUUUGGUCAAAUCCUCAUAUGAUCCAUAGAUGUAUGAAUUAGAUUUAGAUUGAAUUUCACCAAUAUAUGGAUUGGAUUGGAUUGAAAAUUUAUAGUCCGUAAAAUUGUGGAUUGGAUAUGGAUUGUUGUCCAAUCCAUAAAAUCUGAUUCGCGAACACCCCUAAGGGUCGGUUUGGGAUUGCGGUUGAAAUUCAAUAAGCCACUUAUUUCAUAAUUUUUGAUAAAAAUAUUGUUUAAUAAAUUUUAUAAAAUCGGCUUAUUUCAUAAUUUUCUCAAUUUUAUCAGCAACUUUUAAAAGCAGGUAAGGAAUUGCUUUUCGUAAGCAGCUUAUUUAAUAAGCUACCACACCUUUUUAAAAUUCUUAUUACAACCCUGCAUUUUAAUCAAAAGACAAUUGUAUCUAACUUAUUCAUAAACGCUAAUAUAUAAAUCAUCAGAUAUCAUAUUAUCGCUAUAAUUUAGUUACCACCAUAAUUACGUACAUUCUCUCCGGUUUUGAUUCGGUAAGUUCAUAUUCUAAUUGAGUUUUCUAAUGUAAGUUCAUAUUCUAAUGUAAUUUUACAUAUUUAUGAAAAAAGAUAUGUCUAAAUAAUUUAUUAAAUAUACUCUAAAAAUAACAAGUAAUUAAAACUUAUGUUUAUUUUGGUCAUCAUAUAAUAAAACAACACUUUUGUGAGAAAAUUUAUCAAACGCAUGUACUCUACUUUUUAAACUUACAGUAACCACAACAAUACAAUUUACCAAAUAUUAAAUUAUUUUUUUAAUCAGUAGCUUAUUUUAUUUACACGACACAAAUAAUUUAUUUCAUCAGCCCCGUAAUCUCAAACUAACACUAGGAAUAACUGAUUUGAUAUUGUUACCUUACUUGAAGAGUUUAAUGCUGUUGAUUAAAAGGAAAAUAAAAUUUAAGAACUGGGACCAAACAUGCCAGGCCCAGCCCAAAGAUCCUUCAUUUGAGAAAAUUAAAAUCAAAUAAAAAAAAAGAAAAAAAGAAAAAAAGCUCUUAGGUGGCUUAAACGGUUAAACCUGCUCUGCUCGACUGCUCCGCUCCGCUCCGUAGUUUUUUUCAUCGGGUCCGGGUAGAGACCCAAAGGUCUUGAGCGACCGAUCCGGCUGAACAACUCAAAAGAUAAAGAAGUAUCGUAAGUGCAAACUGAAUUUGUUUCUUGCAAUGAAGCUUGUGCGCCUGAGAACAACGCUGUACAACAUCAAAGCACAAUUGGGUCUCGGGAAUGUAUUGGAUUCUUCUUCCUCUUACUCGACGGCGACAAGAACUACGACUCGAGAAGUGACAAAUAGUUUGCGGAAGGGUUCAUCAAUGUAUAAGCUUUACCGCAUGCUUUCUCCAAUGGGGGACCCAAAUGAUUCAAUGGUUCCGCUGCUCGAUCAAUGGGUCGAAGAAGGACGCCCAUUGGAUAUGGAACAGCUCCGAAUCAUCAUUAAGAAGUUUCGGUUGUACAAACGAUUCUCUCACGCUCUCCAGGUAUUAAAAGUCGUAAUAUUUUUAUUAUUAUUUGCAUUGCAAUUUUCAAAAAAGUUCUGUUGAAAAUGUUUGUUACUGUAAUGAUUUUAUGGCUCCAAAAAAUUUGUAUCAUGUUCCCCUUUGAUGGCAUUUUGAGAUGUAGUAGUAGAUUUGGGAAUUGUAGCGGGAUAGCCUAGCCUCAUGAAUCCGGAUAGCUAAAACUUUCAUUUUUGCUCUAUGUUGUGUAGUUCAUAUAUGGAUUAUCUGAAAUUGAAACGAUUUCAGUUUCAUUACUAGUUUUUGGACUGUAUUUUUGCACCUUUGCUCCCAAGCCUGUUGAUGGUCCUGUUGGUUGAUGAGAAUAGAUUGAUUGAGUUAACAAGUCUACUUAACUUAAUGAGACUGAUCAAGGGAGCCGUUUUUUGUUUUCUGUAAAUUCGACUUUCGGGGAAGCAUACUGGAUUUGAGCUACCUGUGAUAAGUGGAACCAUUGGUUUCUUGUUAUUAGUAAGGAUGCUUAUUCUGUUUUAUGAUUUCAUUUUUUUGUCAUCUCAUUGGUUUAUCUCCCCGUCCCCCUUCCUUCCCAGAUAUCUAUGUGGAUGACCAAGAAGAGCAACUUCGUACUCACACCUGCUGAUGUUGCCAUUAGGCUAGACUUGAUUGCUAAAGUUCAGGGAAUAGAACAAGCAGCAAAUUAUUUCAAUUGUGUUCCAGAAAAGUUAAAGCUUCCCAGCGUUUAUAUUGCUCUCCUCAAUGCCUAUGCCUGUGCAAAAUCUGCAGAAAAGGCAGAGAUUAUCAUGCAGCAAAUGAGGGAUCGGGGGUUGGUUAAAAAAACUAUAGAUUACAAUUCCAUGAUGAAUGUUUAUUAUCAGACUGGAAAUUACAAGAAACUUGACAGUCUGAUGCACGAAAUGGAAGAAAAGGGUAUUGAUUGUGACAAAUAUACAUUCAGCAUCCUUCUCAGUGCGUAUGCAGCUGCUUCUGAUGGUGAGGGAAUUGACAAGAUUGUGGCAAUGAUGGAAGCGGAUCGGGGUGUUGUUUUAGACUGGACAGUUUAUGCUACAGCAGCUAGUGGAUAUGUAAAAGCUGGGCUUUCGGACAAGGCUUUGGCAGUGUUAAGGAAGUCUGAGGUACUAAUGAUGCACAACAAAUUCAGUAGAGCAUAUGAUUUUGUUAUCACACAAUAUGCAGCAUGUGGGAAUAAAGAUGACGUUUUAAGAGUUUGGAAACACUACAAGCAGAACUUGAAGGUUUACAAUAGGGGCUAUAUUUGUGUUAUAUCUUCCUUGUUGAAAUUUGAUGGCAUGGAAAGUGCUGAGAAGAUUUUUGAGGAGUGGGAGUCUCGUAAUUUAUGUCAUGAUAUCCGAAUUCCAAAUCACUUGAUCGAUGCAUACUGCAGAAGAGGGCUUUUGCACAAGGCUGAAACUCUUAUCUACAAGGCACAGUUGAGGGGGACAGAGCCUAAUGUCAGGACAUGGUAUCUUAUGGCAACGGGGUAUCUUCAAAAUAAUCAAAGUGAGAAAGGAGUGGAAGCAAUGAAGAAAGCGUUAGUGCUUUUGGAAGCUGGAACCAGGUGGAAGCCAAGCAAGGAAUGUUUGGCUGCCUGUCUGGGAUACUAUAAAAAGGAAAGAGAUAUUGAGGGGGCAGGUUAUUUCAUAAAAUUACUUACCGGCAAGGAAAUUAUCUCUGCAGAUCUUCAUGAUAGAUUGUUAAAUAAUAUACGAAAUGGGUAAUCAAAUUGGAUUGUACGCAGCUGAGUUCUCUGGUAAUUCUUUGGCUGGGAAGGGAGAAUCACUUUUGAACCUUAAGAAUGUUAGCAGUAUUAAGAAGAGGAAACGCUGCAAACACAAAAUUACAACAAGAAAAGGAGUAUGACGGCGUUUAUUUUGUGAGAGCUUUCCAUGUAUUUUGAUUGGAAGGCGCAAUAAUGUUCAGAAAGUUGAUGAAAUUGUUCAGUUUACGUGCAGCAUUAUAAUAAAACUGCUUUUACUAGAUUUGUUUCUUCAAAACCAACUUCAAGCUAAGACCAAUGCUUGUAAAGUUUCACAAGUCCAGAAUGAGUUUCUGGGAAUGACACUUGCCCAAUUAGAGACUGAAUCUGCUAAGACGGCUCACAGUAUUUCUACCUAUAGAAAAGAUCGUGAAAGAGGCGAUCAGAAUGGUACUCGAAUCCAUUUUACGGUCUUGAUUUUCGAGAGCCAUCGCACUUCCACUCGGGUUCGAGCCUGCCACUCGGUCCUAAGAUGGAUCAAAGAAGAAUGGGGAAUCUCUCGCUGGUUUUGACACCUUUUUAUACUAAACUGUGAACUUAUCAAAAUAGCCGAAUUCAAGUUAUUAAGUAAUAAUAAAACUAAAUUUCCAAAAUCAAGCGCAAGUAAAAAAAAAAAAAUCAAUUUGACUUGUAGAAAAUAAAAUAAAAUAAAAUACAAAUUUGAGAAAAAUUUGGAAAAAUUAUAAAGAAAACUUCAAAUAAGUAAUUGAGGCCAAAAUGAAGGAAUUGGAGAUGAUCUGUUGAUUUAUAAUAAUAAAAUCCUAUGAAUCACAUUCCAUUGCUAUGUUUGGAAGUUUGAAAUGGUAUAUUACAUAUCCUAAAAUAAACACUUAUGUUUGGUUUGAAGAAAUAUAAAGAGAAGAGAGGAAAGGAGCAGAAAAAAAUGAGGAGAGAAAAAUAAAUUUCUUAUUUAGUUAAAUAAAAAAAUAAGAGUAAGGUGGCGUUUGUUUUUUUGUCUGAAAUCUGAAUAGACCUGAAUUAGUCUGAAUUCUGAAUAGGUCUGAAUGUCUGAAUCUGAAUAAUAUGUUUGUUUUUUCGUCUGAAUCUCGAAAAAUAAGUAUUAAGUUGUUUGUUUUUUUCAACUUAAAAAGCUGAAAAUAUGUACUUUUACAUUUGUAUCCUUAUUAAAUUUGAAUGUCAAAUAAAUAAUAUAUUAAAUACCACAAUAUUUUAACAUUUAUAAGUAAAACUAUAUUCAAAUGAAUACAUAAUUAUUUUAGAAUUUUAAUAUAUAAAAUACCAUAAAUUUCAAAUUUUAUCAUAUAUAAUAUAAGAAAGAAAAAACAGGGAUAUUUUUAUGUGGGGUAAAUAUCUAUAGGUGAGUUUUGGGAUAGACAUGAAAAAUGAAUUAUAAAACAUGGAUAUUUUUGACAUUAGCAAGUAAUUGACUUAAUUCAGAUUUCUCCAUUAAGUAAAAAGCCAAAAAAAUUAGCUUAUUUUAUUAAGUCAAAAUUAUCUAAAAAGUCUCAUUAAGUUAUAAAAACAAACACCUCUAAUUAACUUAAUUAAUUAAGUUAAGUCACUUUAAAUCAUUAAGUUAAAAAACAAACGCCACCUAAAUCUAUUUUUUACUCAUUUUCUCUCAACUCUUUCUUUUCUGUACAUCUCCUCUUCUACCAUUUCUUCCAACCAAACAUGGGUUGGAGUUUUAGUUACCGGCCCAAAAAUUAUACUAGGCAUUCUCCCAAACCUUGCCUACAUCAGAUAGUUUGAGGAUGACGUAAUUCAUAGUAACUAGUAGAAAAUGUAAUUAAAUUUUAACGCAAUAAUAUAAUUAAAUAUUAAAAUAUAGUCAGCUAUAGAAGUUUAUUAUUAUUAGAAGAAAAAAAAGGACUGUUAGUCCUCUAAUAUUUGGAACAGAAACAUAAAAUCCUCUAAUAGUUUAAAAAAAUAUAUAACUUUUAUAUUCUAUUAAUCUUUAAUUUACUUUAACUGAGAAAUAGGUAAUAUUGUAUAUUCACAAAAAAAAAAUGAUUGUAUUUUUAAUAAAUGACGUAUAAAACUUAUAAAAUCAUAUUCUUCCCUAAAAUUACAGCUGCAACUACUCUACAAAUUAAUAAGAUUUACAAUAUAUUUUUUAAAAUUGAGUGAGUUUUUUACUCCUUUCCAUACGUUAGAAUCCUAAAACCCCAUUUCCCCAUUACCCUUUUAUCACAAACCCUACAUUGUUCUGUCAUUUCCCCGUAAACUGAAAAUUUUCAAGCAAAUGAAGCUCCCACGCUACUAUACAGUACUCUACAACAUCAAAGCUCAAUUGGGUCUGGGAAAUGGGCUGGGUUUAUCCUCUUACGCGACAGCGACGAGUACCGCAACUCGAGAAAGUAAGUGGAAGGGUUCAAUGCAUACUCUUUUCCGUAGGAUUUCUCCAAUGGGAAAUCCAAAUGUCUCGAUCGUUCCGCUACUCAACCAAUGGGUUGAAGAAGGACAUCCGGUCGACAAACAACAGCUCCAAAGGUUCAUCAAGGAGCUGCGAUUUUUCAGCCGAUUCACUCACGCUCUUGAGGUAUCAAUUUAAGGGUCCUUUUUUUGAAAUAAUUUUUUUUAAAAUUGUUUUGGAAAUUACUAAUUAAACGAUGCGUUUGGUUCUCUUGAAAAGAAAAUGGAGAUUUUAUAAUUUAAUUUGAGUAUUUUGCAUUGCAGUUCAAGAAAUUCCGUGCUCAUAGACUGAAUAUUUGUAAUGAAUUUAUUAGAAAAUCUUGACGACGCCCAUGGGCUCCAUUGAUUUUUUAGCAAGGUUUAUUUGCGGUUCAUUUUGCAAUUUUGAGUAACAAUUUGUGCCAUAAUGAAGUCAUAUGUUACAUUUGCCUGUUCUAUUUGAAGGUAUUGAGUUGACUGUUUCUUGAACUUCUCCUGGUUUUUGGGAGCUGAACCGCCAAGCUUUAGUAUCUGAUCUCUUUUGUGUAUUUCUCAGAUGGAUCUUUUACAUUUAUUUAUCAUAAGAUUUUAGCGAUGAGUUGUUUUUAGCUGUCAUCCAAUUCCUAAUUGAUAAUCCCAAUUUUUUUAUCCGGGCAAACUACAUUCAGCAAGGAGAGGGAAAUAGCUGCAGUUAUCAACACUUUUUGCUGUUCUACUCAACUAUAUUUUUGGCGAAGAAUAAAAAUCAUUAGCUGCUGAUGCUAAUUAGACACUGUAUUGUUGUUAUUAAACUUUUUGGAUAUUUCAUCAUGAUUUUGGGUAUCUCCAAUGUUUGGCUUCCUAAUAUUAUGAUCUGUCCCCCCUCUCUUCCCCAGAUAUCGAUGUGGAUGACAGACAAAAGGUAUCUCAAUAUUACAGCUGCUGAUGCUGCUGUUCAGCUGGACUUGAUCGCUAAAGUUAAAGGCAUAGAAGAAGCAGAAAAUUAUUUCAGUUAUAUCCCAGAAAAAAUAAAGGGCCUUGAGGUUUAUUCUGCUCUUCUCAACUGCUAUUCCAAUGUAAAAUCCACAGAUAAAGCAGAGGCCACCAUGCAGAAAAUGAGAGAUUUGGGGCUGGCUAGGACAACACUGGUUUACAAUAGCAUGCUUAAGCUUUAUUAUAAAACUGGAAAUUUUGAGAAACUUGACAGUCUGAUGCACGAAAUGGAAGAAAACGGCAUUACUUAUGACAGAUACACGUAUUGCACCCGUCUUAGUGCAUAUGCUGAUGCUUCUGACCAUGAGGGAAUUGACAAGAUUUUGACAAUGAUGGAAGCAGAUCCCAAUGUUGCAUUGGACUGGGUAAUUUAUGCUACUGUAGGAAACGGGUAUGGAAAAGUUGGGCUUCUAGACAAGGCUUUAGCAAUGUUGAAGAAAUCUGAGGAACAAAUAAAGGGUGCAAAGGUCAAUAGCGCAUAUAACGUCAUUCUCACUUUAUAUGGAAAAUAUGGGAAGAAAGAUGAUGUUCUAAGAAUUUGGGGAACUGUACAAGAAAGCAGUGAAGGUUCUCAACAAUGGCUAUAGAAAUGUCAUAUCUUCCCUGCUGAAACUUGAUGACCUAGAAAGCGCUGAGAAAAUUUUUGAGGAGUGGGAAUCCCAGGCUUUAUGCUAUGAUACCCGGAUACCAAACUUCCUUAUUGAUGCGUACUGCAGAAAUGGGCUUUUGGAGAAGGCUGAAAAUCUUAUAAACCAUGAGAAAUUGAAGGGAAGGGAGAUUCAUGUGAAGUCAUGGUACUAUUUAGCUACAGGGUAUCGGCAGAAUAAUCAAAUUCAUAAAGCAGUUGAAGCAAUGAAGAAAGUAUUAGCAGCUUAUCAAACUUUGGUCAAGUGGAAGCCAAGUGUGGAAAGCUUGGCUGCAUGUCUUGAUUACUUUAAAGAUGAAGGAGAUAUUGGUGGAGCAGAGAAUUUCAUAGAACUCCUCAAUGAUAAAGGUUUUAUCCCCACGGAUCUUCAAGACAAAUUAUUGGAUAACGUUCGAAAUGGAAAAUCAAACUUGGAAACUCUCAGGGAGUUGUAUGGUAAUUCUUUGGCUGGAAAUGAAGAAAUACUUUCAGGUCCAGAGGGUGAUACCAGUGAUUUGAUAGAAGAGAAAGUACAUUGAAACAUGAUUUCCGAAGACCUCUCUAACUUUCCCAUAACCUAGCAUUAGGUAGUAGAAGCAAAAUGAGCAUGAAGGUUUAUUUGGUGAUUGUAAGAGAUAUUUUCAUGUCCAUUUUGGGAUAAUGGCGAUGAAGCCACUUCUGAAUCCAUCAUCUUAGAUGGUUAAUGAAGGAAGUAUGUUUAUGUUUCUUCCAAAUUAUUUGUGGUGGUGGUGGUCGGAUAAAUGGUUGCUUUCACCCAAAACAAAAAACAAGUGAGAAAAUGAGGAAUCAUCCUUGUUUAUUCUCUGUAAAAAAUUAAUUUCUUGUUCAAAGAGACUCUCUUAAAGAUUCUGUAUAUCUCUGAAAGAAUUUUAAGGAAAGUUCUAUUCUUAAACGAAGGAUUACUACAUUUUUUGCACGAACAAUUUUUAAAUUUCACAAUUCUGAAACUUGCUGAUUGUAUAAAAAUAAAAGGUAAUGAUAUAGUCAUAAGUUUUUGUACAAAAAUAAAUAAAAAAUGUAUACUAAUCAGUCUAAUCUAAUUUAUUAAGACAUUAUGGCGUCACUUGGCAUGGUAAAAAUAAUUUUUUUUUCUUUUAUGAAAUAAUAAUUGUUUAAAAAAGACGAACAAUUUUACUACUCGUAUAAAGAAUUACUCAUCUCUGCAUACAAGCUACAGCAGCCGCGGCAGCCAAAAGUAACCAAAAUGGAGGAGCUCAAAGAAAACAAAAUGCACCUCAAAAACGACGACGUUGAAGUCGAAGAGGAUGAUGACCGGCCGAUGCUGAGCUCUCAAGCUUUGGCAGCUCUUCAGGAAUUCCUUUCAGAACAAAACCAAACUUCGGAAACUGCUCAAAAUAAAACAGAAUCAGACUCAGAUGAGGUGGCGUUAGUGUCGGAGGACUGGAGGCUGAGCCAGUUCUGGUACGACGCCGUUACGGCAGAGACUGUAGCUCAAGAAGCCGUUUCUCUUUGUAGUGAUUCCGAUUCUCGCGUUGCCUGUAUUGCUUGCCCCACGCUCUACGCUUACUUAAAGGUAAUUUAUUUAUUGAUUGAUUGAUUAUUUGUAUGUAUUUACUCUUUUUUUUUUUGGGAGAUAAAAUUGAUUCAUUUGAAUUUACAGAAAAUUAGACCUGAGGUGUCGGCGAAAAUACUUGAAUACGACAUGCGUUUUGAGCAAUAUGGAAGUGAUUUUGCGUUUUAUGAUUAUAAUCAACCGCAAGAUUUGCCGUUGGAGCUCAAGCAUGCUUUCAAUGUUGUUGUCGCAGAUCCACCUUAUCUGGUGAGAUUUUAUUAAUCAUCAUUUUAAUUUAUUCAAAAAUGGUUAAAUUGUUGAAAUGCUAGUAGCUUAGUACAUAAUUUUUUGUUAAUUUUUAAUCUGCUUCCAUGUAACUGUGGAGCAAUGAGAUUAAUAUUGGUGAUUAUGGUCGUAGAUUGGACGCAUAGUCACUACUAUUCUACUAAGCUUUUAAGCCUUUGCGAGGGUAGACAAUUUUUCUUGCCUUCUAAUGUCUAUGAUCUCUUAAUAUUUUGAAAAAUAAUCUUGUUAGAAAAAUGAUAAAUAAGUGUUUUGAAUUCCUUUGAGGCUUGGACACCCUGUGCCAACUCCAAGCAUUUUAUGGGUUAUUUAAAAAGGAAAAAUUAAGUUGGACUUGUUGCAAUUGCAUGAGUUCAUCCAUUUGUAUCUUACGUAUCCCUGGUAGAUGCAUGUGGCGGGGAACAUGAUUCCUAGUUCUAUGUCUAGCUGUGAGCAUAUUGUAUGGUCAAGUUUGGAAUCACAUGCUUAUAAAUGUAAGUAGAAAUUGAUGGGUUGAUUCUAUUGAUAUGUGUGAUCAACAGAGCAAGGAGUGUCUGGAGAAAGUAAGUGAAACAGUUUCUUUUCUUGCUAGACCAGGGGAUUCGAAGUUGCUUCUACUCACAGGUUGACAUUGAUUCUCCAUCCAUUCUUGUAACAUAAUUGCUCUUUAUAUGUUUGGUUUAUACCUUUUGAAAGAAUUUAGUGACCCUGUUAUUAGUUACUCUUACCACAUAAUUUUCUUAGGCUUUUCUUUGUAGCCUUUUCAUGGUAAAUUCGAUAGAUUGCAUUUGUGAUGGUUGCAGGUGAGGUGCAGAAGGAGAGAGCUGCAGAGCUUUUAGGUUUGCGUCCGUGUGGUUUUAGACCACAGCACUCUAGCAAACUUGGGAAUGAAUUUCGACUAUUCACAAACUAUGGCCCGGGUACGAGAUUAGGAGGGUGGGAGCAAGAGAACUAGGUGCAUGUUGCUUUCUACAACUGGACUAAUGUUACCUGGCCAAUGGUAUGACCAUAUGUGGUUUCUGUAUUUAUAGUCCUUGUAUUAUUUUGAUUGCUUAAAAAAAAAAAAAAGGUAUAGAUAUCAGUUAGCUAAUAUCUUGAGCCAUGAUUGUCAUUCUAGUUUAGAUAUCUGACAUUUGAAUUAUGGCAACAGAUUUGAUUACAGUUUCUUAUUUUAGCUGCAAAAACUAAGAUGAUGGUGGGAGGCUUUCACUUUCGAGUUGUAAUUAUGGAAAAACUCCAGCUGAAUUGUGCUCUCAUUGCUCAGCAUGAAAGUGAACUGCAAGGAGAAUGUGUUUCUUUCACUUUGUUCUUGUGUUAUUUUCCUCUCUUACUUUUUUUUUCCUCGUUUUAAGACCAAUUUUGACAUUUAACUAUGAACCGGUACAUUAUCCUGUACGAAAUUGCAAAUUUGUAUGUUUUGAGAUAAUGUAGUCGGAAUAUUUCCAUUUUUUCCUGAUCUUCUCUUCCCCAAAGAAAGUGUGUAAACCCAAAAGCUUUUAGAAUUUUCAUCGUAUUUUACCCGGGAUGCAGCAUAGACUAACAAGUAGUUUGAAACGUAUACUCAUUGACGUUGUAUUAGAACUGCGGAAAGUUGUGCUCAAAUGAUGGAACAUUAUUAUAGAUUUUCACGUGGUGAGUGAUUUAUCUAAAUUAUGUGUGAAUUGUAGAAAAUUUGUGUGUAUACGAUAUGAGAUGCAUGACUCUAUAAUUAAUAGGUGAAUUGUAUAAAGUUCAAAUAAUGUAACAUAUGGUGCGAAAUUAUCUCAAAUUGUCUUGUAAUUAGUGAUUUUUAAAAUUAUGUGUGAAUUGCAUAAAAUUUGUGUGUAUACGAUAUGAGAUGCAUUACUCUAUAAUUAAUAGGAUUAAUUGAAUCCUUACUAAGUUUAUUUGAUUAUUGAAGUUAAAUAAGAAAUUAUUUUUAAUUUGAGUCUUAAUAUCAUGUCAUAUUAUUUAGGUAUUCAAAUAGUGACGUAUCUAAUAUUACUUAAACAAAUAUUAACUUUUGUGACAUCUUAUUUAAAAAAAAUAUCAAAAGAUCAAAAAGCACCUAAUUGUCAAACCUAAACUUAAACCAUGUUUGGAAUUGAGGUGAUAUAACUUUUAAAUUAUGUGGAAAAAAAGUUAUAAUUAUGAAAUAAAAGUUAAUAUUACGUAGUAAAUAUAAUUAAAAAAAAUAAUUUUGAUAAAAUUAGUAAAGAUAUAAUAGAUUUUUCAUUAUAUAAGUGUAAAAUUAAAUCAACUUAAUUUUUAAAUUAUAAUAAUUAAUAUUUACCAAAUAUUUUAGUGGCGUAACUUUUCAGGUACAAUUGUCUAAUCUCUUCCUCAAACAAGCUAAUCAAAUUGGACUAACAACUUUUAAUAUAUUUUGGCUUCAAAUUUUAUAAUUUCACAAAUAGGAGAAAGUUUAACAAUUUGUAUCAAAUAGGUCCACAGCAGGCAGUAGUGAUUUGGACAAUUGGACAGUAUAUGUCCUUAAUUAAGAAAACGUUAAAGAUUCAGGGACCCGAAUGUUGUAAAGGAUUACUGGAUUAGGUGGAUCCGAACCCGAAGCAAAAAUUGGAAAUCUCUCGAGAUUCUGAGGCAUCGGUCAAGAUGCCACCUUUUUUUAUAAAAUGAUCGGCAGGUUCGCUAAAAGACUUCAAGUAAAAGUCACCGAGAAGCUUACUUCUUGACGUGCAAAAUGAGACCCAACAUUGUUUCGGAGGUAAGCUCAGUCAGAUCUAACACACUACAACUCUGUGUUGUUAGGGUUUCAUAAUUCGAAUAAUCGUGAUUUUUUUUAUUGCAAAGUAAAAACGUUACUUUCUUUCGUACUUGCCGAGAAAGUGUGAGAAAAUGUAACGAAAUGAAAGUUCUUGGAUCGUAUCUGUUGUUCUUUCUAAAAUUUGUGCUUCUUUAUGUUAGUUUCUAGCUUGUGAGCUUCAUUGUGUUAAUGCUGUUACUCUUCUGAUGUAAAAUUGUGCAUUCGAGUUGCUGUUGGUGUUCGAAAAGUGUGAGUGAUUGUCAAUUUUAGAGGAUUCUUACUGUAGCUAAAGAGCUGGUCGAAAAAUUAAAAUGUGUUUAUGAAUGAAUGAAUGAAGUAGAGAGAUCAAGGACUCAUUGGUUUUGGUCAGUUUCUUUGAGCUUAUAGUUGCUCUUUUUUUUUUUUUUUUUUUAAAAAUGCUAAAGUUGGAUAUUAAUUUGUUUAAUGUUUCUAAAACAUGUUUGUAAUUGCUGUGUUUUUACUUAAUUUUGAAAGUAAUGCAGCUGAAGUGUUAGAUAAAUGAUCCGCGUAUACUUGACACCUAGUAAUUUUAUGUCUCAUAGCAACUAUGGAUUUGUCACUGCAACCGAAUUCCAAACAUAUCCUUAAUCAUAUGGAGCUUUUAGCAUGAAGGAUGUGAUUGCUUCUUACGCCUUUAUCUGAUACUGUCUUUCUAUAAUGAUCUGAGAGUGUGCUUUUCUCAUUUCCAUAUUAGAUGAAAUGCUAAUUAAUGUGCUAAUUAUUGUGCCUCUAGAAAUCCAGUUCUAUAGAUUGGUCUAGACGGGGGGUUGUUCUGUCAGUGUUUUUGGUUGAAAAGAAUAUCCAUUACGAAUAGUUUUUCAACUUUAUGUAAUUGAUGUCUCACUUGAAUCUUAACUUGGUGUUUAUUGGUUUAUACUUUAUAGGCGGGGUUGUCCACCAGAGCGAAUCAGUGGUGGGAAAGUAUUCCAUUCUUUACUUCUGCUGUGGUGAUUGUUUGUGGGACAAUUUACUUGAUCUGCCUCUUGUUUGGAUACGAUUCCUUUUAUGAAAUAUGUUUCCUCCCAUCUGCAGUUAUAUCACGGUUUCAAGGUACAUUCAUGCAAUCUGACAAAGAUGAUUAUCAUUAUAAAUAUGUGGGUACAAACACAUUGAACCUUCUCUGUGAUAUGAUCAAAAGUUGGUCAUGAUCAUGUUGGAAAGAUUUUUCCUCAUUUUGACUGCAUGGCUGUAGUAUUUUGCGAGUUAUGUGAAUAAUUAGGAAUAACUCCGAAGAAACACUAUGUAAUUCUUUACACUAUUUACUGCAUGAUUUGUUGCUCCAAUGUAUCAUUUACCUGUUUUUUCUGUGAUUGCACUCGAGCUAUUUUGUUACGCCAAAAUGGAAUUAAUGAUUGCUUUGGUAACUGUGAAUUCUUCACCCUAUGUCACUAUCUUUUUUCCUGCAAUUGCGCUGUAGUUAUGUCGAUACGUUAAUAUGGAAUUAAUUAUUUCUUCGGUAACGGUGAAUAGUUCACACUUUGGAUUACAUAAAUCAAGCACUAACUCUAGCUAGCAGCUGAGUAGUAUUUGUUGGAAAUGGGAGAACAUGGAUCAUGGAAAUUUUCUGGAUAAUAAGCUCCCGUUCUUAGUUAGGGGUAAAUAGUCAACGGACUAGUCACUUAUGCAUACUUCCUAACUUAUGAUGGUAGUUUUUAGUUAUUUCUUCUACGAGCCUAUCAUGGGUCACAAAACAAUGCGCCAUUCUACAAAAAUAUAUGUUCUGACAAAUCAUAUCAUUCGUUAUACUGACCUUUUUUUAAAAUGUGUCCCUCUGUACUUUUUGAUCACAUGGGAUGGUAAUUGUCUGUUGCCGUUUCCUUUUGAAUGUAACAAUUAUUGUUCUUCCUCAUAUAUAUAUUUUUAUCCUAGUUUUUCAUUCUAGGAUAUGUACCCUCAUGAAGGAGAAAAAAAUGCAAUCUUCGAACAUGCCACUUGGUAAAUUUUGGACUUGGCCUUUUCUAACCAAGCAAUGGCUGCCACAGGUCUCUGCAUGACUUGCAUUUGGGAACCAAAAACUCUCAUUUUAUAAGCCUCCUGGUGUUCUAGUUACAUUGUUGAUUUCAAUCUGGCUGUCCUGUCAGGAGGUUAAUCAUCCAUGUUACUUGGAUGUUUGUUUUAACUUUGAGAAGCAUUUCAAUUGCUAACCUAAAUAUAAUCCAUAUUCAAUUGUCAAUAAGAGAUAACAACGACAACAACAACUAUUAUUAUUAUUAUUUUUGUUGUUGUUGUUGUUGUUGUUUACUUCAUAUUACGAAGAAGAUCAUAUUUUUGUAAUUUUCUUAAGAGAGUGAAUCAUUUCUGUCUAUGAUAAUUAAUUUUACUCUUUUGUCUUGCAGUUUAUAGGUUUUAUACCUCCAUUGUUUUUCAUGGUUCACUGCUACAUGUUCUAUUCAACAUGUUGGCUUUGGUUCCUUUGGGUUCUGAACUGGAGCGAAUUAUGGGAUCUGUCCGCAUGUUUUACAUUACUAUUUUGUUGGCCACAAGCAAUGCUAUUUUACAUCUUCUAAUUGCUUUGUUGGUAGCCCAUAUUCCAUUUUAUCGGUUACAGAAUGUCAUGGAUGAGUGUGCAAUCGGCUUCUCAGGAGUUAUUUUCUCUUUGAUCGUCAUAGAGACAAGUUUGAGUGGAGCCCAAUCUAGGAGGUUGGUUUUCUCUUCUUACUUUUGGUCUGAUUUCAUAUUUUCAUAUGUGUGUGUGUACAUACUCCUACAACAGACAACCAGAUGGAUGAAUCCCUGUAUUUUAUCAUUGAGUAUAUAAUAUAAUGAUUUCUUUUUCAUUUUUGGCCAAUAUGCCUGCUUCUUGAACUGAGUUGCAACUUUAUUUUUUUCGUUCUGCAGUGUGUUUGGUCUCUUCAACAUCCCUGCUAAGUGGUAAAUGCAAUAACUUGCUCUUAGGAUGUGUGAUUAUGGUUUUCUUCUUCUUUUCUUUUCUAUCAUAUUCUUUUUUAAGUCUCACGAGGUGGCAUCUAAUGGAACAUUAUGCUCAGGUAUCCAUUGAUCUUAUUAGUACUGUUCCAGGUUCUUAUGACCAACGUCUCGUUACUUGGACACCUAUGUGGCAUUUUGUCUGGAUUUGCAUGUACGUUCUCAGCUUUUCUUUCAGACUCUUUAUAUUUUCCUCUCAUAAUAUUAUAUGUUCAUUUAAAAUAUUUGCUCCUGGCUCUACAUUUUCAGAUACCUAUGGCUUUUUCAACCUCCUUAUGCCUGGAACAUCCUUCUAUUCUGCCAUUGAGUCUUCCUCGUUGCUUGUAAGUAUUUCAAUGGAACGGGAUUGUGAUGAUAGACGGACUUUGGUUUUCCUUUUCUUAUUGGAUUGCUUGGGCAUGUUGCCAUUUAUUUGUCUCUGGAUGAAUUGAGUUGCUUGGUUUUGGCGAAGCUAAGUGGAGUUGAAAAUAUUUGCAAUUGCUUUACUGGUCUGCUUAGUAAUUAAAAAAACUGAAGAAAUGUUUUAGAUACCGCGGGGUGUUGUCCAUUUGGUUUUACUUCUUGUCACAACUCUCAUCCACAUUUGGGAUCCUUGCCCUCCCAUAAAAUCCUAACGGCACUGAGUUUUCUGGCCUUAUAUGCAAACACAUAAGAAUCAGAUAUGCUAUUUGAGAUCUCUCUACAGAGACUUGUAUCCUGACUUGAGAUUGAUUACAUAUGGAACUGUAUUUAGGGUUGUAUGUCCUAUGUUAAAAUGUAUUUCUAGUCUUCUACACCUCCUCUAUGUGCAUUCUUUCUGAGCUUGCUUUUGUCCCUGCCCCCAUAGUUUAAGAAGCCAUCAUGGUUUUAAUAAUUUGUAUGUGGAAUGUUGCAUCACCUGAUACAGGUGUCUUAACUGUCCAAAGAAAAAAUACAGGCUUCUUAUCUGUUACCUAUAAGCAUAAUUAGAACAAAAUUUUAAAGUGAGUACUGGGGAGGGAAAUAUUAAUUGCUGACUGCCUUCCCGAGUGAUGAACUUGUGUCAAUUUAUCUAAAUAACCAUAGCAAUAUGGCUUCAUUUCAUGGAAACUUUGUGUAUGUUACUUUCCUUUUACCCUUACAUUUUCAUACAGAUAGCUUUAAAUAGUGUGUUGUUUUUGUGAAUGCCAGUCCACUUGCAUAAGACGGCCUAAAUUUAUCUUGUGUACUGGUGGGAAUCCUUCUGGCUACAUCCCAACAUAUUCUGGACAGAAUACAAGUUCCAGGUAAGCAUUGAGCUCCGUAUGCCAGAUUCUACUUUAUAUCCCUAAAAGGUAUAUAACUUGAUUAUUUUUAUUAAACAGUGGAUUGUUUUCUGGAAAUAUUUGGAGCAACUUGUCUUCUUGGAUGCCACAGAGGGAAACAUCAUCUCAGGUAUUAAAUCAGUUGAUUUUAGAGGGCUUUUCACAAUGUUAAAUAUGUUAUUCAAUAUGUUCCUUGUUUGUUAUGGUUGAUCUAGCCAAUUAGGGCAACUGAAAGGGAUAAUAUGGAUUUCUAAUUGGCCUUCAGCUUUGUUAAUUGGUGGUAGCUUUUCUGACUUGAAUACAUGCCUGUGCAGUAGGAAUUUUACCAUUUCCUCUGCAAUUUUUGCAGCUCAUAUUGUACGUUCAUUCAUUUUACUUCUGCUUCAAUUUACACCUGAAUAUGGAACCCUUGACAGCUUUGGUUACUUUUCUUGAACUAAUUAUGCACUGAAAGAAACAGCAAUUGUGGUUAUGAAGUUAUGCAGUAAAAAUACAAUGUAAAGAAUGUGUCAUGUGGGUGAUUUCUCUGUUUUUUGUUCAUAGUUUCCCUUAAAUCUGUCUUUAUUGCUUAAUGUUGUCCCAUUCCACUUUCCUUCUUUUCUUUUGCUGUCCCUGUAUUUCUCAAUCAUUGUAACCUGCAAUCUUUACUUAAGAUAACAUCAAUUAACCAAUCUCCUCUUACCGACAUGCAGCCAACACAAGAUAGCCGGUUCCCUGGGAGAGGAAGAACUCUUAGUUCCAGCCAAAGUCCUGUACAUGUAGAUUCAAACCUACAAGCUAGACUUCUGGAUAAUAGUAGUCCUGAAAACCGUUCCCAUAUGAUAGUAACUGAAACAGGAGACAGGCUAUCAGAUGAAAGGUAUUGCAAGAAAUUUCAAUGCAUCUAAAAAAUCAUCUUGUUUAAUGGUCUAAGUGUAGCUUAUUGAUUUUCUCACGUUUUUCCAGGCUAUCAGAUGAAAGUUAUUGCAAGAAAUUUCAAUGCAUCUAAAAAAUCAUCUUGUUUAAUGGUCUAAGUGUAGCUUAUUGAUUUUCUCACGUUAUUCCAGAUGUGAAUGCCCUAAAUUUUUUGGUUUACAUUCGUUGUGGUUCUGGUUGAGAAAUGUAUCAAGCACAUGAAAGACUUGAUUAUAUUUAUUUUGGGUAAUAUCUGUAUGAUCUUCAUUAAACUUUUGAUUGUAUUCUUUAUUAUUUUCAGGCAGCCAGCUCUAGGUACUGCAGUUGCGGUGGACAGAGUCCCUGCAGGCCAACAGGUUUUCUUUAUCCAUAUCUGGAGUUCAAUAUUCUUUUUACCUUUCUUAGGGUCCUCUAGUUCUUGAACAUUUCUUUGGUUUUCCUUCCUCUGGAUGCAGGGUGCAGUUGUCUCUGAUGAAGAAAUACAAAAACUUGUUUCAAUGGGUUUUGACAAGGUAAAUAUAUUAUGUCAAUUAAAUUAGUCUUGUUCUCUAUAACCAUAGUACUAAGUUUAGCAGUUCAAUGUUGUAUAUACAUUUUUUUCCCCAUUUAUUGCAAUUUUAUUUUGCAUUUGUAUGAAAUUGAGACUGAGGACUCAAAUGCCAUUGCUGGGCCUUGUUUCAGACUCAGGUUGAAGUUGCUCUGGCAGCAGCUGAUGGCGAUCUUAAUGUAGCAGUGGAAAUUCUCAGCCAGCAGGUACAUUCAAGAGUUAAGUUUUCCAAAAAUUGUGUUGAUUGACAUUCUUUCUCUGGAAUGUUUAGUUAAUGGACAAAAUUGUAUGCAGGGUUAAGUUCAUAAAGCAAUCUCACCCCGUGACUUCUCGUAUACAAAUCUCCUAUUACAUUUCAGUUGGCCAGUAUGAUCUGCUCUUACAAUGUCUGUGAACUACGGUUUGUUUGGGUGCUGUAUGGCCUUUCUAACGUGAUUACACAGAUUGGGGGAAAGAAAUAUUUGGGAGAAUAACAAUUAUGCUAAUUUCUGCUUAAAGAAAAGAAAGAGCCCUUUGUGUACAUGUUUUGAGUUUUGAAUUAAAAGAAGUGCAAUCUAAUCUUAGCUUUCUGAACAAAUUCAACUCUGUAAAUAUAAUCUCAUGCCGAUAUUUGUUAUGGGAAAUUGAGAUCAAAUCUUUAUUUAUGUAAUGUAGUCAGACAACAAGCAUCGAUGACUACUUGUAUUAUCAGGUAAUAUUUCCUUCAUCAAAUUGGCGAUAGCUAGGUUUUGGGUUUGCUCUCAAUUUUCUGGUUUCCGCCCAUGGAACUGCAAUUUAAGGACAUCACGAAAUGUGCGCUGUAGAAAUUUUUGGAUUCAAUUGAGCAACCGUGGAUCUAAAUCAAGACGUUUGCUACAACAUGACGCAUCUAACUGUUUGAAACGUAGAAGCCUAUUAGAAACAUGUUCGUCUAAUAGAUUAUGUUUAGUUGAAGUAGAUAAUAGUGGCUGUAAUGUUAAAAAAACAUUUCAGCUGCAGAGUUAUUGAUUAAUUCAAGGUUAUUAGUAACAUUUUAGGUAACAAAUCUUUUGUGUCCAUAAUACAUCCCAAGAUGCCAAAUGCAAUCAGCUGUAUAUUUCCUAAGGACACAAGAGAACUUGAUAGUCCCGGGAUUUCGAUGACUUCACAAAAGGUCAUGUGGCAAUGAAGCAGAAAUCUCUUCAACUUUCAUUAGGUCAAAUAUCAUACUCUGUUGUCGAGCAGAUAGGAGAUGCAGCCACUCCACCUGGAUUGAUCGGCAGUCAUAAUUAUCCUUUCUCUCGUCGAUCGUCAUUCUCCCUUCCUUGAGCGUUGCCAAGGCCAUGAGGAGUGCUGCUAGACCCUACAAAAUGUCUUGCUCGGGUUGGGGGUCUUUCAGCGGUGAAUAAUAAAUCACUGAUUCUCAGUCUAUCCUGCAAUAGACGAAACAAUUUCAAUUGUAUCUCACAUCAAUUACAGACUUCUAUUUGUGUGCCCUUGCAUGUCCAGUGUGUCCAGAAAGAGAGACAGAUGUAUAGAUUUUUUCCAAUCCAGCAAAAGCAAUUAUAGAACUUUUGGGGGAAAAAAAAUCUACCUUGAAAUUACUGCUGCAUCUGCGUGCAAAAUGACCUUCCUUGCCACACUUGUAACAUAUAAGAUUGGAUCUUUUACCAUUAAGAGCUUCACAUGAGUUUGUGCAUUCCUAGUAUAAACUAAUUCAAUAAGAUAAUGAUAAACCUCAACCGUAAUACACGUUUUGCCGCUAAAAAGCAGAAAAAUUACUUACAGGACCCAAAUGGCCAGACUGCCCACAGUUGUAACAGGAGACUUGCUUUAGACCUAUGAUUGAGGAGUUGACACAGCAAAGAUGACCGAAACUCUUGCAAAUGUAACAUUGUAUCUUCUGCCCACAUGAGCAAAAUUAUCACCAUUAAAGAGCAAGCAAGAAUCACUUCAAUUUGGGGACUUGCUGUUUGCUAUAUGAUAAGAAGAGAGGGGGACAAUAAUAUAUCUAUAUAUAGACAAAAAGACUCGUAAAACUGCAAGAUAAAAUUCGAACCUUGAGAUCAUCAGCGUGGUAUUCUCCCUCACAUGAAAACAAGUCGUGUCCUGAAUCCCCACACCUUAAGCAAAAAUUAGAACUCAAAUUGUUGCCCUGGUCCGUCCCAGGACAAUCACUGGCAAGGUGCUCUGAUCCUUUGCUGAUAAAACAAUCCUGGCCCUGCUGGUAUACAAGGUGGCCUCUGAAUAAGUUAUGAUGUAACUCUUAAGAGGCUAAUGAUGGAAUGGAUUAUGGCAGAAAAAUCUAAGAAAUAAGCAAUGAAAUGCAAGAUGCAACUUGGCUUUGAAUAAACCUUUUUAAUUCCUGGAGAUCUUCUGUUGGUGGAGUUUUAAUUGUUAUUCUUGACAACAGCUUCAGAUUUUUGUGGACAUUUCUGAGGUAACGAGAAGUCAACAGAUUAGCAGUCGUCAUUUAAGUCAGAGGCAGUUUUAUGAUAAGCCUAGGAGUUCAGUCAACUGGAUGGUGGGCUUGCAAAAUCUAUCUACCUAAGAUAUAUUAUUGCUUUGAAAUUGAUAGUAUGAUUCAGAAUGAAACAUUUAGGCUCCGCAUGAAAAAUACCAAAGACUGACUUUUCAUUUGAUAAGUACUGUAAAAGAUCCAAUUCCAUAUUUAGCGCAGAUACAAAGUUUCAUAUGUCACAAUACUCAUACGGAAAAAUCUAGAGCCAAAAAAUAGUACUUGAUAAUAUCUUUUGUGGUUAAAUGAAGUGAACAAAAGAAAAUCCAGACACACGAGAAAAGUUGUAGAGUGAAUGCUACUACACCUGUUUGCAAUUCUUCCACCUGUGCUUGAAACUCCCACAAAGGAAGCAUGGUUUAUUCUGCUUUUGCAUUUUGCAGGUUGCUGCUGUGUGAUUUUCUUUUCCACAAUUUGAGCAUGUUUCUGAGUUCCAGCCUGGAGGAUCAAAAUAUCUUGGUUUCCGAAGAAGCAUACGGAGCACAACAUUAUAUUUUGCCUCAUUUUCUUUCCUGGCAUCUUCAACCUUAUCUUUAGCUUCAAUUACACGAGUCUUCUUUCUCCUUUUCUUCUGCUGCCUCUCCCCUACAAUUGGCCCUACGGAUACCGUGUCUUCAACCCUUCUGCCCAAACUCAUGUCUGAAAGUGGUUUAUCAUCCUCUAGGCGCAAUGAAUAAAGGUUGUUCAUUUCAACACUCUUUACCCCAUCAUUUGCUCCUGUUAUUGUUGCUGUUGUCUGCACAGCUUUACCCAUAUCUUCAACGCUUCUCUCCAAGCUCACACCCGAAACUGAUUUAUCAUCAUCUGUGGAGGACAAACAAAGAUCAAUCACUUCAAAAGAAUUUCCCCCAUCAUUCCCUCCCACCGCUCUUACCAUUGGCAUAGGUUCACCCAUGCUUGCACCCUCAUUAUCCUUUGCAGGAUCAAUAAAAAGGUGCCGGGGCCCAUCCAUUUCUGUUGUCAGAACUGAUUCAGGUUUUGAAACCUCUACUACUUUCNNNNNNNNNNNNNNNNNNNNNNNNNNNNNNNNNNNNNNNNNNNNNNNNNNNNNNNNNNNNNNNNNNNNNNNNNNNNNNNNNNNNNNNNNNNNNNNNNNNNNNNNNNNNNNNNNNNNNNNNNNNNNNNNNNNNNNNNNNNNNNNNNNNNNNNNNNNNNNNNNNNNNNNNNNNNNNNNNNNNNNNNNNNNNNNNNNNNNNNNNNNNNNNNNNNNNNNNNNNNNNNNNNNNNNNNNNNNNNNNNNNNNNNNNNNNNNNNNNNNNNNNNNNNNNNNNNNNNNNNNNNNNNNNNNNNNNNNNNNNNNNNNNNNNNNNNNNNNNNNNNNNNNNNNNNNNNNNNNNNNNNNNNNNNNNNNNNNNNNNNNNNNNNNNNNNNNNNNNNNNNNNNNNNNNNNNNNNNNNNNNNNNNNNNNNNNNNNNNNNNNNNNNNNNNNNNNNNNNNNNNNNNNNNNNNNNNNNNNNNNNNNNNNNNNNNNNNNNNNNNNNNNNNNNNNNNNNNNNNNNNNNNNNNNNNNNNNNNNNNNNNNNNNNNNNNNNNNNNNNNNNNNNNNNNNNNNNNNNNNNNNNNNNNNNNNNNNNNNNNNNNNNNNNNNNNNNNNNNNNNNNNNNNNNNNNNNNNNNNNNNNNNNNNNNNNNNNNNNNNNNNNNNNNNNNNNNNNNNNNNNNNNNNNNNNNNNNNNNNNNNNNNNNNNNNNNNNNNNNNNNNNNNNNNNNNNNNNNNNNNNNNNNNNNNNNNNNNNNNNNNNNNNNNNNNNNNNNNNNNNNNNNNNNNNNNNNNNNNNNNNNNNNNNNNNNNNNNNNNNNNNNNNNNNNNNNNNNNNNNNNNNNNNNNNNNNNNNNNNNNNNNNNNNNNNNNNNNNNNNNNNNNNNNNNNNNNNNNNNNNNNNNNNNNNNNNNNNNNNNNNNNNNNNNNNNNNNNNNNNNNNNNNNNNNNNNNNNNNNNNNNNNNNNNNNNNNNNNNNNNNNNNNNNNNNNNNNNNNNNNNNNNNNNNNNNNNNNNNNNNNNNNNNNNNNNNNNNNNNNNNNNNNNNNNNNNNNNNNNNNNNNNNNNNNNNNNNNNNNNNNNNNNNNNNNNNNNNNNNNNNNNNNNNNNNNNNNNNNNNNNNNNNNNNNNNNNNNNNNNNNNNNNNNNNNNNNNNNNNNNNNNNNNNNNNNNNNNNNNNNNNNNNNNNNNNNNNNNNNNNNNNNNNNNNNNNNNNNNNNNNNNNNNNNNNNNNNNNNNNNNNNNNNNNNNNNNNNNNNNNNNNNNNNNNNNNNNNNNNNNNNNNNNNNNNNNNNNNNNNNNNNNNNNNNNNNNNNNNNNNNNNNNNNNNNNNNNNNNNNNNNNNNNNNNNNNNNNNNNNNNNNNNNNNNNNNNNNNNNNNNNNNNNNNNNNNNNNNNNNNNNNNNNNNNNNNNNNNNNNNNNNNNNNNNNNNNNNNNNNNNNNNNNNNNNNNNNNNNNNNNNNNNNNNNNNNNNNNNNNNNNNNNNNNNNNNNNNNNNNNNNNNNNNNNNNNNNNNNNNNNNNNNNNNNNNNNNNNNNNNNNNNNNNNNNNNNNNNNNNNNNNNNNNNNNNNNNNNNNNNNNNNNNNNNNNNNNNNNNNNNNNNNNNNNNNNNNNNNNNNNNNNNNNNNNNNNNNNNNNNNNNNNNNNNNNNNNNNNNNNNNNNNNNNNNNNNNNNNNNNNNNNNNNNNNNNNNNNNNNNNNNNNNNNNNNNNNNNNNNNNNNNNNNNNNNNNNNNNNNNNNNNNNNNNNNNNNNNNNNNNNNNNNNNNNNNNNNNNNNNNNNNNNNNNNNNNNNNNNNNNNNNNNNNNNNNNNNNNNNNNNNNNNNNNNNNNNNNNNNNNNNNNNNNNNNNNNNNNNNNNNNNNNNNNNNNNNNNNNNNNNNNNNNNNNNNNNNNNNNNNNNNNNNNNNNNNNNNNNNNNNNNNNNNNNNNNNNNNNNNNNNNNNNNNNNUUUCAUACUCAUCAAGCUUAGCUCUAUUUGCUCUUCUUCUUUUCUCUUCUCUUCCAUGUCUUUCUGUUUCUUCAACUUUAUUCAAACCGUCAUCCUCACCUAACUGCCCUUGCUCCUCUGCAACGUUAACCUAAACGCACUAUGCAUUAUUAGAAAACAAAGCUCACAAAACAACAAACAUGCAGAUACCAAGUCCAAAAAAAGACCAAUACAAAAUCAUUUUAAAUGAAAUCAAGCAAGAGAGAUUUGGUAUCUUUAUAUAUUCAAGAUUCAAAACUAAGCUCUAUAUAUUUCUCUUCAAACAUUUUCCUUUCUUUAACCUCACCGUUUCCCAAUAGCCAAGCACAAAAUGGGAUAAUAGAUUAUUUAAAUAAUAAAAAAACACGUACAGUGUCAUUCUCCUGAGCACAAAACUGAGUCUCUAAAUUGCCCCUCAUCCUCUCACUUCUCUUUCUCCUCAUAGGAGCUUCCGCUUCUAUCAUGGCUUUAAGGUUCUCAAAUCCGGUCAAAUCAGCUACCUCUCUGUACAAAGAAUCAAGCUUUGUCUUAUCCUUCUUCUUCUUCUUUCUAUUUCUCUUCUUCUUUCUCUUCAUGAUAGACUCAGCCAAAAUCAUAGCUUUCAGAUUGUCAAAGCCAGUAAGGUCAGCAAUCUCUUUGUACUCAUCAAGCUUAGAUUUUGCAGCCACCCCACGUUCUAUAUUCUUCUCUUUGCUCCCAUUUCCUUCUUCUUUCUCUUCUUCACUGCUUGUUAUCACUGUGACGGGGCUAUUUUCCAUCUUCACUUCUAGUGUUUUCCCCGAAUAUGACUGGGGAAAUGGGCUGCCGCCUCUCCGUAGUGAAAGGCCGAAUGCCACCUUAAAAUUUCCAAAAAAAUAAUAAUAAAUUAAUAACACUAAAAAUUCAUGUUAUUUUCGCUUUUAUCUUUUUUAGCCUAAUAAAGAAAGGACUCGACUAGCUUACAGAAUCUGUAAGGUACAGACUGCAGCAUCAGCCGUUGGAUGUGGUUGGAUGUGGAGUGAGAAACUAAACAAUAGAAAAUCGGAUGGUGGGAUGACGGGAGAUGUUUGUUACAGAAUCUGUACCAUAGACAGGUCCAUAAAGAAAAUAUAUCAACUAACUUGGAUGCGGUUUAACCGUACGGCCCCCAACAAUCAUUAUUUGCUUUCAGACCCUCAGUCUUGUCAAGUUUUACAUGAGAUUUUUCAUUAAGCAUCCAUUUUCCUAGUCCCUGUGUUCCUUUCAUUUCUUCUUUAAUAAUGGUUAUGCAUUAUGGGUAGUAGUGAAGAAAACUAUAUUAUAAGAAUAUGUUGACCACUUAUGGGUAGUAGUAAAUCAUAUGUAUUUUAGUUCAAAGUUUUUAAAUUGGGAUAAUUUUUAACUAUAAUAUAAAUUUUUAUACAUUUAGUAGUUAAUGUUUAUCGUUUAUUCAAAUAUUAUAUUUAAUAGUUAAUGAUUCCAUCUCGUAGUAAAAUUAUGGCUUACCACUCAAUCUCAAGCAUACAUUACAUAUCUUAAUGUAGUAAAAUUAUGACUUACAACUCAAUCUUAAUUAUACAUUGAAUAUCUUAAUGUUGUAUUGUAUUGUACUCGAUUUCGGGACAUGUAAUUACUCUAAGAUACAUGCCAAAUGUGUCAUUUCACCUAAUGAAUAAAUAAUAAUAAUUUAUAUUUUUAAUCAUAAAGGCUAGAAAAUAACAAUAAUGAGUAGAUAGAGAUUCCUAACAGUAGGGAGGAGCAUUCGAUGAUAUCAAUGAUAUUUUAUUCUAGAUGAUCAUCUUAUCAUAUACUUUCAACUUUUUCUUUUGAAUUGAAUUCUUUCAUGCAUUAAUAUAGGUCUCUCUCUCUCUCUCUCUCUCUCUCUCUCUCUCUCUCUCUCUCUCUCUCUCUCUCUCUCUAUAUAUAUAUAUAUAUAUAUAUAUAUAUAUAUCAAAUAUAAUUCGUUUUAGGUUUGGAUAUCUGCUAAGACUCCGUUUGGUAUAUUUUUUCAAUUAGAACUUAUUUAAGUAGAGUUUUUGUUAAUAAAACUUUUAUAAGUAAAGUUUUUUGCACAAACAAAUUUAGGGUGCGUUUGGUAUUGUUUUUCAAAUAGUAUUUUUGAAUAAAAUAUAAAUAGUAAAAAUGUAUUUGAUAUAAUUUUUAUGAAAAUUGUUUUAGAAUAGUUAUAUGAUAUGUAUAAAUUUUAAAUUUAUCUUUUUUUUAUUUUAGAUAUUUUUGAAAAAAUGAAUAAACAAGUAAAAUAAUGUAGUAUUAAAUAUUAAUAUAAAAUUAUAAGUUUGUAUAUUAUUACAAAGAUUUAUUAAAUAAAAUAUUAUACAAUAAUUUAUAGAACAUCCAUAAUUAUUUCAAAAAAUUAUUUAUUAUUUUAUUUUAAAAAAAUUUUAAACAAAAAUUAUUGCAUAAACAUAAUAAAAUUUAUUAUAUAUUUAUCAUUUUAAAACCAAAGUUUUAUAUUUGUAUUUAGGGUCCGCCUAAGUGUAACUUACGGCCUGGCUGUGAAAUUUCAUUCAGCCCCCCAUAUUCGAUGUUAUUUAUAUUAUAUUUAUGAAUAUUAUAAAACUUUCUGAUUUGAAACAUUUCGUUUAGCCCCUUACACUCAAUUUUAUUUUAUUGAAAUCCUAGAGUACGAAUUCACCCCCUAUAAUUUUAAAUUCUCAAAAUAACCUCAUUUAAUUAAAAAAUUUAAUUAUUAUUAAUUGAAUUAUAAUUAUAACUAUUAUUUUAUUAUAAUUAUAAAUAUAUUUAUAUUUUUUAAAUAGAUUAUUGUUAUUAUUAAUAACAAGAAUAAAAAGUAUUACAAUUAAUUAAUCUAUUAACAAUAAUUAAUAAUAUUUUUUUAAUAAAUUGUUAAUAAUAAUAAUUAACGAUAAUUAUUAUUAAUAAUUAAUUUUUGAAUAAUAAUAAUAAUAAUUAACAAUUAUCAUUAAUAGAUUGUGAUUGACUCUGAACAAGUUGCCCGGUAUUUUAUAUCAUACUGUAUGCAUUCACUUCUGGCUGCAAAAGAAAUUAAAGCAAUAGCUUUCUCGUUAACCAAACAAGAGAUUUAACAACAUCAGAAACACACGUUUUUCAAAACUAACAAGGACUUGGACAAUUAUGGCACUAAGUAGUACUGCAAUUAAUAUCAAUGAUGAGGGUAUGUUGCUACUUUGCUAGCUAAGCCUAGGUGGGCAUUGGCAUUCCUAGGACUCUGAACAAUUAUCGUUAAUUUUCAAAAAUUAAUUAUUAAUAAUAAUUAUCGUUAAUUAUUAUUAAUUUAAUAAACAUUAUUAUUAAUUAUUGUUAAUAGAUUAAUUAAUUGUAAUAUUUUUUAUUCUUGUUAUUAAUAAUAAUAAUAAUAAUAAUAAUAAUAAUAAUAAUCUAUUUAAAAAAUAUAAAUAUAUUUAUUAUUAUAAUAAAAUAAUAAUUAUAAUUAUAAUUCAAUUAAUAAUAAUUAAAAAUUUAAUUAAUUGAGGUUAUUUUGAGAAUUUAAAAUUAUAGGGGGCGAAUUCGUACUCUAAAGUUUUAAUAAAAUAAAAUUGAGUGUAAGGGGUUAAAUGAAAUUUUUUAAAUAAAAAAGUUCUAUAAUAUUUAUGAAUAUAAUAUAAAUAACAUCGAAUAUGGGGGGUUAGAUGAAAUUUCACAACCAAACCGUAAAUUACUUUAAACGUAACUUAGGCGGACCCUUGUAUUUAAUAUCUCUCUGGGCCCACUAUUUUUUUUAUGGUAAAAAACCACAAAAGUCGCCAAAGUGUGGUCCCCGUACAAUUAAUGCAUGCAGAAUAGAAAACAAAAUUCAGAGAAUGCAAAUAUUGUGUUUUCUGUAUUUGUUAAGAAAAGUUAAAGUAUGGAAACAUUUAAUUCUCCUUAAUUUUCCAUUAUAGCUACGAAACGCCCUGGCCAAACGCAUUUUCUAUUUUAUUAUUUUUACAAAAUAAAAAAGGUCCAGUAAAAAAUGAGAUCCGGCUACGAUACUACAGUGGUACUGUGCCACUUCUUUUGUUUUUUUUGCUGUGUUAUUGUAAAUUUUCAUAUAACCCCCUUCACUCAUUUUUAUUUAAGCUUUACUUUACAAAUAUUAAAUUAAUUUUUACUACAUCCAUAUAAAUAUUUUAGCUAGCUCCUUGUGUUAUUUAUUAUUUAUAAAUUUUUAUUCUAUAUUAUACCUAUAUCACAAUACCCCACUCUUUAUAAUUUUGAGAUUAAAUAAUUAACAAGGAAAAGAAUUGGAUCGACCCGAACUCAUAAACCCAACCCAGAUUCCGUUUUCAUUUCCGGCCACUCCACCAGCCAAGGUUGGUACCGAUCGAAAGAUCGUGCAACGCCGGUCAUCUCCAUGUCAUCCUUGUAGCAAAAAGAAUCGGGUCAAACCAAACGCGCAAACCCGACCCGCAUGCCAUUUCCAUUUCCGGCCACUCCACCGGCCAAGGUUGGUACCGAUCGGAAGCUCGUGCGAUGCCGGUCAUCUCCAUGCCAUCCUUGUCGCCGGAAAGUGUUCGAAAAGCUGCCGAUCGAAGCCAUGAAAAGCCGCUUCAAUUCGCCACGAUUUUGUCGGUUUCCGGUGACGCCACCACCUGAUUUUUGUUCCCCACAAUUCCCUCUGUCUUUUACGACCAGCCACAGCCACUAGAGGAGCUGAUUUGCCGUUGAUUGGCCGUUGAAGGAUUCACGGGUUUGGGAGAAAUUAAUUUAAUAUUUGUAAAGUAAAGCUUAAAUAAAAAUGAGUGAAGGGGGUUAUAUGAAAAUUUACAAUAACACAGCCAUAAAAAACAAAAGAAGUGGCAUGGUACCAUUGUGGUACUGUAGCCGGAUCCUAAAAAAUGAUACCAAAUGGGCAUCUUUAGUUGUUUGGUUGUCAAUGAAAUUUUUUAUUAAAAAUUAUAAAAUUACUUUAAUAGAUAAGUUUUUUAAAGUUAUGUUAUGAAAAGUAUAAAAUAAGAUUGUUAAAUAAGUAGAUAAUAUUUUAGAUAUUUUAUUAUUUUUAAAAAAAAUUCAAUCUCUAUUCCCAAAGUCCAAAACUUAAGAUUUUACUAGUAAAGACAAAAUAUCUUAUUUAAUCUUCAAAAGCUCUAUUAAAAAAAAAAAUCAAACAUAAACAAGAAUUUUGAUAAGAGUUUAUAAGAUUAAAUAAGUACUUAUGACAUACCAAAUAGGGAUGGCAAUGGGGAGGGGAGGGGAGGGGACCGAUCUCCCCGUACCCAUCCUCGAUAUUUUGCGUAGUCCCCGUCCCCUCCCCUUCCCCGUCAGAAUUACUUGAGAGAAUCAUCAUCCCCUUCCCGAAUAAUAACAGGGGAUCCCUGAGGGUCCCCGAUCCCCGAAUAACUAAUACAUUUUUUUUUCGAUUUUGAGUUAAUCAUAUUAAAAUAAAAAAUUCAAAUAAAAGUAAAGUUCGAAAUAUAUCUUACAUUAAUAUCUAUUAUAAAAGUCACAUACAUUAAAUUAGCAAGUAACGCAACAUGCAAUGGAUACAAACUUCUUUUACAAACUAUCAUGAACAAAUUAAUAGUCUAAUACAAAAUUGUUACAAAUAAAAUCGAAUUUAGAUUCAAAAUUAACUUUUUCAAUGGUGGCGUGGGCACUUUAUAAAUGUGGACUAUUCCCUUUACAACACAAUAGUUAAAUCGGAGCAAAUCAAGAGUAAAUAUUAGAUUAGAUUAGAUUAGAUAUUAAAAUUGUGAUUCGCUGUGGGCAAUUAUAACAUCUAAAAAUAAAUAAAAAAUAGAUUUAAGUUUAAAAUAUUUAAAGAAUAUUAAAAUUAAAAAAAAUGUUGGGCUAAUAGAAUCUACUCGGUCUUUUUAAUGUCCUAAAUAAAAAUUUAGGGCUUUAAUUAGUUAAUUAGGCCUAAAAGUUUAAUAAUAUAAAUAUUUUGAUAUUUUUUAUUUUUACCAAUAUUUAUAAUUUUAUUAUUUAUUUACUAGUAAUUUUUAAAAAAUUAAAUUAAAUUAAAAAUUAAAAUGGGGAAAUGGGUAGGGGAUGAGGAUUCUACCUCAUCCUUGUCCCCUCCCCGAAUAAGAAAUUGGGUAAAAAAAUUUCCCCGUCCCUUCUCGGAAUAAGAAAUUGAGUAUGAAAUUAUCCACAUAUCCUCCCCGAAUGAAAAAAAUCCCCGAAAGUACCCGUCUCCGUGGGGAUUUUUGCCAUCCCUAAUACUAAAUAGACAUUAAAGCUGAUUUUUGGCGGGGUUUGAAUGAGUCCUUAGAUAACUAAAUUUGUUAUUCUUAAGGAAUUUUAAAAACUAAAAAUAAAGUUCACUAAGAUUAUCCACAAAAAUGCUCUACGAAUCUUCGAAGUUAGUUUCUCAUAGUAUUUUUUACUCUUGACAGCUAAUAAUUUGUGAACCAAUGAUAAUAUAAAAUGAAAAAUAAGAGUUGUAAGGGAGUGAGAGAGAGCCGCUCGAUGUUGUCAAUUAUGACAAUAUAAAAUGUACUCUCGUCACUUGUCAAUUAUCUCACUAUUAUAAAUUUAAAAAAUAUAUAGAUUAUAAGAGAGAGAAAUUUUAGAGCCGGAUACCUAAAUCGGGAUGUUCCAUUUGGGUAUGGACCCAAUGGGUUUCAGAUAUCGAAUUUUUCAAAAUAUCUAUUGAUUGACAAAAUUGCACGCUAUUAUUUUUGUUGUCACAUAAUUGAAAAUGUUUUUAAAAUUAAUUCUCUUUUAUAAAAUUAAAAAAUUUAAUUAUUCACGGAGCUAUUAUAACCAUAAUAUACUUGUAAAAAAUAUGUUAUUUUUGUUAAUGAUUGCAUGUAAGGUGUUGAAAAAUAUGUAUGUACUCUCUUAGACAAGGGGUUUUAUAUAUAUUUGUAUAUUUAUAACUUUUUGAAAGCUAAUUAUAAGAUAUGUUAUUACUCAAUAAUAGUGCAAAGAAGGGAUUCAAUUAUAAUAUUGAAUUGAUGUUAAUAUUUAAUACCGUAUAAAUAGAUAUAUACAAUGUUUAUAAAUCGCAUGUUGUUUAAGUUAUAAGUUUAGCACGUCGGGUGUAAUACAACUCAACUAAUAACGCGUUCAAUACUUAUUAAUUUGAUGUCCGUAGAUAUUGAUUCUACCUGCAAUAUCAUCAAUUUGAUGAUGUUUUGAUCCUAAUAAAUAAAUCAACUUUGUUAGGUUCGCCCAAAGCCAAAACAUUUGAAUGUAUUUUUUUUUUUUAAUGCUUCUUCUCUCACAGUAAUUUAGACCAAGCUGUGAAUAAUCCAAUUCUGAAAGUACCUAAUUCUUACUUACGCAAAAUACAAUGAGAAAAAACAUCACGUUCAAGAGAAUCUUUUUGUAUGUUGUUUCCUUCGAAUUCGUCCAUUUGUCAGGCAAAUAUCCCAGCCUCCCCAAUUCAGUUAAUCUAUUUUUCUUUUCUUUCAUUUUCACGGAAAAUUUUUCAAAGCAAGUGGGACCCAUAUGCAACCACUAAUAUUAUAUUUAAUCGCUUAGUGGGAAAAUAAAUGAUAACAAUAAUGGGAAAAUUAACAAAUAGAUCCCUGAUUUUCGAUGAUUUCUGAAAUAAUGGCUUUAUUUAUUCAUUUGUAUCAAAUGGGUCUUUGUUCUUUUGAAAAAGGUCUGAUUUUUAUCCCAAAUUAAGGUGAUAGUACUAAAUUACACUAAUUAAAUUUCUCACCCAACUUCAAGUUUCUUAAUUACUUGACCAUCUAGUAAAAUAAUAAUAAUAACAACAACUAAUCUCUUUUAUAGUCUAGUACUCAACUUACCUGACUAUAAUAGAUAUACAAAUAUUAAUUUAGUGCUUUCUUGUGUAUUUUUAAGAUAAUCAUGUAUUAAUAGAAUAUUAGAAUUCAAAGAAAAUUCAUGAAAAAUUUUCAUAUGUCUUAGGUUUAUAGGGCAUAAUUUGCACUACAAUAGAAAUGUCAAAUUCAAUAUUAUAAGAGCAAUUCAAUAGAAGUUAAGAAUUUAUUUGAUAUAUAUAAAUGGACAAACUGUGCCUUCAUUUAAGAAAUUAUACAAAAUCCAAGGGGCCAGAUGUUAUUAACCGUAUAAUAAUGAUAAUAAUGGAGAAUGAAGAAAGUGUAGCAUCCUUCAAACAGACUCAGUGAAUACCAUUGGACAACUUUUGCUUCAUAGUUUAUUAAUUGCACACAUCAUUGUAUUUUCAUUGUGGUUGGCAGCAGGCGGAGCAAUCUUUAAUUUCUUUUCUUUUUACCCUUUUGUUUAAUGAUUGCUAGAAAAUGACAAGUUAAGAGGAAACAAAAGCACUAAUUAAGAUAACUAAUUAAGGACACAGAGAAAACAAAAUGUGAAGAAAAAGCUAUGAUGAUGGCACAAUGGCAAGUAAGUGGAGACAGUUAGAUUGACUUUGAAGACAAGGGAAAUCAAGUAAAAGGACUAAGAAAAAGAGAAAAAGUAGGCAAAAGGGUUCUUGAUUUUUUUGUUUAUUUUGGUUCAUGGUGAGUCACUUUUAAUGUCCAAAGAACUGAAGAGGAAAGUUUAGCAGGCAUGGCUGAACUCAGAUUGCUCAUCUUCAUAGCUUUGUUUAGCUUCCACAUUCAGUUCAUCUCCAGCAAUACAGAUUCCCGCGACGGUAAUUAAUUUCCCAUUGUACAAGUAAAUUAAAUAGUGUGUAGUAUAACAUAUAUGUACUAUUUGGCUAUGUUCUGCAAGAAUUCAUCAUGCCAAACUCAGUAUGAUUGCUGAUUUUAUUGAGUUUAAAAUAUCAUGUAACUUUGUAGCCGCGGCUCUACAAUCUUUGAAGGAUGCAUGGCAAAAUACACCACCAACCUGGAAAAAUUCCGACGAUCCCUGUGGAUCCUGGGAAGGAGUUACUUGUAACAAUUCCAGGGUCACUGCACUGUAAGUACAAUUCUAUAUUUCAAGAUUUUUUUUUUUUAAAUUCAACAUUAUUUUCAAUAGAAGCAAAGCUCACUCGUCACAUAUGCAUUAUGUUUUCAGGGGAUUAUCAACCAUGGGACUCACUGGGAAACUCAGUGGAGACAUUGGAGGCCUCACAGAAUUGAGAUCCUUGUUAGUAUCCUUCUCAAGUUUUCUAGAAAGUUUGCGGCAUAUUUCAACUUAUUAAGCAUAUCUUAUAUGCGUGUUGAAUUCAUUUGUUCCAGGGACCUGUCAUACAAUGGAGGCCUUACAGGUUCCUUAUCUCCGCGAAUAGGAGAUCUCCAGAAGCUGAAUAUCCUGUAAGAUCUUAUACUAGACGAAUCUGCAAGUUUCGGAAAAUCCUGAAUCUUUAUACUCGGCUAAUUUGUUUUUGUAUUUCAUAUGAUUUGGAUAAUGUUUUCCAUCUUGCAGGAUUCUAGCCGGCUGUGGUUUCACCGGCAAUAUUCCUGAUGAAAUUGGAAACUUGGCAGAAUUAUCUUUCUUGUAAGAAUAAUUCUAACUAGUCAAUUCAGUAUAUUUUUCUUUUUCUCAUUGUUCAAUUUAUUUAAAAAAAAGACCUACACACAAUUUCCAGGGCACUGAAUUCAAACAACUUCAGCGGUCGAAUUCCUCCUUCUUUGGGUAAGCUCUCCCAGCUUUACUGGCUCGAUCUUGCAGACAUCAGCUGACAGAUCAAUUCCAGUUUCAACAAUAACCUCCCCAGGAUGGAUCACUCAAAAUGCUAAGCAUUUGUAAGUAUUAUUUUUAUAUAUAUAUAUAUAUAUAUAUAUAUAUAUUUGGGGAUAUCAUCAUCUUCAAGUGACACACGAAGUAUGAUGAUUAUUUNNNNNNNNNNNNNNNNNNNNNNNNNNNNNNNNNNNNNNNNNNNNNNNNNNNNNNNNNNNNNNNNNNNNNNNNNNNNNNNNNNNNNNNNNNNNNNNNNNNNUUGAUGGAAUCAACUUUCUGGGAAUAUCCCGGAAAGUUUAGGAUAUGUUCAGACUCUUGAGGUUCUGUGAGUAUAAUUCUCCUCAUAUUCAACAUUUUUUUUUCAAAUUAAUCCCUUUCCAUUUGACUAGCCAUCUUGAAAAUUUCCAUUUUACUGGAAACUUUGUUAAUCUGCAACAGCCGGCUUGAUAGAAAUGCUUUGACAGGCAAAGUCCCAACAAAUCUCAAUAACCUCACAAAUGUCAAUGAAUUGUGAGUGUUUGUUUUUUAAGCAAAUGAGGCAAUGCUUUUGUUACUAUAGAAGUUGGUGAAUUAUGAAAUUUCUUCUACAUGAAACAAUGUUUCUCUUUCAGGAAUUUAGCUCACAAUGAUCUUAAAGGCCCUUUUCCAGAUUUAAGUCAAAUGAACUCCCUUAGUUAUGUGUGAGUUUCAUAAUAUUGAAGCUACUAUUUCCAGUUAAUUCCCCAGAAAGUAUUGCUUGUUCCAUAAGAGAAAAAUCUGAUCAAUGAUUUAUCAUAUCAUAGGGAUCUUAGCAACAAUUCAUUUGACCCAACAGAAGCUCCACUUUGGUUCUCAACUUUACCAUCAGUCACCACAUUGUAAGUCUUCUGUCAGUCACAGAAUACAGUUAUGAAAAAUCCCCUGGACUAUUUCCAAAUCAAAUCUCACUCUGGAGCUCCACAGGAUUUGUGAAUUUGGAUCUCUCCAAGGCCGUGUUCCAGAUAAACUCUUCAGCUAUUCACAAAUACAACAAGUGUAAGUUUCUAGUAAAGUAUAACCCUGUGAAGAAGAAUGGUAUAAUUCUCAAUUUUCAUUCUUGUAAAUCCGUUGCAGGAAACUGAGGAACAAUGCUUUCAAUAACACAUUGGACAUGGGAAAUGCUGUUGGUCCACUGUUGCAACUCGUUGAUUUGCAGAACAAUCAAAUUUCUGCAAUAACACUGGGUUCAGGAAUCAAAAACUAUACGUUAAUGUGAGACUACUCAUCAGCCUCAAUUCUCAUUGUAAAUGAUACUCUACCGUCUCUUUUCCAUUAUUCUUACUUAUCAAGUGAUGUUAUGCAUUUCAGACUUGUUGGAAAUCCGGUAUGCACGGCAACUCUGGCAAAUACUAAUUACUGCCAGCUUCAACAGCCGACCACAAAGGCCUAUUCCACAAGCUUGGCUAAUUGUGGAGGCAAAUCAUGUCCUCCUGAGCAGAAGCUGAGCCCUCAGAGUUGCGAAUGCGCCUAUCCAUAUGAAGGAACAAUGUAUUUCAGAGGACCAUCCUUCAGAGAAUUGUCCAAUGUCACAGUGUUUCACUCGCUGGAAAUGAGUCUGUGGGUGAAAUUAGGCCUCACACCUGGAUCAGUUUUUCUUCAGAAUCCUUUCUUCAAUAUCGACGACUACCUACAGAUUCAGGUUGCACUCUUUCCAUCUGGUGAAAAAUCUUUUAACAGGUCAGAAGUUCAAAAGAUAGGAUUUGAACUGAGUAAUCAAACCUACAAGCCUCCUAAGGAGUUUGGUCCCUAUUAUUUCAUUGCUUCUCCUUAUGCUUUCCAAGGUAACUUAAGUCUGUUUCUUUAUAACAGUCAACAAAAUAACAUCGAGAAUGGUGAUCUGACAAGAGAAUAUACAAAUAUGUUUUAGUUCCGCAGGGAGGUAAUUCUAUCAGCCCAGGAGUAGCUGCUGGAAUAGCAUGUGGAGGAGCCGUUCUAGUUUUAGGACUGGUAGGAUUAGGGUUGUAUGCUAUUCGGCAAAAGAAAAGAGCUGAAAGAGCGAUUGGAUUGAGCAAACCAUUUGGUAACAAAUAUUUUCGACAAUUGUCCGUUAUAUUGACCGAGUAAAUUGAGUUGCAAAUAUUAACAUACUGUAGCUGCCAACAUGAGAUCAUACCGUUUGAAUUCUCUGUUUUUGCAGCAUCCUGGGCACCGAGUGGCAAAGACAGUGGUGGUGCUCCUCAAUUAAAGGGAGCAAGAUGGUUCUCAUACGAUGAACUUAAAAAGUGCUCGAAUAAUUUCUCAGAAAGUAAUGAGAUAGGCUCUGGCGGCUACGGCAAGGUAAAUGCUCUUCUUGUUUAAAUAUUUGUGAAAUUUCGCUAACCUGCUGUUCGCUCAUCUUUUUCUGUUUUAUGCAGGUCUACAGAGGAAUGCUUUCUGAUGGACAAGUUGUGGCAAUCAAAAGAGCUCAGCAAGGAUCAAUGCAAGGGGGGCUGGAGUUCAAGACAGAGAUUGAAUUGCUUUCGCGUGUUCAUCAUAAGAAUCUCGUCGGUCUUGUGGGAUUUUGUUUUGAACAAGGAGAACAGAUGCUGGUUUAUGAAUUUAUGGCAAAUGGAACACUCAGGGAGAGCCUAUCUGGUAAUUUUAUCCUCAGUCUUGCUGUUUGCUUAAACAUAAGUUUCGACUUGUCAUCAUAUGGCAGCAAGUUUAUUCGCAUAAAUAUGUUUUGCAGGGAGAUCUGGCAUUCAUCUUGAUUGGAAAAGGAGACUAAGAAUUGCUCUUGGCUCAGCUAGAGGAUUAGCUUACCUACAUGAGCUUGCAAAUCCUCCUAUUAUCCACAGAGAUGUUAAGUCCACCAACAUUCUGUUGGAUGAGAACUUAACAGCUAAGGUUGCAGAUUUUGGCCUGUCUAAACUUGUAUCAGACAGUUCAAAAGGUCAUGUUUCAACUCAAGUCAAAGGCACAAUGGUGAGUACACUCAAUCCACAUCUCUUAUUUACUCUGUACAGACUUUGUAAUAGUUGGUUCAACUGGCAAGCUCUCUUGCUAUACACAAUACUUUUCGGUUUAAUUCAUUUGCAAGAGUAUGUUUGGUUGCAGGGUUAUCUAGAUCCUGAAUAUUACAUGACUCAACAACUAACUGAGAAGAGCGACGUGUAUAGUUUUGGAGUGGUUAUGCUUGAACUUAUAACGGCUAAGCAGCCGAUUGAGAAGGGAAAGUACGUUGUCCGCGAAGUAAGAACGGCUAUGAACAGGGACGACGAAGAGCAUUAUGGCUUGACGGAGAUGAUGGAUCCAACCAUCAGAAACACCGUCCUGCUAGGAUUCAGAAGGUAUCUGGAAUUGGCAUUACAAUGUGUUGAAGAAUCGGCCACGGACCGGCCAACAAUGAGUGAGGUGGUUAAGGCCAUUGAAACCCUUUUGCAAAAUGAUGGGAUGAACACAAACUCCACUUCAGCAUCUUCAUCUGCUACAGAUUUUGGUUCUUCAAAAGGUGUCGUUAGACAAAUCUAUGGUGAUGCAUUGCCUAAUAAUAAGAAGGAUAUCAAUGACACUAAUGCCUUUGAUUACAGUGGGGGAUACACACUUUCUGCUAAAGUUGAACCCAAGUAGAGGAAAGCACUUUCUCUUUUUUCUUCAAGUUUUAAGUUUUUAGAUAACUUGUGUGUAUUACAAGGGACAUGUUGUAUGCUUAGUGUGCUUGUCUGCUGAGAGCAAAAAAUUAUUUUGCUAUGAGAUAAUUAAAAAUCCUCUGAAAGAAUCCAGUUUGCAGUAAGACAAAGACGAGUUUUUCAAGUGACUGACCUCAUCCACAGGAGAAAAAAUAAAAUGGUAUCCAAAGUUUUUAUAACUUGAAAAGCAUGAAAAGUUUCCAUGUAACCAUUCGAAAUUACAGAAAAUGACCAUUCGAAAUUACAGAAAAUGAAACUUACAGAGAGUUAUAUACUGCACAAACAAACAAAACCACAUUCUUCAGAUCACAAACUUUCACUAUGCCACAGUCCUUGUAGUUCUGCUACUUGUAGUUCUGCUACUCAUGCUGUUCCUUGGGUGGCUUUACAAUAAUGAUCGGGCAUACAGCAUGAUGCGCACAGUAAUCACUUACACUCCCCAAGAAUGCCCUGAUAAUUAUGAACAUAUACAUAAGCAAUCAAUCAAAGGAAUCUAUUGCAAGCAAAUAGAUGAUUUGCAGUCCAUAAUACUUAAAAAUAUUUCAGUAAGAUGACUUGAACAGUAAUCUAGAUUCUUUGCCUUACGCCAAUAGAUGUUUAAAUGUGUGUGCAAUCAGUCUGGUGUCCACAACGAUGUGAUUCUUUAAGUAUAUUGGUUGUCACCUUUUAAUCUUGCCGAGGCCGCGGCUUCCGACAACAAGGAGAUCAAUGUGCAUUUGCUCAGCAGACUGACAAAUCAUGUCCUUUGGAUCCCCUUCAAGAACCAGACUCUCUGCUUUCACCUACAUAAGGUUACAUGUUUUAGAAUUAGAACCGAGGAAGUAUGGUCUAAAAAUUCGAUGCACGGAAGGCAUAUAAUACACUUUUAGCCAAUCACCAUCUUAUCUUUACACAUCUGCAAUGCCCGGGAAAGUAACGCCGCUGAAUUUUCUUCUUGGGAUUUCCUCACAGAUUCUACCAUCGAAGAUGUUGCAUAAAAUGCUAUCAAAUCAAAACCGCUUUAGAGAUCUAAUGCAAAUUUUAUGAUUUGAACUAGCAAACACAUACUGAAAGCUAUAGCAUACUAACAAAUUUUGAUCUCAUGUGAUGCAGACAUUCAUUUACCAUUUAAUGCACAUUUCAAAAAUGUGGGUUUGAGGACUGGACAACACUGUCUAACUAUGGUGAUUAGUGCACUGUCUACCACUCAUCCAUUCCGGAGAACUGUUAAUAAAACCAAAUGAUUUUCAUGGAAUUAAAGAACAUUUUGGAGCAUGUUACAAGUUAAUUAAGCAAAUCGGUGUAGCCAAUAGCCAACGAUUCUAUCAUACAAAAAAAAACAUUAAAGAAUUACUCGAACUCGCUGGAGUAGCUCAGUUGGUUAGAGCGUGUGGCUGUUAACCACAAGGUCGUAGGUUCAAGGCCUUCUUCUAGCGAUUAAUAUUCUAGUUAUUUAUCUAUUUAUUUUUUGUUUGGUAGUUACACUACCUGAACUGGUACUUGGGGGUUACACUACCUGAACUGGUACUUAAGGCUGGCAAAACGAAGCGCUGAAAUGGCUGCUGAACAUGAACGAUUGUUAGGAUACCGCCGCCGCCGCCAGCUUCCGGCGUAAAGCCGACGAUACCAUAAAGAUUGUCAAGAGCCCAUUUGAGUGCAUUGACACUCUCUGCACUUUCAUCAAUAGCCACCAUCACCUUCAUCUUCUUCUUGCCGUCUGUCAUUUUUGUCUCCUCUUCUUCUUUUGAUUGCAGCAUUGCUGACCCUGAACCACCUGGAACUGUUUCUUUCUCCAUUACCCAAUUCUUUUACACCUCCCUCUCGGACAACAAUGUCAAUGUCACAACAUACAGUAGUGAGCCUAUUUGCUCUUUAUAUAAAUUGAACGAUGAUUGGGUUUUUGUCAUUUUCGAAAAAAUUAGGGAGCUGAAAAUGAGGUGUCAUUACGUGGAAGUUUAUGAGAGGAAAUGUGGCAUGAGCCCAACAAAUGGCAUCCAUGCAAUUGAAGAGUUACAAUUCCAGCAUGCAAAAUUUUAUAUUUUUAUUAAAUAGAUCUACAGCGUAGUUGGUGCCCGUUGUUGGCGACUCUAACUUUGGUAACGUAAAAUAAAAUUACAUUCGCCUAAUUCAUAGCCUAAAAUUAGCUCGUACUUUGAAAUUACCCAUGCUUACAUUGAUAAUAUGUUCUCUAUAACUUUUUCUCCGCUCAAAAUUAUUUUCUUAAACGCUAAUCAUUUUUCAACCAAUGUGUAUGUUCUUCUCAACUCAUUUUUCCUCUCUUUACGUUAUAGGAGAUAUUCGCCACUUUUUUUUUUUUGGUAUAUUAAGUUGUCUAGUAUUCAAAAAUUUUAUUGACCUCAAUUAAUUCAAAUUCGAGUUGGGCAUGACCAUUAAGGUGAUAAAUCUCUCCCAACAAGCAUUCUUAAAUUUCAAAUUGAAGAACUUGAUUAACUUAAAACAGCUCCAUACCAGCUGAUUUACGUACUUGUUAAUAUAUUAGCAUCCCAUAAAUAAAAGUUAUUUUUUUAUUAGAAGUUCUUAGAUUUCAGAAAUAAUGUCCAUAAUUUUUAAAAUGUUAAUCGCAUUAUAUACAUACAUAGGUCGUGUUUAGAUGCGGAUUCAUACUUAAAUAUCAGAUUAAUUAGCUUAUAACUUCUGUUGCUAUAGCGUUACUUGCUUAUUUAGCAUUCCUUUAAUGGUCUAGUUAGGUUAUGAAAUCAGACUUCAAGUCUACAUAAGUAGAGGUACACCCUGUUAUAACAAUUUCAUAAGUCUUGAAUAAAACUUUCGUUUAUUCUAUAACCAAACCAUUGUAUUACACAAUUAAUUAAGGGAGCUUAAUGAACUGUACACUCUUACGCUCAUACGCACACAUUAUUUUACACACACAUUUCCCACUUCACAAAAAUAAAGAGAUAGCUUCUUACGUUCUUGAUACUUUUUCGCUAUGCCACACGGUCCUUAAAAUUCUUGUGCUUAUGGUGCUCCUUUGGUGGCUUGACAAUGAGGAUCGGACAUACAGCAUGAUGCGCGCAGUAGUCGCUUACGCUGCCCAAAAAUGCCCUGCCAGUAAUAAAUCGGAUUAAAACUCUGUCAUGAUUUGAUCUCCUUUUGAGUAAAAAUAUAUAUGGGUCAUUGAUAGUUAAUAAAUAAAGAAAAAUCAAACUUUAAAUCUUACUCAUAUAUUAUCACUUAAAGACACAUGACACGAGAUUUUUAAAAACUCAUAAGAAUUCAGAUCAAGAGAGGAUCUUAACCCAAUAAAUUAAUAGUAGCAAUUAAUAAUUAGAUAAUCAACAACCCGAACUUUUAUAGACAAAUAAUAGUAAGAUUAAUUACUCUUGGCGACGGCCAAAAUUAAUCAGUUUGAUGCUCACAAUAUAUUGUAUAACACUUAGGUAUUUUAAUUAAUUGUCAGCACAUGUUUACAUCACCUCUUAACCUUGCCGAGGCCACGGCUUCCAACAACAAGGAGAUCAAUGUGCAUUUGUUCUACAGCCUGACAAAUCACAUCCCUUGCAUCCCCAUCAAGAAUCAGUGUUUGUGCAUUCACCUGCACCAUGCAUGCAUGCAAGUUUUACAAUUUAAUUUGUACACCACUGAUAUCUAAGGACUGAAAGGAAAACAAUUCUACCAUCUCUUGUAAAGUCCUAGUAGCUGAUAUGUGCUGCGUGAAUAAGUAGAUUAAUCCUACUUAUUGUAUAGAUUGUAGAAAGGUUUCUUAAAUUCUGCUUAGAGCGGGUAAACUUUUUUAUUUUUUUGGUCGAUGGGAAAGUGUGUUUUUUUAAUGCACUAAAAGUAUAUAUACAAAAAUUAAAAUAUGAUACGAAUUUUUACAAUGUUAUAAACUGUUAUUUUUCACUAUUUACAAUGCUGCAAACUCAAAAAUCAAUUUCCAAUGUUGGAAAUUCGUACCAAUUUUAAUGGGGAUUAAAAAAUUUUCGGAUUUAGGUAGCGACUACCAUGUUUUCUUUGCACACUUGUAGUGCUCGGGAGAGUAGAGCUGCAGAACUUUGUUCUUCGGCUUUCUUGACAUUUUCCACCAAAGUAGACGUUGCAUAAAACGCUGUCAAUUAAUUAAUUAUCGGCUUUCAUCUCCGCCAAUUAUGAAUAAAAGGAUUCCAUAUCGACAAGCAUAAUUUAAUUAUUUGCUAACCUGCACCAGCGGGGAUAAAAGGCUGCUGAGCAUGAACAAUUGUCAGGACGUUGCUGCCACUGCCGGCUUCCGGCGUAAUGUCGGUGAUGACAUAAAGAUUAUCAAGAGCCCAUUUAAGUGCAUAAAAACUCUCUGCACUUUCAUCAAUAGCCACCAUCACCUUCAUCUUCUUCUUGUUUUUCCUGAUCAUCGUCACCUCUUCCUCUUUUGCUUGCAGCACUGCUGACCCUGAACCUGCAAUUGUAUCUUUCUCCAUAUAUACCCAAUUCUUUUAAUUCUCUCUCUCUCUCUCUCUCUCUCUCUCGAUCAGACAACAUGAACCGUCUCAACAUAGAGUAGUAAGCAAGUAAGUAACCAAUUACUUUUUAUAGAAAUAAAAACGUGAUGGCUUUUGUCUUUCUCUGUAAAAGGAGAUGAAAAUGAGGUGUUACGUGUAAGUAAUUAUGUGGGCAAUAUGGAGAUUUAAUUUAGCUGGUCCACGUGGCAUCCGAGCAAACGGAAGUUCCAAUUGCAGCAUGCAAAAUUUUGUUUCAUUAAGUAACAAGAUUUGCAUGCAUCCCAAAUCUUUUGUUCUUUCCCCCCACAAAUGAUAUAUACUGGUAUACUUAUCCCAUUUGUACUAUAUAGAUCCAUAAGUCGUAUUACAUAAUCGGCAGAUCAGCCUAGGUAAGAGAUAAUCCAUUUUGCUUAAUUGGUCACGGAUUCAAGAGAGAAUACAUUUUGCUCAAUUUAUCACGGAUUCAAGUGUAGAGGAUACAUUUAAUUAAGGAUAAAUAUUUAUUCAAUUCCUAUAUUUUAAAAAAUAUCUCAAGAUAUCUAUUUUGAUAUUUUCACCCUUAUUUUUUCUUUACCGUUACAAUAAUAAUACCCUCACUAUUAUCUUAAAGAGUAUUAAUUAAUUUAUCCAUAAAAUGUUAAUUAGCAAUUGAUUAAUAAUUAUCAAUCUAAUAUCCUUACGCCGGUUUUUCUGAUAAUCAAUUAUAAAUAAAUUAAUAACAACCAAUUUAAAGCCACAUUUAACACUUUAUAAGGACAAAAACAUUCUUGCAAGGGUGUUAUAUAAAAGCAAAGAAAAUAAAGGUAAAAAUAUCACAUAUUUAAUAAUAGGGGUGUCUUGAGAUAUUUUUUAAAAUAUAAAAACUAAAUGAGCAUUUAACUCAAAAUAUAAGACUAAACAAAUAUCUAUCUUUUAAUUAAUCUGGGAUGGAAUUGGGAAUGAUUAAGGUGCAAUAUAAUUGGAUUAAAAAAUGUACAAAGACAUCCAUACCAUACAUAACAUAAAGAUCCGUUGAAUGAAAUUGAAUGGCUAAGAUUUUGUUUUAAUUAAUUCUUAUUUAAAGAGACAUCUAAGGUCACAUGAUUGUUGUAAUGUUUUCCCCUCACAUCUCUCUCUACAUUCACGCCCAUCUCCAGCAAAUUGUAAAACAAAAAACAAAAAAAAACAAAAGCACAUGCUGGAGAAACGAAAUCGACAAUAAUGUUUGUUCUAAUUAAUUUCAUUCUUUUCGUCUCUUCUCUUUCUGUGUUGACGUUGAUCUCCAACAAAUUGAAAAUUUAAAAAAAAAGUCUGAAUAAAGAUGGUUAGGAACAUGGGUGCGGGAGGCUAAGGGACAAUGAUGAUGAUUACGGGGUCUAGGCUAUAUAGUAUCAAACAACUUUUGUUCGAUCGAGGAGUAGAGAUAGAAAUGAGCUAAUAGUUUUGUUUCAUAGUAUUUUGUUUUGGGUGAGAUGUACAUCGAAAGGGAUUGACGUGUUCAAUGGAAAAAGCGAUCAGAAAAGUGUAAGAAAAGCUGAGAAGUUAGGAUGUUGGAGAUUGCCCUCCAAGUGCUUGACGAAACGGCUGAACGAAAUUGGCUGUAGAUGUUGAGAAGAUUUGUUGGAGGGCAAAUGCACAAUUUUCAAAUUUUUGAGUAGUUAGUGUAUGGAAAAUGCAUUUGGAGAAGUUAAUGGGAAUUAUCGCUCAUUUUACACUUUUCUGAUCGCUUUUUCCAUCGUACACGUCAAUCUCUUUUGAUGUACAUUUGCCCCAAAACAAAAUACUACGAAACAAAACUAUUAGCUCAUAUCUAUCUCUACUCCUUGAUCGAACAAAAGUUGUUUGAUACUAUAUAGCCUAGACCCCGUAAUCAUCAUCAUCGUCCCUCAGCCUCUUGCACCCAUGUUUCCUAACCAUCUUUAUUCAGACAUUUUUUAAAAUUUCAAUUUGCUGGAGAUCAACGUCAAUAUAGAAAGAGAAGAGACGAAAAGAAUGAAAUUAAUUAGAACAAACAUUAUUGUCGAUUUCAUUUCUCCAGCGUGUGCUUUUUGUUUUUUUUGUUUUUUACAAUUUGCUGGAGAUGGGCGUGAAUGUAGAGAGAGAUGUGAGGGAAAAAAUUUACAAUAAUCACGUGACCUUAGAUGUCUCUUUAAAUAAGAACUAAUUAAAACAAAGUCUCAAGUCAUUUAAUUUCAUUAAUAACACAUGUCAGCGGAUCUUUAAAAAUUUAGGAGGACUAGGAAAGAAAGAGCCUAGGAGAGGAUAUGGAUCCUUGUAUCAAAUAGUUUCUCAAUUAAUUCCAAUUCUUUUAUUUUUAUUUGUAUUUUUAUUUUUGACAAACUCAAUUAAUUCCUAUUAGAAUGACUGGAAUGCUCUUUAGUCUCAACCAACUUUCACUUUCCUUUCAUACUGUGAGGCGGUUAAAACUCAACAUUAAGGGGUAGAUUGGUCAUUGAACUAUUAUUGCGACAACUGGUCGAAGUUCCUAGAGCGUUGGCUUUUAGCAGCAUCGCCAUGGAUCCACAGUGAUCGUUUGUUGAGAGCUAAAAAAUACUUUGCUAUGCGAUAAUUAUUGAUCACACAGAAAUCAUCUAGUUAGUUUGCUUUUUACAACUCUAAAAUAUAUAAAGAUCACUCAGUAAAUUGAGUGUCUUCUUUAUUUUCUUUUAAUUUUCUAUUUAUAUUUAUCUUAAUUACAUGAGGAAGAAUAAAACUUAAAAGUUGAUGGAAAAUCACCCAACAGAAGAUUAUCCAAAAACAAGAAAAGUCUCAAAAAUAGAACCAUGUAAAUCGAUCCAAAUCACCCAUUAUUACAGAAAAUAGAGACACAUUUAUCUGCUGCAUGCACAAACAAAGACAAUAAAUUCUUCUGAUAUUACAAACUUUUUAUUCUUCUUAUAUCACAAACUUUGUCUCUAUAUCAUAGUCCUUACGGAGCUACUGCUUAGUAUGGUGCUGCUUUGGCGGUGGCUUGACGAUGAUGAUCGGACACUGGACAUGAUGUGCACAGUAGUCACUUACGCUACCCAAUAAUGCCCUGCCAAGUGUCGAUUACAGUAAAUAAUCAACAAGCCAGAAAAUUUAUACACAAAUUACAAUGACCAAAAUGUCGGAUGAAAUACUCAAAAGUGUGUAUGAUGCUCACAUGUCACAACUGAGAUUAUCAGGUAAAGCUCAGAUUCUCAGGUAUUCAUAUUAACACCUUGUUUUUUUAAAUUAACUAUAACCGUAUGGUGUUGACGUGAAACAUCACAAAAUUGACAUUUAGAACUCUCAUACCCAAGAAUUUCUACGGCAUUACAUAUAUGUGUAUAUUUAUAUAAAUAAUUGUCACCUUUUAAUCUUGCCGAGGCCACGGCUUCCUACAACAAGGAGGUCCAUAUGCAUUUGUUCUGCAGCCUGACAUAUCAUGUCCUUUGGAUCCCCAGUAAGAACCAGUGUUUCUGCUUUCACCUGCACCACACAAGUUAUCAGUAAUAGUACACUGCCCACAUAUAAAUACCAAAUUUAAUGAAAUUUAAUUUAAUUAAUUUUGUUUGCUGGUUGCAUAAUGUUACGGUACAGCUAGCUCACAUAGUCAUCACACACACUGACACACACACACGCACACGCACACGCACACAUGCAGCCUGAGUAAGUUCAUUAAUGCUACUAAUCGUAUCCGAAGGGUUUCUUAAUUAAAUUCUGCUCAGUGCUAAAUUUUUUUUAAUUUAUAAGUGAGAGUGUCUCUAAUCACAAAAAGUUUAUUGCUAGUUAAAGUAGACAUGUACUGUAAUUUGUAAGUUACAUUCUUAUCCUUGCAUAUUUGCAGUGCUCGCGAGAGAAGGGCUGCAGAAUUCUCCUCUUGAGCUUUCCUGAUAGAUUGCUCCACCGAAGAUGUUGCAUAAAAUGCUGUCAAAAAUUUAAUUUAGUCUUCAUUUCACAGCCAAAAUAUCAAAAUCAUUCACUUCUGCAUGCAAUGCAACCAACAGUUGGUUCGAAGUAACGCCUAUACUCACUUUAAAGUUUUGUAUUGCUGAACAAACAAUAAAUAAAAGUUAGAUGAGUUUGAUCAAGGGGCUGGAGUAGCUCAGUUGGUUAGAGCGUGUGGCUGUUAACCACAAGGUCGAAGGUUCAAGCCCUUCCUCUAGCGGGGUUUUAAGUUUCAUUUUACCAUUAGCACAUCCAAAAAUAUUUUCCACAAUAUUACAAAGUAAAAAAAAUUCUUGGUAAACAGAUCACCUGCACCGCCAGGUCCGGCAGGGAAGACAAAGUGCUGAAAGGGCUGCUGAACAUGAACAAGUGUGACCGUGCCGGCGCCGCGGUCGCUGGUUCCCGGCGUUACGGCUCCUGUGAUACCAAAAAGAUUAUCAAGUGCCCAUUUGAGUGCAUAGAAACUCUCUCCACUUUCGUCAAGCGCCACCAUCACCUUCAUCUCAUUCUUCCCCAUCAUCUCCUCCUCUUCUUCUUUUGUUCGCUGCAUCGCUAAUCCUGCACCCUCCACCGCCUCCAUCGCCAAAUUCAAUUGCUAUCACUAUCAGUAUACCUCACGUAUUUGAAUAUAAAUUCGAUUACAAUUUUACAAAUUUUCUUUUAUACAUUGAACAUGAUAUUUAUUUAUUUAUUUAUUUAUAAUAAUUAUAUAUGGUGUUUUUGUUAAGAAAUUCUUGUUUUGUUGUGAGGAAAAGUUUAAGAGUGAAGGUGGUACGUGGAAGUACGGUAACAGAUCAUGAAACUUCAGCCGGGACAUAUGGCGUCCAUGCAAAUGAAAUCUUCCAAUUGCAGCAUGCAAAAGGCAUCUACCAUACUAAUAAUUAUUCAUUUAACAUUUACCGAAAUCUCUUAUAUAAAGUGAUGGUGCAGUCUGAAUCUUUAUGCUAUUUUUAGAAAAAUUAACUCCAUAAUAUGUCCAAAGGAGGACUAAAAAUUUUUAUUCACAUGGAUUUGUAGUAAAAUUUUAUUCUAAAAAGUGUUAAAUUCAGAUUUAAAUUUCGCACUGAGCUGAAUUUAAAAAUAUGUAAUUAGUAGAUAUUAGAUGAAGAUAUAUUGCUAUAACGUACACAUGGAAACCAAUCAAUUAGAAUGAUACAAUGUAAAACCAAAAAGUAAAAGGAAGGAUAAGUCAAAAAUUAACCCAAAAAAAAGUGAUUAAUCCUUUAAAAAAGUUCUGAAUGAUAAUAUAUGGGCCUUCUUGACGGCCCAGGGGUGUAUAUUCCAGUCCAUUAGAUAAUCCGACAAUCCGUUGUCGUUUGAUAGGCAUUUACAUUUUACAGUUAUGAUGCAUGUGGUUAGUUAUGUAUAUAUCCGUAAAACUUCAAUCAUCAAAUAUGUAAUUCCUUUAAACCAAAAAAAAAAAAAAAUUCAUUUUCAGUUUAGAGAAAUUUGCCCAUUUUACCUUACAAAAAAUACUUGCCAAAUAAAAGCAUUAUUCAAUCAAUGACUCUGAAAUAUUUAAUCAAACUUUUGCACAUGGAGAGAAUGUAACAACGAACUAUAGCUUUUCAAUUUUCACUCAUCCGAAAGCAUUUCAACAAAAAAAAAAAAAAUUAUGUAUGCAAUAAAAAUUCCUUGAUCACUAGAGGAUAAAUUAAGAUAAAAAUGAAUCUAUAAAACGUUUUAAUCAAGCAAAGGCGUGUUAUAACAAAAAAAAAUAUAAUUUACAGGUCACAAGAAAAAAAAGGAACGAAAAAAGGUAAAACGCAGAAACCAGUAGUCAUCCUGUACUAGGAAAGCAAGGGACAGUGUGUCACCGACCUCAAUCAGUCACUCCGCACGCACGUGACCCAAUCAAGCCGCCACGUAACAAUAUCGUACGUCACCUAACACAAUAUCCCACAUGGCUUAUUCUGAAUGGCCGCUUCUACGCUUGAGAGACAAGAUCUGAAAUUCUUAUUUCCAAAAUUACCCUCUGAGUUUUUUCAAGUUGACAAUUACGUCCAUCAUCAAAGUAAAUCCCUCUCUCUCUCUCUCUUUUCUCUUCCUCUUGUCACCCUCACCUUACAGUGUCCCCCGCUUCCCUUCUCUUCUCUUCUCUUAUAUUACUCUCUCUUUUCAUUUUCUUCCUUCUUACACAAAUUGACAAUACUGCCAUUCCGAUAAAUCUCUCGCUUCUCGACUUUUCGAUUUCGCGAUCGGACGGUCAUGACUAUGAUGACUCCUCCACCGUUAGAUGUAAACAUCACUCUAUUUUUUUUUCUCUCUCUCUCUCUAGCUUUAUCUUUAUUUCCUUUGAUUGUUUUGAACUGUUUCUAGUUAUUUUCUCGAUCAACUAGGGUUUUGUGUUUGGAUUGACUUAAAUUCGACGAAAUUUUCCGUGAAUGUUAGUGAUUGAUAUCUAGGGUUUUUGAUUGAGUGAAUUGCGGCUGACUUAUAAUUUUGAUUUAAUGAUUUGUGUUUUUGUGUGUUUGGACUUUGUAGCAAGAAGAGGAGGAGAUGCUUGUGCCGCAUUCGGACAUAGUCGAGGGUCCUCAGCCAAUGGAAGGUUCGUUUUAACGGUUGAAAUUUUGUAUUUUUGUUUAGUUUCGUGUUUUUGUGGAUUAUUUAGUGCUGUAGAGAGGAUCUGGAGGUGGCUUAUGUAUAAUUUUGGUUUUGAUUGAUUGGUUUUGGUAUUAGGGUUUUGAGUGUUUUGUAUUGAUUUUUAUGAGUUUUGUGUAUGUUAGUGGUUUCGCAAGUGGAGCCGGCUAGUACUGUGGAGAAUCAGCAAGUGGAAGAUCCUCCUACAAUGAAAUUCACUUGGACUAUAGAGAAUUUCUCUAGAUUGAAUACCAAGAAACAUUAUUCUGAUGUAUUUGUCGUUGGCGGUUACAAAUGGUAAUUAUAUGAUGGACACUAUCUCACUGAUUGAAUUGUUUAUGCAAUGCGAUAUUCUUCUUGUGAUUGAGAUUGAACGUUGGUUGUUGCUGCUUUGUUGCAGGCGGAUACUUAUUUUCCCAAAGGGAAACAAUGUGGACCACUUGUCUAUGUAUUUGGAUGUUGCCGACUCUGGAACAUUGCCAUACGGAUGGAGUAGAUAUGCACAGUUUAGUCUGGCUGUAGUUAACCAAAUUCAUUCCAAAUAUUCAAUCAGAAAGGGUAUCUUCUUAACUGUAAUUAUUGCUGUAGUUGCUCUAUUGAUGUUCAUGCUCUUGUUGUUAGUAAUUAAUUGCUACAGCCUUUAAUUAAGUGAAAUUAAUUAUUCUUACAUUAUUAAAUUUUCCUAUUUACUUUGUUUUAAAUUUUUAUUGCCACAAGUUUACUUUCCAAGCAUGGUAUUGAGAAUUUUCCCUGAACAGAGCAUUCUUCAAUUUUUCAUUUUUUUCUUUUUUUGUUUCUACCGAUAAGAAAUCAAGUUUAUUGGUUCAAUGUAUGUUUUAUAUGCUUGGUUAUUUAAUUCACUCAAUUGUGUAUUUCUUUUCUAAUAUGAUCCCUGGUCGCAUUUCUUUCUGUUUGAUGACUGUGCAAGCAACAAUAACAAGAAAAAAGAAAGUAAAUAAAAAUGUUGAAGUUUUCCUUUCAUCAUAUAUGAUAUAAAUAAAUGUGGCAACACAUUCUUUUCCUUCCAAAGAAUGAUUGAUUGAUUGCAUGCAUUCAAUAUUUUUAAGCAGCUUCAGUGCACAAAACAAUGUGUAAUUGCAAAGAAAAUUCAUGUAUGGCCUAUAUUAUGUGGGAAGAGAGGAGUGAUGAGAAAGGCAAGAAUCUUUAAUAUUUGCCGGAAAUUUGUAUGCUGUUAAAUAUAGCAAUAGAUCAUCUGUUAUGCAUGCGUUACAAACUGGUGACUUCAACUUGACAAUUAGUCUGCCAAUUUGGUCAAAUUUAGAAGUGUGUUCUUGUAGAAGUUGUAAAAAAAUUCAAAAAAAAAAAAUCAGAAUACUGUUGUUUCUCUAGUUUUGCAAGUUAAUGAAAGAUAUCUGCUUGCAGUUGUUUUGCUUGUGCUUGUCAGGAAACUUAUGUUUGAGUUUGUCUGUAUAAAGAACUUUGUACUUUUUGCACUGUAAAUUUAAGCCAAUUAUAUUGGUGACAAAGAAUAGGGCUUCCAUCGUGGUUAUUUAUACCAGAUGUUGGGUCUAUUAUGUACUUUGAUUUAAUCAUAACGAAUUUCUUCUGGAUUGUGCAGAUACUCAACAUCAAUUCAAUGCAAGAGAGAGUGAUUGGGGUUUCACAUCCUUUAUGCCACUUGGUGAUCUUUAUGACCCUAGUAGAGGAUAUUUGGUGAACGAUAGUGUUGUCGUUGAAGCUGAGGUUGCUGUUCGUAAAGUCCUGGAUUAUUGGUCAUACGACUCGAAAAAGGAGACUGGUUAUGUUGGACUUAAGAAUCAAGGAGCAACCUGUUACAUGAAUUCUCUCUUGCAGACUUUGUACCAUAUACCUUACUUCAGAAAAGUGAGGACAUAGUCUGAUGUUUUCAACCAUAAGUCACCUUCAUUUACUGUUAAUGUUUUGUAGAAAGUUAAAAGCCUCAUGUUGUAAAGUAUAUUUCAGGCCGUGUACCACAUGCCGACAACUGAAAAUGAUUUGCCUUCAGGAAGCAUUCCUUUAGCUCUGCAGAGUUUAUUUUAUAAGCUUCAGUAUAAUGACACCAGCGUUGCAACAAAGGAAUUGACCAAAUCAUUUGGAUGGGAUACAUAUGAUUCUUUCAUGCAACAUGAUGUACAGGAACUUAAUAGGGUCUUGUGUGAAAAACUUGAAGACAAAAUGAAGGUAUGGUGGUUUAAUGAGUUUUAUAGUUUUUCUGGUGCAUUUUCUUUCAUGUCUGUCAUCCUAUGAUUAUUGUUCUGUUGGUCCAGGGAACUGUUGUGGAAGGGACAAUUCAGCAGUUAUUUGAAGGUCACCAUAUGAAUUAUAUCGAGUGCAUAAAUGUGGACUACAAGUCUACAAGAAAGGAAUCAUUUUAUGGUAUUUAUACUUUUAGAUGUUGUUUGGGAUUGAGUUUGUUUUUAUCAAUAAUGUUGAUUCAGACAAGUGCUUCUUACAUGGCAGACCUCCAACUUGAUGUCAAAGGCUGUAGAGAUGUCUAUGCUUCUUUUGACAAGUAUGUUGAAGUUGAGCGUCUGGAGGGUGAUAAUAAAUACCAUGCCGAAGAACAUGGCUUACAGGUUAGUUUAUGGGAGUUGAUUGGGACGUGAUACUUGUCUUGCUUUAGCCUCUUGUUUUUAACUCACCUAUGCUUGCCUUUGUAAAGCACAUCGGUUUGUAUGUGAAAGUUUAAAAGUUUAGACUAGCUCGCUCUUUCAUUUUAUAUUUUUUUCUGUCAUUUGUACGUAAAACUAAUUUAAAGGUUUGUCCCUCAAAGCUAAGCUUAACUAUGCUGAUAGCACUGAUUAGGCAGAUCUAUCUGUGUAAUAAAUAUAAAAUUAUCUUGAGGUGUUAUAUUAUUAAAAAAGAUCGUUUCAAAUAGACCCAAUGAUAUUUUUUUCUUAAAUUAAAAAAAAAUUCCAGAUAUAGCAGCUCGAAGGCAUGGUUGGUUUCUGCCCAGCUGAGUGUCAGCUCUGUGUUUCUAAGAAAUCAGGCAAAUCAAAGUUAAACUUUGGUAAUAGUAUUAGAUAGUUUUGCUGUUAACAAGAGAUAAUUUCUAGAAGCAACUGAAAGAUCAUCCUUAAGAUGAUGCCUGCAAUGUAAGGAUUUAUUUUGGUAUUAGAUUAUUCUGUUUUCUUGUAUAUUUUGUUCAGCAUCAUUCUUUAAAAUAUAAUAGUUUUAACAAUUAUUUUGAAAAGUUUUGCUUCCAUUAGUUGAGUUUUGCUUCCAUUAGUUGAAGAUGUUUCUCUAUUCACAUGCUGGAAUUUUUUAUCUUUCAGGAUGCCAAGAAGGGAGUCUUAUUUAUUGAUUUUCCGCCUGUGCUUCAACUCCAGUUGAAGCGGUUUGAGUAUGAUUUUAUGCGAGAUGCUAUGGUGAAGGUCAGUGUCAAUGAUUUGUGUGAUCAGAUUCCAUGUCUUGCCUAGCCCUUGUCGUUUUGUAGUUAUCUAUAUGGAGUAAAUUUCUUCUAUACAAAACAUGGAUUUGGAUUGAGAGAAAGUAUUUUAAUAAUAGUAGUAAUAAUAAUAUUAUAAUACAAAUAGAACUGAGAGGAAGUAUUAUAUGCUUUUUGUGCUUUCAAAUUGUCCUGCUCUGUGAUGUAAAAACUCUGCCUGUAAUAAAGUUACUGUUGUUUGUUGGACAAAACAUAUAUUUUGCAGUUUUUUUUCAUCUUUUCUGAUUCUUCCAUUUUAUUGUGGUCUCUUGUAUGACUUCUCAUUUGUUAUGUAAUGUCCUAAUAAGUUGAAGGUAGGUUGUGGAUGGUUCUUCUAUUUGUAGUAUUUAAUUUGGACACGUCUUUUUUUUCUUAAAAAAAAAUGGAUACCGUUGUGUUGAAGGUUUUACAUGUCAUUGAAUUGUUGAGUUUGAGUGAGGAAAUUGUGCAUGCUUGAGGAAAAACUACAUUUAUACUAGUCUACAGUUUAGUUCUAUAUUAAUUGGCUCUUUUGUUUUGUAGAUAAAUGACCGCUAUGAGUUUCCUCUUCAACUUGACCUUGAUAGAGAGAAUGGGAAGUAUCUAUCACCAGAUGCAGAUAGGAGUGUCCGCAAUCUUUACACGCUUCACAGGUACUAGCCUCUUUUGGUUUUUUUGUUUUAGGAGUCAGUAUAGGUAUUUUGCUUAGCAAUUGGUGGUAGAUUGAAAGAAGGAGAUUGCAUCCUCAUUUUAAUUUUGUGCACCUGAGCACAUUACUUUUAUGGAUGUAGUGCUUUAUGAGAUUUUUGAUUCUUCAUGUGCUAUUCGUUUGUCAUAGUGUCUUGGUUCACAGCGGAGGGGUACACGGUGGGCAUUAUUAUGCUUUUAUCAGGCCAACACUCUCUGAUCAGUGGUAAGUUUAUCUUGCUUUUACAUUUAAAAUUGAUUUUGUGUGUGCAUGCUCUGCACGCUCUCUUUACUAUUUUGUGUUUGCUUGACAUCCUGCCAUUAGUUUGCCCAAACUGGCUAGGAAUAUUUUCUGGUGCAUCUAUCUGUGUUUAAUCACUACUUGGUUUUAGUAUUGUUAGGAAGUAUUAUUGAGGGCAGUUUUUAUGAUAUGUGCGUAUUUUUAGUUAAGUUUCAAUAAAAAUAUUUCCAGUUUAUUUGUUGUCAGUUUGAGUAGAAAUCAUUGAAAUCAAUUUAAAUAUCAUCAACAAUAAAAUGGAAGUUAAUUAGCCUUUGUUAAUACGAUCUGAAUGAGGGAUAAAUACCUCAAGUGCCUUCCAUAUUCAAGAUUCCAAGGUUUUGGCCCCAAUUAGUCCCUUUUCCUUUUUUUUUCUUUUUGGGUAUGUAGGAUGGCUAUUGUAAGAUACAUUCGAGACCAAAGAAGAUGCCGUAACUCUUUACCCCAUAUUUGUCUUUUUCGGAUAGCCUAUUUUAUAGGAUCACAUUAUAUUGGAAUUUUGAUUGUCUGCGGAAACUUAGAAGUAUAUCUUUGCCCCCACAAUAUGCUCAUGAGAUGUCAAGCACCUAAAUUCUUAAGGAGUGGUGAAAACUAUCUGUAUGACUGGAUAAUGGAUUGUUUGAUGAGCUUCUAUCAGAAUAGCUAAAUGUUGUAUGCGUCCUUUUAUAAAUAGAUGGUUUCGUUGAUUCGGAUUUCUUGCUCAUAUAAUCUUAUUACCAGUUUCAUAUAUUUUUUAUCGUUUUUUCUUCAACUACCUAUUUUGUUUCUAAAAUUUGUGUAUAUACCCACCUUGUUGUAAACAUUUGUGUAUAUGUUGUAAACAUUUGUGUAUAUACACAUGUUUGUCUAUGUAUAUAGUGAUUAUCUGAAAAUAUGUUAGUUUAUCAGUAAUGAUUCUUUUUUGGCAGGUACAAAUUUGAUGAUGAGCGGGUAACCAAAGAAGAUGUGAAGAGGGCUUUGGAAGAACAGUAUGGUGGUGAAGAAGAGGUAAGUAAAGUAUUCAGAUGUCUCUUAUAUCUUUUGUUCACUUCGCCAACUAAUCUUCUUGUGUUGUUCUGCUUGUCCAACAGUUGCCACCGACCAAUCCUGGUUUCAAUAACACUCCUUUUAAGUUCACAAAAUACUCAAAUGCAUACAUGCUUGUGUACAUACGUGAAAGUGAUAAGGACAAAAUAAUAUGUAAUGUUGAUGAGAAGGACAUUGCUGAACACCUGAGGGUAAUCUCUUAAUCCUUAUAGUUGGUAUUGACUUGUGCAUGCCUGGACAUAGUCUGAUACAUUGAACAUUUUAAUCCAGAUAAGGUUAAAGAAAGAACAGGAAGAGAAGGAGGACAAGAGAAGAUAUAAAGCACAAGCCCAUCUUUACACUAUCAUCAAGGUAAUAGUUUCUUACUUAAUUUCUUGUUUAUGCUUUAUUCUUUAGUCAUGACAAGCAUGUAUUGGCGUCACAAUUGAAAAUCAUAAUCUAGGUUGCACGAGAUGAGGACCUUGCAGAGCAGAUUGGAAGGGAUAUAUAUUUUGACCUGGUGGAUCAUGACAAAGUUCGUAGUUUCCGUGUUCAGAAACAAACGUCAUUUAUGGCUUUUAAGGUGGUAUUUGAUUUUGUAUUUUCCAGUGAUUUCAUUUUUCAUUUUUCACUUUUCACUUCCUGUUAUUUGAGUUCUUUCCUUUUUUUGUUCUUUUUUUUGGGUGUCAUGGCUGUGAAUAGUAUAGUUGAACAGAUUGUGCAUGAUUAAUUAACUAAAUGCAUGGUGUUUCUGCAGUAUUGUGACCAAUUUUGUCUUUUCUUUUUUAAACUCAAUAGAUAUCUAAUUUUGGUUUGGUCUACAGGAGGAAAUUGCCAAAGAGUUUGGUAUACCAAUACAGCUUCAGCGUUUUUGGAUUUGGGCAAAGCGUCAAAAUCAUACAUAUCGUCCCAAUAGACCAUUGCUACCCCAGGAGGAAGCACAAACUGUAUGUAGUUUCUACCUCUGAAUCUUCCUGGAAAUUAUUUAUUUAUUCAUUGCAAUAAGCAGGCAUGUGCAUUGGUCUUGGAUUCCAUCACAUUUUCCCCUUGCAAUAAUUAGGGUAAGACCUAGGGGAUUGUGAUGGAUAUUUGAAUAUGUGAUGUCCUUUAUUUUCAGCUGUUAAUGGAAAUGUUUGUGGAAGGGGUCUGGUAUAGCUAUGUUGUAAUGGUAGCAUUAGAUUCUAUCAACCUUCCCUUUACUUUUCUUCUUGUGCUUAUUAACAUCCAGUUGGAGAUUUUACCUGACAAAUGAAUAGUAUACAUAGGAGUUGAGUUUUUAAUUGUGUAAAACUUCAACUUAAGUGCCUGUUAUACUCAGCGUCUAGAGAACAUUUCCUGUUAUUAUGUUCUGUAUCCCUCUUUUGCAUGAUUCCCUAACCCAUUUUCUAGCAGAUGCUGCAAAUAAUCUUAAAGAACUUCAUGUGUGUGUCACUGAACUUCAUGUAUGUAUCACUACGCCUUUUGCUUUUCAAAGUUUUUCCCAAGAUUUGUGUCUUGUCCCAUCUUUUUUGGGUUGAUAAACCUUGGGUGCUUCAAAAUUGACUUUUGAAUCAAACUUAGCCAGAUCAUUCUUAUGCCUACUACUGUGCAAAAAGUGUUGCAACUUAAAUGUUUUUUGUUGGGUUCUUGGCUAACAAAUUAAGCUUUUAGGUCAAGUGGCAGGCAAUUCUAUUUUACCUUGUCUUCUUUGGUACUUUUGACUAUUGAUAGUGUGAACUUUUUGGCAAUGAAUAAUUUUUACUGCCCUCUUAGUGCUGCGAAACUCUUUACACAUUUGUUAUGCAAACUAAUGUUUUUGAAUUUGGCACUUGUAGGUUGGACAAUUGAGAGAGGUUUCAAAUAAGACGCACACCGCCGAACUAAGGUUGUUCUUGGAAGUAGAGUUUGGGCCGGUAAUGUUAACUUCAGAAAACCUUAAUAAGUUGAUACUGGUGCAUACUAUGCUUGUUAAUCCAGGAAGAUUCUUUUUAUUUUCCUCCCAUGUAUAACUUUAAGCUGUUCUGUUAUAGGAUCUACAUCCUAUUGCUCCACCUGAUAAAUCUAAAGAUGACAUUCUGCUUUUCUUCAAGCUUUAUGAUCCCGAGAAAGGAGAACUUCGGUAUCUAAUAGUUUUCAUCAUUUUUUUCAUUUUCUCUGUCCUUUGUUUCAAAUGGUCUCUUAUAUUAUAGUUUCUUGCAUAUUUGCAGAUAUGUUGGUAGGCUAUUUUUAAAGAGUUCCAGUAAGCCAAUAGAAAUUUUGAGGAAGCUAAAUCAAAUGGCUGGCUUUGAUCCUGAUGAAGAAAUAGAACUCUAUGAGGUCCAUACUUAAUUAACUGUCUUCUUUUCUUCUUCAUGCUUUAUUCUGUGUUUAUAAAUUUCAAUAUAAUAACCUUGGUGAAAGUAUACUAUCUGUAUGCAAUGCUCAGGAAAUCAAGUUUGAGCCGUGUGUUAUGUGUGAACAUCUUGAUAAGAGGACCUCAUUCCGGUUAAGUCAGGUACUUGUUUUAAUUCAUGCUUGAUUUGCUUGCAAAUGGGAUUUGAUAUGUUAAUACUUUGGUCACUUUGCUUGCAGAUUGAAGAUGGAGAUAUCAUCUGCUUUCAGAAAUCUCCUCCGCUCGAAAGUGAACAAGAAUGCCGAUAUCCAGAUGUGCCUUCAUUUUUGGAAUACGUGCAUAACCGGCAGGUGCAAAACAUGUGGAAAUUUUCAAUUAAUAGCAAUCAUAACAUUUGUGGUAUUUCUUGUUAGCUUGUUAUUAGUCUGUAAUAAAACGAGUCCAGAGGGAUAGGUUAUAGUUCAUUCUCUCCUGACUCUUACAGUACCAAGGCAAUUUAUAUUUAUGCUGUAAUGAUGCUAAUUGCUGAUUAAUGAUGUGGGAUUGGUGUUCACUUAUAUAUUAUUUUCAGUUUUAAAUAUGUUGUUGGUUUUCAGGGCUUUAAUCAAGAAUGCACCUUUCAUUUUCUUUUACUUUAGACCCAGUAAUGAUGUGUUUGUCAUUUGCCCUUUUCAAAUCAAUACAACUUACUAAGGCUGUGGCCUUUCAUUAUAACAAUAAGAUGGCCAUAGUAUUCUGACUUCCAAAAAGUUAUAUAGCCCUUCAUAUACUCAGACGUGGGAGUAACAAAUUCUGCGAGAGUUCCUUCUUUGUAUCUGUAUUUGUUUCAAACUUCAGCUCCUUCUCUCUCAUGUGAUUAUCUGAAUGAGCAUUGACUGUGAUAUCAUCAUAGGAUAACAUUACCUCCUUUUUCUUUUAGAUUACAAUUGUCAAAUUCUGCCUUUGCUUUGUUUAAACUUCAGACUCAAUUCUUUUAAUGAUUUGAUGCUCAUAGAUUGUCCGUUUUCGAGCUUUGGACAGACCAAAAGAAGAUGCUUUUUGUCUAGAGUUGUAAGUAUUUCGAUUUCAAACCACUCCUGUAGGAGAAUCCUUUUUCGUGGGUUUAGUGUUUGUUCGGUAUCUAUAACCUUUCUAUAAUAUUAUUACCUUUUUAUAAUAUUCAAGGUCUAAGCAACAUAGUUAUGAUGAGGUUGUGGAAAGAGUGGCUCGAAAAAUUGGUUUGGAUGAUCCAUCCAAAAUCAGGCUCACUCCUCAUAACUGCUACUCACAGCAACCUAAGCCUCAACCCAUUAAAUAUCGAGGAGUUGAGCAUCUGUCAGACAUGUUAGUACACUACAAUCAGGUAACUGACUCAUCAAGCUUUUGGUAUUCUUAUUUUGUUUGUACUAAUACACAUUUUGACUACAAAGUUUUAGAUAUUCCUCUUCCAAUGUUGUUUCUUUUUUGUGUUUACAGACCUCUGACAUUUUGUACUACGAAGUUUUAGAUAUUCCUCUUCCCGAAUUGCAAGGUUUGAAAAAUCUGAAAGUUGCAUUCCAUCAUGCUACCAAGGAUGAGGUAUGUGCAUGAGUAAUUGAUGUCUAUCAUCUCUUCUCUUUUGUCUUUAAUACGAAACAGUUUUAUUCUUCAUGUCCUUUUUUGUAAGCUUGUUUAAUUAAACUGUUUCCAGGUGGUAAUUCACAACAUUAGAUUACCCAAACAGAGCACUGUAGGUGAUGUGAUUAAUGAACUUAAAACAAAGGUAACUGUUGAUUACUUGUGUUCCCUUACAUUUGAAAUUAUUGCUUUAAGAUAAUAAGUGUUGCAUGCACUUUUAUUGCUAAUUUGGGUUCUCUCUAUCAGUCAUUUUUCUUGAUGGAAUCGCUCCCAAUACAUCAGAGUUAUAUUUCAUUUCACUUUUUUACAAUGUCUAAUUUACCAGUUCGCUGACUUACGACAUGUUCCCUUGUAUGAUUUAAGGAAAUGCAUCAAAUUAGAUUUAUUUACCGACAACUGCGCCUCUUUUUUUUCCCUUCAUUUGAGAAACAAUUUAUCUGCAAAUAGUAUCGGGGAGUUUGCAUGAGCUAGAAGUCUUAUGUGAUUCAACGCAUAUUUAUGGCAAGGGUGAUUUUGCAUAAUUUGUUUCUUUAGAGGCUAUGUAGGCAUCAUAACCCCCUUUUUUUUUUUGCAUACAAUUCAUUUUAUUAAGCUGCGGAAGAUUUACAUAUUGUGCACUUUGAAACAGGUGGAAUUAUCCCAUCCAAAUGCAGAACUAAGAUUGCUUGAAGUUUUCUAUCACAAGAUAUAUAAGGUAAUUAACUUACAAUUGAAACUCGUUUGGCUUAUGGGAAUUCUUGUUAGAUGAUGGUUUUAAUUUUUUCUCUACAACAAUUUCCACUGGACAAUUGCAUUAGUUUUGUAUCUCAUAAUACUUGUAUAUCAUCCAUGCAGAUCUUUGCCCCCAAUGAAAAAAUAGAGAAUAUAAAUGAUCAAUACUGGACCCUUCGUGCAGAGGAGGCAAGUUUUUGUCACUAUCUUUUCGUGUCUUUAUUGGUUGCUGUGGUGUUGUGCUCUCAGUUUCAUUAAUUAUCUAGUUGAUGUAUUUAAUGUCGGGAUCUGCAAUUUGGAUUGAUGUUUUUGUUAUGUAUAUAGCUGAUUUUGGUUUUAAUGAGCAGAAUUGACGUAUGCUAUGUAGUGCUGGUCUGUUUACUGACCUCAUUUAUAUUGACUCAGAUCCCAGAGGAAGAGAAGAACCUUGGUCCCAACGAUCGCUUGAUUCAUGUUUACCACUUUACGAAAGAGUCUGCACAGAAUCAAAUGGUAUUCAAAUGUGAAUAAAUUGGUUAUGGCCGCGCCCGGGCCCCCCCCCCGGCGGCCUGAAGACUUUUAAUUGUCUAUAGAUUAUAGGAAUUUCUGAGAUUCUUAUACUGUUUCAAAAUUUUGUCUUUCAACAGCAAGUACAAAAUUUUGGGGAACCAUUUUUCUUGGUUAUCCAUGAAGGUGAAACAUUAGCCGAAGUUAAAGAGCGCAUACAAAGGAAAUUGCAAGUUCCUGAUGAGGAGUUCUCUAAGGUAUUUUUGCUUGGGUGUUAUCAUUUCAUAUUACUUGGGAAUUCACUGGUGAAUCAUGUAUUUGACAUUGACCCUUUUCUCUUCUUUGCUUGGGCGUUAUCAUUUCACUUAGCUUGCUAUAUACUCAUCUGUUCCAAUAUUGGAUAUGAUUUUUCUUUUUGUGAAUCCCUAUUUAUGUGUGUGCCCAAUAAACUGACCCUUUCAUUCAUCGUGUUAUCUGGUUGAUCAGUGGAAGUUUGCUUUCUUAUCACUGGGUCGUCCAGAGUACCUUGUGGAUACUGACACUGUUUUCAACCGUUUUCAGGUUUGUUUUCUUUCAAUCAUUUUUUUUUUCUUUUCUUUGGGUUUAGUGCCCUCCCGGAUGUGAGUUCAUUACAUCUGUUUUUAUUUCAAUAUUUUCUGUAAGUUGAAGCUCUGUUUUGUUUCUUUCUUUCAACUUUUUUUUCCAUUUUCCUUAGAGACGAGACGUUUAUGGUGCUUGGGAACAGUACCUUGGGUUGGAGCAUUCUGAUAAUGCUCCCAAGAGAGCUUAUUCCGUAAAUCAGGUAAUUUACUUCUAUGCUCGCUAUUGUUAUGCGUCGUAAUAUGAACCAAAAUAUUAUUUUUAUCAGUGUUCAAUGCUUGGACAACUCGUUCUGCAAUUUAUAGGACUCCUAUACUCCCCAUUCAUAUGGGUGCCUCAAACCAUUUGGUUAAUGUUGUAACAAUUUGUUGGUGUUGCUCGGUCUGCCUUGCUUUCUCGUAAAGCUAAUUUUUUGUCGACAGACUAGAAUAGUUAAUCUUUUCUAAAAGUCAUUUUCAAAUUGCAGAACCGGCACACAUAUGAGAAGCCCGUCAAAAUAUACAACUAAUGCAAGAGCCUAUGAUCCACCAACACAUAAGCUGAGAAGAAAAACCUUCAAUGCCUUGAUGUAAUUAUGUAAUUGGGCAGGAUUGACAAUGAACAAAUGAUGGAUUUGAAGGUACAAACAAGGCUCGCCUUGAGAUGUUUCUGUGGGGCUCCAUUGUUUGUUUGUGGGCUAUAUCUGUUUCUUUGAUUGAUGUGGGUGGGCAAGCAGAGAUUUUAGUAGUGUGUUCUGUCAUUGUCAACACAACCUGCAUGAGCAAUCUCUUUUGUUUUUUCCUGGCUUUAGGAAGACACCUUGCCUCCAGGCUUUGAGAGGCUGGUGGUUUUUAUGUAUACAGCUCCAGUGUAAUUUAGCAAGCAGUAUAUAAGAAGAUUUUGACGGGGAUGUAUACUGGGUAUAGUUUGUUGCAGCUGAUACUUAAUUCUUCUUUUUUUUUCCUUUUCGACCCUGUUCCUUCUUUCUGAGUUGAUUUGGUAUCUUCAGGAUGAGCUUGUAAAAUGGUCAUUUUCAGUCUGCAAUUCUGGGCUUAGUACUUACCAGCAGCAGUGCAGAUUGCAAUUUAUAACACCUUGAGCUUAAUUACAAGUAGUCAGGAUUCAUCGUCCUUUUUUAAAAUAAUAGCGCUAUUCUCUCUAUUUGAAUGCACUUGCUUAUUUAUUGCUAAGCAUUAGCUGAUAUGCUGAACGGAAUAAUUUUAGCUGCAUUUUUUUUUUCCGUUAGGGCAUUUCUAGGUACUUGGUCCUGUUAUUUUAAUCUAAGUAAUGAAAUUAUAUUGUAUUAAUUUGUAAGACCCAUUCUCCGCUUUUGAACGUGCUUAAGAAUGUGGUUUGUGGUUUGUGGUGGAGCUAUAACCUAUUGUACAAAUUUAAUUUAAGCAAUAAAAUGUGGUUUAAAUUCUAGGAUGAGAAUAAUAAAAAUAAGUCAUGAGUCAAGAGUUAUUUUAAUCUAAGUAAUGAAAUUAUAUUGUAUUAAUUUGCACAAAAUAAAUUUUUAGAAGAUUUUACUCAAAAUUAAAAUAAAUAAGUAAAAACUGGAGGUUAUUAGUUUUACUGCAUGUUGUGUAUUCUUAAAAUAAUUACUUGUUUCCAUUUCUACUCCUAAAUAAUGUUUAAUAGAUCACUUAACAACUCAAAUAAACUAGUCAGUUUUAGUGCAUGUUGUGUAUACUUAAAAUAAUUACUUAUUUCCAAUUCUGUUCCUAAAUAAUUUUUAAUACUCACUUAACGACUGAAAUAAAUUAUGUUUGGCAAAAAUAAUUUGAUAACAUAAAAUCCACAACAAUUCUAAACAUUUGCUUGGUUUAAUGUGUUCUGCUGACUUGAUCAAAGAAUCCAAUUGAGUCGAUAUAUUCUAUUAAUAAAGUCGGUAGGAUAUCACACCAUCAAUAGUCUCAACAACAAGCCGAUUCAAACGCAUGAGAAGCAGCAGAUAAACCCUAGCUUUAGGCCCUGAGACAACCAAAUAACAGCAGAAAACUCUAUGACGUAAUGACAAGUGAAUUAAUGGAAGUAUUAGCAUGUGUAGGCAGCAAAGUUAAGAUUAUGAAUGCAGAAGUUAUUAUAUUUGGCUGAAAACGCAUACCUAAUCCCAGAGAUGUAAUUUCAUCCUGAAGAAAAUGGCUAUAUCCUUUGGCUCUCUCUUUCUGGCUCAAGCUCGAGUUGAUCUUAUCAACAGCAGCCAGCAGAUCCUACAAGUCAACAAAUCAUGGAUACAAUCAUAAAAGCUAUAUGCUAUGAAAUCCCAGACAAGACGAUUCAAAUAUCUUAAUAUACAACAUUGUUUAGAACUAUUGAAUUUUAAAUUAAUGGAAACUUAUUGAUAUAUCUGUAAACAGGAACUACAGUUCUUCGGUCUGGCCGCCCAGGGCAUAGCUUGUUUAGGACCAGGGCCUGUCCCAUUACUGUCCAUAGCUCAUUAAGUGGUAAGAGAAAGACACGAAAUACUUAUUGGACAUGAAAGCAAAGCAAGGCACCAUAAUGUGAUGGGCCGCCCAAAAUUUCAGCCCAAGUGUCCAAAUUUAAGCUAAGGUGUGCGGGCCUGGUCCAAUUCCAAAAUUUUCCAGCACACUGUUGUCUGAGUGCCAUGUUUGCUGCGAAAGAUACUCAUCCGAUGACAAUAAGAUACUUCAGCCUAAGCCUCAAUGCAUUUUCAAUAAUUUGAAUCAACAAGCCUUAUAAGCAACUCACAAAACUAGGGCAUUUCUUAAUGGUUAUCUAAUAUUUCCAAAACCAAAUGCAAAAGCCAUUUCUUGUACCCCUGCACAAAUGAUUCAUGGAAUCUCUAUUUUCGGAAAUGCAUCACUCAAAUACACAAGUUUCAUCACAUAAACUUCACGCCAUGCAGUUUCAUCACAUAAACUUCAUGUCAUGCAGUUUCAUCACAUAAACUUCAUACCUCCCAUGGUGCUAGGCUCUUCAUGUAGGAAGGAAGGCUUUCAUAAUCAACUUUUGAUACCUUUAUAAUGGGGCCAGAAGCUUCAAAUGACUUUGGCUCAUCUUUCUGUUCACCUAUAUUCACAAUAAAUGAUAAAUACAAUGUGACUAGGCCUGUCAUUGUAACAAGACUCUUUAAAUUGAUUAGGUGCUUUUUAAUCUACCUUUAAUUUUUGCAGCACGUUGACACGGAUCCUUCAUGUCCAGUUUGUCCCCAUAAGAUCUAAGAUUGAAGGCUUUUAAGAAAGGAGUUAAAAGAACCUUGCACAAUAUAAGUAACAUUCCAGGCUCAAAACUUACUUCAUUGGUUUUUGAAUACCGAUAUCUGGAUCAUCAGUCUUAUUGUCACCUGUAGAGAAAGAAAGAAAGAUAUGACUGUCAAUCAAAAAAUUAGGAAUGUAAAAGCUAUUAGUCUAAUAUCUAACCUAACUGUAAUUGCAUUAAGAAGUUUGGCAGUGGUAUCAACCAACUGAAACUCGUCACAACUAGUGUUCUUUAAAGUAAUGUGCUAGUCAUGAUGCAAUUGUUGCUAACCUUCAGAUGCUAAAGUGGCGAGACAAACAUCUGAAAGCCCAAGGUUCUUUAAACUCAGUGAUUCAUCAAGUCUAAGAAAUGUCAAGGAAACAAAAACAUUUACGUCAAUAAGGUUUGCCAUUAGUUAUUAACGUGCAUUGUCAGCCAUUUUUCAACAUUCUAUGAAAAUAAUUUCAACUCCAUACACCCUUCAGUUACUAUGAUAAUAGAGGAGCAAAAGAUUAAAAUUCCAAGCUGGCAUCAAAUGCAACUUAAUGUCACUGAGUGGUAUCUCAGAUUCUCAUCAGCUCUUGUUCCCAAAAUCCCAAUGAAGAACUAGAUUCAAUUGAUUAGAGGAGAAAAAGAAGUAUAUCCUAUGACCCUUUUCUCAUCCCUUGUUUAAGUUAACAAAACUUUUCACGCCAUUAUAAACAAGAUAUGCAAAUGUAUAAAAGAGUGAUCACAUCAAUGCUGAUUCAAAAUUAUAAAACAAGGAUACAGAGGGUCCUCAUCCAAGCUCUUCAUGAACGAUCGUGCCACAGAAGCAGGUGACCGUGCAUCCACACCAUCCUUUGAACCUAACCCAAAUGUUGUCGACAAACUGGAAUCCUCAUCUUCAUCAUCAACCUCAAGUUCUAAUCACAGAGCCACACACAAAAAAAUAAUAAUACUAAAUAAAAAGGACAUAAUUUUGAAGAAUUACGUUGAUAAAUGGAAAUAAUUGUAAGCAAAGCUAACUCAAUUGACAGCCUCUAGUGUCCUAAACGAAUCAAAAUUUAAUUUUUUAAUUCGAAUUUAAUAUUAUAGAAGAGGGGAAAAAAUAAAUAAAUAGAGAGCGAAUCAGCGAAAGUGUUACAUACCGGGAACAUAACCGAAGCCUUUGAGGCGAUCCUGGAGCUCAAGAAGAUUUGUUUGGUUGUUUUUGUAAACUUCACUGCAGUGUCCUAACAACUCCUCAAACGACACCGUACCGAAGGACAUCGAGUCGAGCAAAUUCACAUCGCUGGUGAGGCAUGUGACGCGGCGGCUCAGGCAUUGUACGAACGUCGACGACGCUGAAUCCAGAGGAAUCGGACGCCGCUGGACCGAUUCCUUUAAAGCUUGGCAGCUACCUUCAAGAUGAUUGCAGAAGCAUCCUAAGCUUUUGCUCAGAUUUGAGAUAUUUUCGUCCAUUCUAUUUUUUCUGAAUUUUGUUGAAGCUCUCUUGCCUCUGUCAAGACCUACAGUUUAAUUUGGAAACGAAAGAUUCACUUACGAUUAUAACUCGUUUUGGAUGUGCAAUGAAUGGAGCGCCUAUCCUUGGCGGGAAACAAAACCUUGAAGGAAAGCACUCUUUUAUUUUAAAUUUUCAAUUAUCUCCCUUUUUGCGUAUUUGAAGUUGGAAUUUUCCUUUUCAUAAACGGGUGCGGUACGAUAUUUCUUUAAACAAAAAAAUUAGGAAAAUGUGUUUAAAUUUUAUUUGUGAUUUUAAUUUUAAAAAAUAAUUUUAACUAAGAUUCUUAGUUAAAAUAAAUUUUAAUUGUUUUUCUCAAAAAGUAAAAACAAAGAAAACUACCAGGCUGUAUGGUGUUUAGUUACCUUGUGAGGGGAGUUUUGAUUUUCAUUAUGUGAAAACAAAUCGAAUAAUUGUUUGGUAAAAUGAAUUACAAAACACAAAAUACAACUUUUCACUUUUUACUCAUGAAGUUAGAAAAUAAUGUUUUUAUAUUUUAUUGAAUUAUAGAAAAACAAACCGUGAAACUGUUGGGAUUAUAUGCUCUUUUAAAGCAUAUUAAUUUAUUUUCUGAUUAAUAAAAUAUUGGAGAUAUUUUCAAUUUCAUAAAUAUUUUUGAAUAAGGUCUGUUUAAUCAUAUUAUAUGUAUUUAUGUGAUCAUCAUAUGGAUUCACAUAAGACAUAAAUACAAGUUAUCUUGUGAUUAAAUAACUUAAGUUCGCAAUUGAUAAAUAGAGUUGGGCGCUCUAUUUAUGUUUAGACUCAAGUAAAUUCAUUGAAUGAUUUGUUUUAAUCAUGCAUGAAUUUACUGAUGUAGUUUGACCACAUUGAGCUGGAUCACAUAUGAGAUUUAAUUAACCUUGAAAUGACUGUCAGACUUAUUAAAUCUCAUAGGCAUUGAUUUUACUGUAAUCUUAAUCUUGAGUUAAUUAUAAUUUAAUGAUUGUAAUUGUUAUUCCAUUUGAGUUACCAAUGGGCACGACACAUACUUGUAGUCAAGAUUACCCGGUAUCUUGGUGGGAGCAAUUAUGAAUAUUAGAGUUAUAGAUUGAUAAUAUAGAAUUUGUACAACACAUCUCUUGAUGAGUUUUCGGUACUUGAUCAUUAAAUUUUCUGGCCAGAGUGUGUCAACAUAUUUAGUAUGUUGAAAAUUAUCAUUAGAGAAAACCAGUAAGAAUCAAGGAACAAGAUGUAAUUAAAUUGAUUGGACAGUUGAGAUAUCGAUUUAAUUAAUGAUGUGGUACAAAAAAUUAUGCAGUAAAGAAAUCAAUGUGGCUUGUGACGAAUUAUUAUUCGAGCAUACAAUUAUAGAAGUCAGUUCCAAUCUUUUAGUAGAGUAGAUUUAGAAUUAAAUAAUUUAACUAAUUUAAUUACAGGUCUAAUUAUUAUAGCUACUAUUGUAUGUUCACAGCUGCACCUUAGCUUGUUGAGGUUAAAGGAAAGAAAGGGCCUUCAGUUCAGUUUGUAUACACUUCUAUAACAAUUUACAUCAACUCAUAAAGUUAACUCUUCUAUAUUUCAUGGAUUUGAUUGCAAUUUACAGCAACUUUAAACAGAAUGUACCUUAAGAUUACACUGCAUAAAGCCCCAAAAAAAGGGGAUUGACAUUGCUACUGUUUAUGUACAAUGCAAAUGUCUCCUCUCAUCUAUUAUUUGCACGUUAAUCUUUUCGGUAAAAAUUCAGGUUAGCUCCCCUCUAAGAGCACUGGCUGCCCUUUGAAUGGCUCUCGCAACUCUCCAGACCUCAUGUUGAAUUAGAGCCUCCCCGUCUUUCUUGCUCAUACUUGUCGAUUGAGAAAUAGCAUCCGCUAUUCCAGGAAAGCAGCUCAGUUUGCUUUCGUAUUCAUCAUGAGGUCCAUAAAUCUACAAAAACGACAAGUGUCACCAUCAUUAGAGCUUGACACAGACGCUCAAUGGCUAGUAAUAACAAACCGACCGUCUUUUUUAUCAAGUUGAAUUUGGAUAGAUUCUGUCAAUUGAGAAAGACGAGAAGUUUACAUUAAUAGAAGGAAGAGACAGCGAUUGCAAAUUUCUCUCUCAUUCUCAAAAUAACCCGAAAAGUCUGAAAAGAAGCUGCUCCUUUUAAAAGCAUCGGUUCAAUUGUCGGUUCAAUUGUAUGAGCACAUGUAUGAAGCUAAUAUACUAAUAUAGAUGUCAAUCUAGGACCAUAUAUUUUCUUGAUAUUGUUUUGAAACAGAAAUCCAGGAUAUACUGUAAACCAUCACCCUUUUUUGAAAUCGGUCUAGCUGUAUUAAGGGAUAGGAAAGAACUUACAAGAUGUUUGAACCACUGCCUUCCUUGAAGCCCAUCAGUGUCCAGGAAACCUCUUUCUGCAAGCAUCAGCCGAUCAUUCAAAUCAUGAAUUUUCAAGAUUUCAACACCACCCAAAUGUUCUUGCUCUCUUAACCUCUGCAGUCACAAUGUAAAAGUGAUUAUAUGAUAGAAACUUUCCAUAGGAAAAUUUUGCGACCUUUUGAACUAAUUAAUUCCAAUAAGAUUUUCCAGAUCUCACCUUUGCUUCAUUUUGAGCAUCUUUAGCUGCAGAGGUUAGAUCCUUAAUUGCCGCAGUUAAAGGAUCCAAAGAUAUCCUCUGAUCCAACAAGUUGCUCAAGAUGUCUUUAUUCUCCUGUCACAGUUCAGAAGGAAUAAGGAAUAGAAUAUUAAGUUCGUGAUGCCCCGGAAGCACAACAGUGGCUCUAGAUUUAGACAAAUUUUAUUACACAGUAAAGCAGUGUUCCGUAUACCACCCUUUUCAAAACUACAGGCCUUCACUUACAUGUGAUCAGUAUUCUUUUUCUUCCAUUUAAUGAAUGAUCGUUGUUAGAAUAACUUUUAUUCAGCUUAAAACAUCUCAUCUAAACCAUCAGCAACAGACAUGACCAUAAAAUCUUGAACCAUCCUUCGACAAAAUACAUCUAGACCCAAUCAUCUAAGUCAAAACUCAAAUUUUAAUGAUUUGUAUUAACUAAAUUCACAACAUCUCAGUGCCAAAAAAGAAAGAAAGAAAGAAAGCAAAAUUAAAAAAAAAACCAUUAAAUUAAAUGUUAAUUAAGAACCAUAUAUUUCAGGGGUAGAAAACAGGAAAGAACUUGAAUAACCAGUCUUGAAAUAACUAUGAGAAGACAAGAUGCAUACCUGUAACUGAUCUGAGUAAGAGAGGAAAUUGAAUGGCAAAAUUGAAUCAUCGGCCAAGUGAAGGGCCAGAAGCCCCCAAACUCCAGCAACUAAAACACAGAACAAAAAUAUAAUGUGUGAUGAAGAAAUUUUUGAGUAAAUACUUUAUUGAUAAGUAUUUUUUAGCAAAAUAUCUUAUAUGGCAACAGGUGAAAAGGGUGGAAAGCUAACCAGCCACAUGCCGAUGAAACAAAGGAUCUGCAUGGCCUACAAUCCAGGUGUAUGUAUCAAGGGCAGUGUGAUAGACAGGAAAAUCUGAAAAACAAGAGAUCCUUGUAUUACAACUGUAUGGCCUUAAAAACUUUAGUCUGUUACUCAAAUUAGAUGACAACAUUCAAAUUAGAAGUUGCCACUAACUCUAACCAAAAUGAUGGGUAUAAACAGGGCACUAUUCAAAUCCUCCACUGGCGCGGAGGAUGAAAAAAAUAAGUAAAAAAACUGUUUGAUUGCACUUGACAAACACAAAAAAGUGACAGCUUUUCAUAUUAUAUUAUUACACAAUUUAACACCAGAUCGUCUCAUCCCCAAAUGUAACCAAAUAUUUCCAUUAAAGGAUGUAGAAAACGAGAGCCAAACCUUUUCCAUAGUACAUAUCAACAGAAGGGACCCCAGCAUGCUGCACAAAAGAAGCAAAAUCCGAAUCCACUCCACCAAGUCUUUGGAUCUGCAAUUAGGGGGGAAAAAAAGGCUCAUGUAUCCUGGAUAAGUUUCCAUCUCCCAAAAAAAAAAGGGCAAAAAGCACAGAAGAUUGACCAUAGCACAUCCACUAGUCCUGCAAACCCUAGGGUGUCUUACACUAGUGAAUCAAUAGGAAGUCACAGAAAGACAAUGCAUAAGAUUCAAAAGUGUAUGCACAUAUAAUCAUAUAAAAAGAAGCCUUACAUUGAAGAUUCUGUUUGGAGCUGACCACUGAUCAUAUAAAGUUCCACUCUCUGAUUCAGGAUCUUUUACCUGAAAUCGAUGUGAAUGUUAGUUGAUCCGUAUGUUAAGCCAGUUGAUAAUUGAAGACUAAUUUAAACAUUUUGAAAUCAUAGUCAAUUAUUCUUCCCCAACUUACCAUUUUUGUGACCUCAAUAAGAAUAUCAUCUAGCUGAGGAGUUGCCCCGGCAAAGAAUCCUGGCCCUUGAACUGCACAAUCUACAUUAAGGUAGGCCACAGCUUUGGCACCCAGAUUCACAAGGUUUUCUUCAACCCACUCAGUGGAUCCAAUCUGAAAGCAGAAUAAAAGGGACCAAUACAAUAACUUCAUUCAGGGUGUAAGCACAAAAAUGUUCCACUGAAAAAUCCUUGUUUGAUUUAAUAACUAGCAAAAACAGGCAGAUUUUAUAGCAUGCAUAUAGGGAUAUUAACAAGAGUGGGGCCCCACAACUCCCUCUGCUCAUCAGCAGUCAGCACACAAAAUAUAACAGUUUGUUCUUUCAACAAUUACAGCCAGGUCACUGACUACUGAACUGCAUCACAGUUAAGAUCAGUGCAGCAGCCAUUCAGAAGAAAGUAAAAUAGGAAAAUUACUGAAAGACCUCUCUCUUUUCUAGCAGAUGAUAAAAAGUAACCCCAAACGUGAAAACCCCAAAUGGAGACGUGAAAUUAGAAAUGAAAAGGAGCUGAAACUGCAAGGCAGCAUGGGUCAAGCCUAACACUCUUAUGUCAUAGAUUUUAUUUUCCCUGAUCCUUAAAAUCACUGACAAAGUCGUAAUAUGGGUCCUUGUUUUGAGCAAAGUACCAUAGAAGUCUACUGUUUACAUUUGAUCUGAUGUCUUUCUUUGAUGCAUCAUUCAUGUAUUGGACCAGCUAAUAUGCUGCUUUAAAGGGAGAAAAGAAAAUAACUAAAAGGAUUCACAGAUCACUGUCUGACACAUCCAAGCCCAUAAACCACAUUGUACAUCAAUGAUCACUGAAGACUGAUUAUUACCUACCAUCCCAAAUUCUUCUGCAUCCCAGCUGCAGAAAAUAAUUGUUCUUCGAGGGCUCCACCCCAGGCGCAUCAAAAGGGCAUAUCGUCUCGCAAUAUCAAGUAGGGCUGCGGUCCCACUGUUGGGAUCAAUAGCUCCAUAUGUCCAUGCAUCUCUAUGGUUGCCAAGGAGCACAUAGCGAUUAGGCUCCUCUAGCCCUCUUAUGACUGCAAAAACAUUAUAAAUUGUCGCCACCUUUUUCUUCCCCUAGAAGAACAGAAAGAGGAAAAAUUAUAAAUCAUGAAACAUACCACUUAUUCAGAACCAGCUUGCCAAAAGAUCUGGAAUUUAAGAAUUAAAUUUUUUGAUAUUUCCACUGUGAGCUUCUAAUAACAAAGACGAAGAGGAAACAAUAUAAAAAAAUCCAGUUUAAGUCAACAAAGCCUUGAUUAUACAAGUUAUGCAGAUGAAACAACCCCAAAUAUGACCCUAUAAUUUGAUUGUAUAAUCACGAAAGGGGGGAGGGGGUGUGGAAACAAAUCUUCCACCUAUCCAAAGUAGGUUCCUAAUUUUAUCAACGUUAAGUUAGAGCUCCGGAAUCUAUUAGACAACACAUUUCUAUUUGAAUAAAGAAUCACGUGUGGCAUGCUAACGUCUAACAACACGACAAACCAACUUCUAAACUUUAGAGAACUUUCUGUUUCUCCUAAUAUGCUUCAACCAAGGUGUCCUACUCCACAACACAACAAACCAACUUCUAUGCUUACUUUAGAGAAUUCCCGGGUGUCUCCUUUAAUUGCUUCAACUGAUGUUUCUUUCUCCAACAACGCAACAAACUCCCUUUCCAAACAACUCCAUAAAAAUGUCAUAUGUUACCAAAUAUGCUUCAUCAGCGUCUUUUCGGAAUAUUCCACAUUAAUUAUCAUCUUGGAACAGUUAAUUACAAUCAGAAUUAAGGAGGCUUGAUGUUCCACUUGUCCAACAUGGAAAACUUAUCACAUUUAGAACACUUUCUAUUAUUCAAACAAUCGAAUAACUCAAUAAAUAGACACGGCCCCAACAAAAGAAAGUAACUUUUUUCUACCAUUUACAACUCUUAGUUUCUUUAUCAAAAUAUUGGCAACAAAGUUGUUCAUAAUUCUAUUUACACAGCCUAAGUCAGCCCAUAUUCAACUAAUUAUAUAAUUUACACCCAACAAUAAUACCCGUUAUAACAAUAGGGCCGUUAUAACAAUAAGGCCAAAACCAAAGUCAUAAAAAAACAUGCAUCAAACCAAGGAACCAACCAACCUGAAAUGUCAAAUUAACCAUAGUCGGUCCCGGGCCGACCCGCCCACCAUUAACCCGACCCAAAUCAUUCAAAAACUGAGGCACAAAGCCACCCCAAAGAGACCCCAGAAUGAUCUGAGCAUUCUCAAAAGACAAGGGCAAAGAUGGAAUUUUAGGAAAUCUCUUUGAAACUUCACUGUCUUCUAAAUCUAAGCUCUCCCCUCCUUCAACCCCAGCCCACCCUGGACUCAGUGGGUCCCCCACUCCUCUCAUAACUGUCCCUCUCUCAACCCCACCCCCCCUUAACCUAUCCCACUCGGCGUACAAUAGCACCCCGAUCGCACCUUUAGCCUCGGCUAAAAAAAUAACUCCACUCCUCGAUAAAACACUCCCCUUUCUCGCCAUCACUACACACCCACUAACGUUCACCCCCGCAGCCUCCAACGCACGAUAGUCCUCUUCCCUCCCGUAAUUCACAAACACAACCUUACCGUACGCCGACCCGGACGGCGAGUACGCAUGAUACGGCUGAACAACGUCCAAGAUCGCAUUUUGAGAGAUACCCUUUUCAGUCAACGACAAUUCAACGGUAGUGCCGUUGCUGAAAUGCGCUGAAACAGAAGCAUGCACGGGAUACGACAAAAGCGCUUUGUAUUCGACGGUAUGAGUGUUAAACUUGAGUUGUUCGAAGUGUGACUGAACGUAGCGGACUGUGUCCAACGAGGGCUCAGUUCCUGCGAGGUGAGGAUGGUGAGUGAGGUCGCGGAGGUAAGAAGAGACUGUGUAGUUGGAUGACAAAGAGAGGAAAGUCUUUUGGAAGUGGAGGGCAGUUUGGGGAUUUCGAAGUGGGGGUGUAGCGGGUGAAGGGUAGGGAUGAUGUAGAGUAUAGAAGCCAAUAAUGCAGAGGAUUAGAAGGAAGGUGAAGGUUAUCAAAGGUGGCGGAGGUUUUGAGGAGGCGGUGGUGGUGAGUUUGGUGAAGGGAUGGGUCAUUUCGUAGAGAGAGAAAAUCGGCGUUUUUUGAGGGUCUGAGAGAGAGAAAGUAAGGGUUUUAUGUUCGAGGAGUUACAGAGAAAGGAGAAAGGAGAAAGGAGAAAGGACAGAGAGAGAGCAAAGGUCGUGGCAGCGCAAAGCAAAGGUGGUGCGACUGAAAUGAUGCAAGUCAAAAACGAGUUUCAGUGGGCGUUAUAUGGGUGCUAACUUUAUGGCGUAAUAACAUUUUGGAUCCUUUGAAUAUCUUUAUAUUUUCAAUUAAUGAUGUAAUAAUUAUACUUUUGUUUUCUAUUUAUCAAACAUGUAAUAGGCCUGGAGUGUCUGUAAAUUGAUGCUAUGGGGGUGAGUACCUGAAGUUGAUUUUGAUUAUUUUUACUUGAAUGAGCUUUUUCUUUUCCCAACAAAAACCAAAAACUCCGAUCAAGAAAGAAAAUGCGUAAUAGAGUUAUGCAAGCACAUCAAUAAACCAAAAAUGAUAUGUAGUAUUAUAUCUUAACAUUAUUACGAAUUUCUUAAACAUCCAUAUGAAUAAUGUCAGAUAAAUCAGACUAAAUUACUGUGAUUUUCUAUUUUGUUAAGAAAGCUUUCACAUUUUUAUUACUUGAAUGGUUAUUAUCGAAUGAUUGAAAUAUUUUUAAUGCUUUUAUUUUAUAGUUGUAAUUUUUUGUUUUUACCUUUGUGAUUUAAGAAAAUCUAACUUUCAGUUAUUAAUGUUUGAUGUUAGUUUAGACCGGUUACAAAUUUUUAAUUGAAUUCAAUUUUAAACAACAAUUCAAUAAUAAUUGAAAUUUAAUAUUAUAUAAAUAAUUUGGUUAUUUAUAAUUUUAAAUAGAAGGUAUGAACCUUUAACGAGAUCAAAAAUCUUGUUUCAAAUCAUAAUCUUAUUGUAUUUAGACGUGCUUCUAAAAUAUGUAAUCAAAUUAUUUAUCACCUAAUUAAAUUAGACUUGUCCUCUCUGAACUCAACAGGAGAUCUUUCACUUGCUGUGAGCCGUAAAGUGAUGCCUUGGUUUUAAAUAAAGUUCUAAUUCUAAAGAAAAAAUAAAAUAGAACUUGCGGACCUAAUUGAUAUAACUUGCUAAACUUAUGCCUUUAUUUGUAAAAAUGUAAGAAUCGUGGCCUAAAAGUAUUUUUAUCAGGAUUGCGCCCGCCUUUUUUGUCUUUUUGUUUUUUGUAUUUUUCCUUUGAGGAUAUAAUUGAAUGUCCUUUUUACAGGAAGUACGAUAUGCUGUGUAAUUAUUUAUAUUGGAGCAGAAUCCCGACUGAGAUAUGAAAAUUUUUUAAAUUAUGCGAUAUUUACAAAUUCUAUAUACAUUGAUGUGAUAAGUUUGUACGAAUCAAUGCCACAUGUCUUAUAUAAUUUUUUUUAAAAAAUACAAAUACAAAUAUAAACAAUAGAAUAAGGGAUCCUAGAAUAAGUGACAUUGCGACAACAACUUAGUACGAUAUGGAAUAUUUUAUAAAAUAAACAUUAAAGAGAAAGUUUUAUAUAAUUUUUUAAAAAUAAAGUUAACAAAUCCAUUAAAAAAUGGUGGCAUUUUGUAAUUGAUGCAAUGUGAUGUGGAAUCAUAGAGAGCGUGGUGGGGGAAAAAGUAACGGAUGAUUUAGUUUGUAUUUUGGGUUCCAAAGUGUCACCAUAACAUAUGAUAGAUUUCUUCUCUCUCUUUAAUUAAAAAUUAAUCAGGAAAAAUGACUGUUAGGUCCCUCACCUUUAAGAAAAAAGACAUAAAAAUUCCUAACAUCUUAAAAAAGAUAUAUAAUUUUUUUGUGUUAAUAAUUGCGAUUGUUUUAAAAGAAAAAAGGGCAAUAUUAUACAUUUAAAAACAAAAUACAAGGAAAAAGAUUGUUAAUCCCCAACCUUUAAUGAAAAGAUAUAAAACUCCAUAAUAUUUAAAAGAAAAAGACAUAUACCAAAAUACAAAGAAAAAGAUUGUUAACCCCCAACCUUUAAUAAAAGGAUAUAAAACUUCACAAUAUUUAAAAGAAAAAGACAUAUAACUCCUUUUCAUAAUUAAAUUUCAUUUAUUUUAAUUAAGAAAAAGUAAUAUUAUCACCACCAUCAUCAUCUUGACCGUCAUUAUUAUUAUUAACCAAUGUCAUUAUCAUUAUUAUAAUAAUAUUAUUAUUAUUAAAUAUUAUUAUUAUUAUUGUUGUUGUUGUUGCUGCUGCUGCUGCUAUUACUACCCUUUUAUCAAUUUAAAUAAAGAAAAUUUAUUAAUGGAAAAGUGAUUAUAUGUCUUUUUUUAGAAAUAUUGGGAGUUUUAUAUCUUCUUUUUUUUUUUUAACGUUGAGGGAUUAAUAGUCACUUUCGUGUAUUUUAUUAUAAAUGUACAGUAUUACCCUUUUCUCUAUUAAAAUAAACUGACUUAUCAAUUAAAAAAAAAAAAAAAAAAAGAGGCUUGUGUGUCUUUUUCGAAAUAUUGAGAUUUUUAUGUUCUUUUCCUAAAUAUCAGAGUCUAGCAGUCCUUUUCCCAUUAAUUCAAACCAUGCUUAUCCAAAGGCCAAAACUUUAAUUCUUUUUUUUUUUUUCCGAUGAUAAUCUGUUAAAAAUACUAACAAAGGCAAAGGUUGUUAAAAGAGCCGAUGAGUAUUUUAUAACGAGGCGGUGAACCCAUUUAUUGUCGGUGUGCCAAUUAUACAUUAUCUCCUUUUUUUUUUUUUUUUUCAAUCGUUGAUAAGCUUUAUAUGAAACAAAAUUUAUGUGUACUCGUAAUAAUAAAAGAAUAAAAAAUUUUACGAUAAUUUCAUUCUUAUGAUUGGAGUAGACAAAUUAAAGAAACCACAUUAUUGUUCAUAAGGUACGCACUAAGGUACCACAUUAUUGAGUCAUCUUUAUAACUAUAUCAAAGAGAAGCAAUUAUUCUCAUCUUAAGCAGCCAUGGUGCCCACAUGAAUAUCUUUUGUUCCAUUGUCAUCGUAUCUUUAUUGACAAAAAACAUUAUAAAACAAAACACUAAGAAUACCCUUCAACUUGCGGUCGCAAAUGAACACGAAAUUAAUAAAGUAACUGUCUCUUUGUCAUGGCUUUGCUAAGGAAAAUGACAUUAAAAUUUAUCAUUUGAUCUUUCAUUUAUUUUGUUUUUAGUUAUCUGUUUGUUUGUGACACAAGAAUGAGAAUCAAUGUUUGCUUCUUGUUUCUCUUUUUCUUUAUCUUUCUCUUUCACUUUCACUUUUUGAUUUUGUAAUCUUUUCCUCAAUAUCUCUUUAUCAUGUUUGUUUUUGUUUAAUUUAGUGGAGAGGGCAUUAUAAUUUACAGACACCAGCUAAGAAUUCAAUCAUAUAGAGAAGAAUAUCUGCUUUUUAAGAAAUAAAUUUGUUGGGAAGACAGCUAUGUGACAAACAAAUUUUAAAGGUCCAAUUAUUUUGCUCGAUAUUAAAAAUUCCACUCUGAACUUUACAUGUAUUAUUUAUUUGUAUGUGACAUUUUAUUUCAAGUUUAUCUUUUAUGUGUCAUUUAUUUUCUUUAUUGCACGAAUAGAUAUUUUUGACGUCAGGAUAUUUGAAUAGAUAUUUUUGUAUGUUCCUAGACUUCAAGCUUUUAUAUAUAUAUAUAUAUAUAUAUAGUUAUAAACUGAUAACAAUAUUACGAAUUAUAUUCAUUUAAAAAUAUAUUGUAACGUUAGAGAAUCUUCAUCUGUUUUAUAAAGUAAAAUCUCAUUAAAUUAAUAUUUGAUAAAUUGAUAAUCUCGAUUAAAUAGUAAUUUUUGUAGGUCUCCGCUUAGGGCAGUGGUGGAUUUAAAAAAAUAAUUUAUCGGGGGCUAAAUUAAAUAACAACAAAAUGUAAAAAUUGAAACUUGAAUAUAUAAAUUUUUUUUAUAACACAUUUACAAUUGUUCUCUACGCGAUUUCAUAUUCUUAAAACGUUGUGCAAUAGACUCAUUAUCAACACUAUUAAAUACAUCUCUAUAAACAAUCAAAUUAUUAUUCAUCCAUUCAUCUCUUAUCCGAUUUUGAAGUUCAUUCUUCACAAAAUUCAUUGUUGAAAAUGUUCUCUCUAUUGUGGUUGUAAAAACUAAAAGAACGAGACUAUUUGAUCAUUUGACAGAGAUUAUUUAAAAAUUUAUUAAUUUUUCUUUUAAAUAAAAAAGGAUAAUUUUUUUUUUAGUGGGGGCUUGAGCCCCCACUAGUCCUACACUACAUCUGCCUCUGGCUUUAGGGCUAUUGUGGUAAAUUAAAAUUUUUUGACAAAUUUAUUAGAUAAUAAAUUUUUAAAAUAAAUCUUUUUUUUCCCACGAGACCAAUGAAUAUACAAAUUAAUAAUGAACUAAUUUGACACAAAAUAUAUAUGAUAUGUCUAUAAUUUUAUUUGUCGUACUUGCUAUGUGAUGUAUUUUAUUAGUCAUUAUUGCUUUGUUUACCCCUUUUGAAUAAGAUGUCGUUGUUUUAUUAUUUAUGUGUUGUUAUGAUAAAUUAGAGAGAUCAGCUUAAUAUAUUGUCCUCGAAAAUAUCUUCUCUAAUAAGUUACUAUGUAACGUGAUCCGGUCAUGCAAUUUAGACAAAAUGAUUAUUAAGUGACUGAUUCACUCAAUCAAGAUCAAAAUUCUAUCAUACAACUUGACAGGAUUGCUAUAAUCUCUAAUUAUACUACUCUUAUUCUUUAUGAAGAUUCAUAUUAUGAACGUUAUUUUCCUUUAUAAAUUAAUAGAAAUUUAUUGAUAUAUUAAUAUUUACUAAAUUAUUAGACUUUUCAUAAUCUCAAGGUUAUUAAUUUAACGAGGUUCUAUUGUAUUUUUUUUUUUUUUUUUUUUAAUGAUAGGGCCGUAUAUCAUGCAUAUUUCCCUAUUUUAGGGAAGAUGAAAGAUGUAGAUGAUUUCAUGUGUAUGCUUGUGAAAAUGGAUGCAGUUGCAUCAUGCUUUAUUGAUGAUUUUAUUUAUAUUGAAUUUUAUUAUUGAAAUUACUUGAUGAUUUAUUUUAUGGUGCUUCGUUAUUAAGUAUGAAAUUUUUUCUUUAUAAAUACCUACAAUAAUAAUAAAUGGGCUUUUUGUCAGUGAGCCCAAUUAAAUUAGCAGUCAAUCCAACAUACACUCAACCCAAACAUAUCAAAUGCAAUAGCCCCUUUUUUUGAUAAGAUGUUACAUCAAUGUUUCUAUUGUUUUUGCUGAGAAAUAAUCACACACCAAUUGAUUAAAGUCAUAAAUCAUAUACAUAGCCUGAAUUUGAUAUUUUUAAGCUCUGGUGACUAGUGUAUCCUGCACAUUGGUUAAUGUCGAAUGCUCAAAUUUAUUGAUUUUUGUUGAUCUUUUAAGCAUUUAGUCAUGUACAGGGCACGGUACCUAAAAAAAUCCAUAUUUUUAUUUUUUAACAAUACUGUGGAAAUAUUUAUAAAUAUAAAUAUCCGAAUAUAUUAGUGGUGUUAAUUUUCUUGUAAAUAUUUAUAAGUUGAUUUGCUAAACCUAAUCAUUUUUUCAAGUUAUGAACAUCACGAGUCACAUAUCAGCGGAACCCCACCCAGAUAUAUUAUUUUUGACCAACAAUAAUCCCCAGAACGUGCAAAUCUACCUGGGAGACAAAAUAAAGUCCAUAAAGUCGAACAUAGCCAAAACAUAUUAAUGACCAAUUAACUCAAAUUAAGUUCGUAAAUAUCAGGGAGCUAAAGCACACUGAUUUUGAUCAUUGACCCCCCCAAAAAAAAAAAAUAUUUGCUCACACGGAAAAUUACAUUUUAAAAGAAAUUUUCUUGGAACUGCGAUUCAAUGGAAAUUAUUUACAGUCAAACAAGUUUACAGUCACUGUAAAAUGUUUGAAGCCCUUGCAUCUAUUACAAAAUCAGAAUACACAAUUCUAAGAAAACAAAUUUGCCGGUACGUUUCGUUCGUUGUGAACAUACCAGAUUUGUUCAAACUCCUACUAUGGAGUUAUAAGUACCAUUCACGGCGAAAAGCAAUCCACACAGCAAUAUGCAAACAUCAAGAGAUCUUUGCCAGAAAUUCAAAGAUGAGCCUAGCAAUAUUAAGUGGUAUAAAGCUGGCAAAACAAAAGAGAUUAGAGCACAUAAGGUGCUGCCCACAAGCGAUGUGAAUGCACCAAAUCCUGGUAUGAACGAUGCUAUUGCUGCUAGUGCAACCACCAAAAUUGCUCGACUUAUGUAUAUCAUGAACUUUCCUAAUCUAGUGGUCGAAUUGUUGUCAUAAGAAAUGCACGGGUGCGUUUGAAAGAACGAGCUCUUCUUCAAACUCCCCUCUAUAAUCUCGUGAACCGGGUGUACCAUGAUCGGAAAUGUAAAUAUGAGUGCCACACACAACCCCAUCUGCCAGUAUAUUAUCAUUAAGGUUAGUCCAGCAACAACAUAUGAGAAAGUAGGAUUAAUCUUUAAGGGUGGAUUAUGAAAUAUUACUGUAAAAACUCAGGCACCUCAAUUCUCAACCCUCCAAAAUGAUUAGUUAAAGAAAUAAGAGACUUAAAUUUAUUUCUUUUUUCUCCAAACUAAAAGACAAAAUCAUGAAGCACAUAAAUUCAAAGGGAAAAGUGAUCUAAGAUUCAAUAGUACUUGUAGAGAUGAUAAUCAUUUAACAGGCAAAAAGAAUACAGGUGGGCAUGACAUUUUAAUAUUGUAUUUCUCAUGGCUUUAGAUGCAUGAAACUCAUCUAAUUCCGGAAGUCAUCAUACUCUUUUAAUCCCACUCCACAGUAGGAACAAUGAAGAAUCUGAUUUUGGUGUUUGGGCACAAGUACUGUAGACCUUGGAUUAUAUUAAUGUGUUCCCUAAGACUUUUUGAUAUCAAAAGCUUUACAAGAAUACAAAUUUUAACUAUGUCAAUACAUCAAAAAGCAAUCGUUUUUAUUUCAUUUAGAAAACCUUCGUUAUCAAAAAUAUCCAUUAACAAAUUUAGGCUUCCUUCUUUAAAUUUUUGAACAAAACCUAAGUCGGAUAAGAACAGAGCAAGUGCAAUAUGUAACAUGAGAAACAUAGGAAAUUACCUGAACUGCAAUGGAAGACCAAUCUUUAGGCAGAUUCAGAGUAACAAUAUCCUUAGUGUCAUCACCAUACGCCAUGAAACCGAAAAAACCAAACGUAACAUACACAAGAGUUAUCCCAGUAAAAGCCUGAGCAAGCAACUUGGAAAACCUUCCUCUUUCUCUCAUUGAUGACUCUAAUGCAAAAGUCAUACCAAAUCCUUCAAAACAAAAUACUGCCAUUCCUCCAGCAAAUGGCAGACCUCUGAUGUUAGAACUCACUGCUUUCCUGUCACUAAAAGAAAAUUCACCCCCUAAAAUCUUUUGUACAUCUUCUUUAACAACAAGUGUCAUGGCUAAAACAUUGCAAAUAUCAGCAAAAAUGCUGAAAGGCGCUAAAGCUGAGAGAGAAUUAAUCCAAGAUAACAGAAUUUGAACUGGCACUACUAAGAAUAUGAAAGAACGAUACGUGAGGCUGGUGUAGGAUUUGAAUAUUGAAAAGAGGUUUUGGCCAAUGAACACUAAAUAUGCAACUGAACCUCCACAUUGGGAAGUGAAAAUGAGAAAUUCUGUGAGAAAGCGGCCAGCUUUUCCCAUACAUUUGUAACCUAAAUCUCCAUAUGUCUUUGUUUCUGUUGAGGAUGUGUCUUCAGAUACUAACUUAUCUCUGCAUUGAAUCUGCCAGAACAAGAACUUAUAAAUUGGCUUUUCAAUUGAAAAACAGAGAAAAAAACAGAGGAAAUACUUUCAAAUCAUAUUUCCUAGUCCGCCUGUAGUAGCGGCCAUAAUUUAUUUGAAAACUAAGAUAACAAAAGUGUAUAGUAAAUUCUGCAUGACAUCUUUUCGAUUUGUGAAAACGACAACAAAUUACCCAAUAUCCCUAAACUCUUAAACAAUUUAGAGUACUUCAGUCGGUUAGUGACCAAUACCAAGUCACAAAAAGCACAAAACAAAAGAAAAAUGCAUCUGGCUUUAUGAAUUUAAACAUCUAAGAACGAGAAAAAAGACAAACAGAAACGUUCACAAGAAAAAAGAUAAAGAUAUGUAACAAGAGACUUAUACUGACAAGAAGGAGCAUGCAGUAGUAGGUGGAGAGACCAGCGAUCAUGACGCCAAGACAUCCAGCAAGCCAACCGGCAACACGGAAAGCAAAAGGCAGUCCCAAAACGCCAGUCCCAACUAUUGAUACAAUUAUAUUCCCCAGCGUUUGAGCCGCUGAAGCUGUUCCCGUUACUCUUCCUGAUGAUUUUGGCAGCAAAGGGUUUUCAAUUUCAUUGCUCAUGUGAUUCUCACCACCUUCUUCUCGUCUCAUCUUUUUUUUUGGUCGGGGGGGAGAAUUCGCUGGUGUUGCUGAAAUGCAAGCUGGUUUUGGUUUUAUUUUAUUUUAUCUUUUUUUUUGGCUAAAUUUUGUCCCAUCCUUUUUUCGGAGAGGGUUUUGCUGGUGCUGCUGAAAUGCAAGCUGGUUUUGGUUUUAUUUUAUUUUUAUUUUAUCAUUUUCAGCUAAAUUUUGAUUGUGGGCUGGGCUUUGUUUGAUGUGGGAGUUGUCGGCUUGUGGCGGCACAUGGAAACGACAGAAGUUCGCGCUGGUCUGUGACCGAUGCCAGUGCCACGUCGAUGUGAGUGUGAGUGGAGUUGAAAAGGGGUAGAGCUUACAUCAAUCAACUGAACAGGAAUGUCUACGUAUCAUAUCCGGAUUGGCGUAUCACAUCGUCGUAAUCAUCAUUAUGAAUUCUGUCGUCACUUUGCGGGUAGCAGACACAGUGUUGUUCUGGUAAAGCAAAAACAAGAGAUGAAAUCACCUUUGGGAAAACGUCUUAGGUUAAAAACAAAGAAGGGGGCUUCGUUUGUGGUACAAUCUGAUAGAGGUGCAUGUGACACGUCUCUAAUGGCCGAUGGAUUUGUAAAAUGUCACGAUAAUGAGACGUAAUGGGGCUGUUCUCGCACUGUAUCUUUUCCUGUGUUAUUUACCAUUUAGAGAAAUACUUAUGGACAUUCCAGUAUACCAUAUAAUAAGAUCAUGCAUGCCAGAUUCUGGUUUCAGAUUUUGCAUUUGAUUUGUUUCGUUCGACAAAUUCUGCAAGUUCUGUAAGCCCUGAUAAAAAAUUAAACUUGUUCAUCAAAUUUCACAUAUCUACUCAAAAUACUGAAAGAAGAAAAAGGAAAAACAGAGAAGCAGCAGCCUAUGAAAGGAUCUAAGGAUAUAAAACUGCAUAAACAAGCACGCCAAAAAUAGCAAUUACAGCUACCAUUGCCAUCCAGCUUAUACAAUGUCCAUUGACGAAAUGAACACUAAAGUUAUAACCUCUUAUAAAAUUAACUGCAACAUGAGAAUUGACACUCGACUUCAAAACCCUAACUCAAGCUUGAAACAUCUAAAAUCCAAUCCAAAACUAUGAACCUGAACUGUAUAAUAAUGAACUCCAACCCAAUCCAGAACCUGAUUUGCUGUCGUGAUUUGCAGCCAUUUUUUUAUAUUUACAGAAGGCAAGUGAUUGUAUAAUACAGUGUGCAAAUACCUAUAUAAGUCGGCAGCAAGGUGGCUUCUUUUUUUUUUUCACCCCAAGGGAGAUAAAGUUUCUCCCGCAUAGUUAUUUGCCAAAUGCCUUAAUUCCUAGGAAUAUUUACAAGGCCUCAAAACAAUACGGUUGGCAAACACAUUCAAUAGCAUGCAUCAGCUUUCUCCGUGGGCCCACUGCAUCCACACCCAUAUCCUUAAGCUUCUGCAUGGUUAGAUUCACCAACUGAAGUUUAUUCACACACUUUCCCUGGAAAAGCUGAAUGAACUGUCCCAGUCCAAGUGAUGCUAGCCAUCGGCUCAAACCACCCGCUUUUCGAAGUUUCCUCUCAAGAUUUAUAGCCCUUAGCCUUUGAUUUAGCAACAUGCUCCUAUCAAGUGAACCACUGAUGCAGUGAAAAGAUCUUGGCCGCCUGAUGAUUUUUGAUGUGUCUAAUACCUCAACUAUGUUAUGUGGUUUUGUAACAUGAACUCGACCUAGAUUUUCUGGUUCCGUCCUAGAAUCUAUAAUUGGUGGCCUGGCUAUGGUUGCAAUGUACUGACGUGGAGUUCUCUUAGCAAUCUGGAAACCUCUGCUAGGAGCCAAUGAUGUAGACUUCUCUUGUUCAUCAACUAAAAUCUUCUUGGAAUGUGCCUCAUUUGAAUGCUGUGACUGUGUGUUAAGUGUUUCUGUAGGCAUAGCUUGCAGUUGACUGGGUCCCAAAUUUGGCAUAGUGGACAUAUUAGCCAAAGGCAAAGGAGGAACCAGAAUGGUGACCUUCUGUUUUUUAACUAUAACCCAACUUUCAUCUUCGUUCCACUCAGCAUUGGAGUUGUUUUCAGGCACAGCCUUCGACGGUCUUUGCUUUGGCUUGACCAUUAGUUAUAGACCUGCUUGUUAUACAUUAGGCAAUAGGCUCCAAACAUUAAAUACUGCAAUAGAAAUGCCUCUAGAAUCACAAAUAAAAUACAACCUAAAACAAAGACGUUGCUCUUCAACUAAACAGCAAUUUCAUAUGCAUACAUGUCAUGUCAACACAGAGAUACCCUGUAUCAAUGAAUCCUACUAAGUGGUUGAAGAACACCAACUAAGAAUACAUGUUACUAGCUAUAUCACUGGUCACUAUAAAAGAUUCAAACCAGCAAACUAUUCCAAUCCCACUAGAACAAUUUCCCACUAGACUACAGGCCCAAAGAACCAAAAAAACAAAAAUCACAGGAUUAGACAUUUUAGAAUGUUGAAGACUAGUGUUCAGAUGAAUUACAUGCUAAUUCGGCACAACCUCCAAACUAAUUAAAGAAUUCACUUUCGUUAUCAUUCUCAAAGGAUUCAAAACCACCUUUUAAGCAUUGUUUAUGGUACUUAUGUAAAUCACAAAAACAUGAAAAUCAAUUACAGAUAGGUUGGACAUUAGCUCGAGUGGCAGAAUAGAUACAGUAGACUCCACACCUAUGAGAUAUGUACGUCUAGAAGAAUUUAAGUAGGUGCAUUGUGCAUUUUGAAGAUAAAUAAGACAUAAAAUUAAAUGGUAAUUAUUGUUUUGGUGUGCAGUUGAAGUGGAGAAUUAACUAGACAGUUCUAUGUCUAUCAAAUUCAUUAGAUCAAGAAACCAAUAUCACCAAGGUUAUUAUCAACUAAAUAUUACGAAUUACAUUCAGUGGUACCUGUAACCUAUCAAAUGACGAAGCGUGCGUAAAGAAAAUAUUAAAUUUGAGCUACUUCAACAAAUUACUUGAGCAGUAAUACGCAUCAAAAAGAUCGAAAAGUUGUUACUCGUGCAAGAAAAGGAGAAUAAUUUAUAAUGGGGAAAAUGAAAUUUGUUCAAAAUUCAACAAAAAUUAAAUCUGAAGAAUGAAAAUUACCGAUUUACGUGCUGACGCAGAGAUACAUGAGCUGACAAAUUGGUUUAAAUCGCCACCGUUUUGAAGAAACCUAGAAAAAUUUUCUGAGUUGGAAUCUGAAGAAGACCCGGCAAUAAAAAUCGGAUCGGGUAAGAACCGAUCAUAAAGGAGAAUCGGGCUUGGGUUUUUUUAUUGAAGAGGAGAUAAGAUAUGUGCUCUAAUUUAUCCGAUAAUAUUUUCUUAAAAUUUGAAUAAAUUAGUAGUUUAGAAACCGGAUCAAUUCAGUCUGUCUUAUCUCUUAUUAUCUUCGACCAUUAAUAUUGAUAUAUAUUCUUUUAGUAGAUGUGCAAUCUCCCCAAUUCUUAGUUGAUAUAAUCUUAGUUGAUAUAAUAUUGAUAUAAUCUUCAUCUUAGUUGUAUAUUGCUAUUUUAAUGUACAUGCGAUUAAAGACUACGAAUGAUGAAGCACAAGAGGUUAGCUUAGCAUUGAAUAUAAACAAUAACAUCACACAACACUCCACCAAAAAAAAAAAAAAAAAUCAAGUGGAUUAUCAUUCAAAAAUAAUUUUACUAUUUUAUGAUUGUAAUGUAUAAAAUAAUCAUAUUGUCCGAUAAAAAGAAGUAGAUACUAGGUACAAUUUCUAAAUGAGUGGACUUAUUUGAAUUCACAAAAAAAAAUUUCUAUGUCCAUUAAUUUAUAAUAAAUUUUAUUUCUUAAAUAACCUAUUAAAAUAUACCUUUGAGGACUUUUUUUUUUUUUUGAAAUUGCACAAAAAUUCUACAUAAACUAUAGCUUUCUAAUCCUUCUUAUAAUUUGGUAAAAAAAAAAAUCAAUUUAGAAUAAAAAUUUUCAUUCUACCAUUUAGAACUUUACUGAAAAUAUAUGGAGAUUCUUUUACAAAUUGGCAUAUUAAUACGGAUUGGACUUUAAUUAACCCAAAGUUCGCUACUGGGCUGAAAGAAGAUAGAAAGAGAGGGAUUAAUUGUGGAAUGUAAUUAUUAUAUUUUUUAAAAUUGAUUUCACUUGAAUCGCAUUAUUUCAAGGAAUAAUUGGUCAAACCCCGUUCCAAUAUCUCUAAGUCAAUAAAUUAAUCUCCAAAUACUUGCUUUAAUUGGUCAAACCAUUAUUAAUGACUUUUGCCUUAGUGGGAGACUUCUUGCACUUACAAUAUUGAGAAUAAGAGUUCGAGUCUCCAUAAAAGCAUUAUGAGGGUUAAUUUCAAUCUUUCUUCAAUUAUUAAAUAAUUGAGUAGAGAUAAUCUCUCUCUCACAAAAUGUGAAUGAAAUGGACACCUCUUGAAUAUUAGAGAGGAUUUAAAGAAUCUGAAUAGCUCUUCAAAGGAGUACAUGCCAAGAGGAGAUAUCAAUUAUAUAAUAUGUUUGUAAAUAUUAAUUGUAAUAUAUAUUAUAAAACCUUCAAAUAUUAAAUAGAAUUUACAGAAUUUAGGCAACGUUUCAGAGGAGUACAUGGCAAUAGAAUGUCUCAGUUGUAUAAUUUAUUUGUAAAUAUUAAUUGUAAUAUUUAUUGUAAUAUCAGUGACAAUCAUGUAUAACAGUAUUAAAAAAGAAUGGUCAAACCGUUUAGCGUUGUAUAAGAAAAAGGAAAGGAAAGAAGUAGAGAAAACGAAGGGAAGAAGAAGACUAAUUGUUGACUUGCUGGUAAUUGUAAAAAAUGUACGAUUAUUUUUAGAUUUUAUGAGGAUUUAUAAGGCAAGACAUUAUUUUUUAAAUUUAUAUUACGAAUUUAUAAAAAAAAAUGGGUGUGGAAAGAAAUAUUAUGUGUUACCAUUUUCUGACCUCAUCAAAAGCUUUACAAAAAAGUAUAUAUCAUAUAUUUGUACUUAUUUAAAGUCAAUAAAUAAGAAAUAUAUAUGUAUAGUUCUUUUAAAAAAAAUCAAUAAAUAAAAGGUAAUGAAAACACAAAUUACAACCACACACGUAAAAUGAUAAAUAAUAAAAAAUAUAUUAUAACUUUGAUCAUGUGACUAUAAAGGCGUACUCUAUCUUAUAGUGGUUCCAACAUAACCGGACCCUAAAUAAAAUUAUUAGAAAACAUGCUUUCCAAAUAAGAAGAGAAAAUGAGAAAUAGGAAGUCACCAAAAUUAACGAAAAACAAGCAAGAUCACUACACGUGCCAUGCAUGCCGCUGCAGCCGCAUGCCACACAAUCGUGUGCGUGUAUAUUUCAGCCCAGACAUGCGAUGACUUAGCCGCUUGCGUUUCAAACAUAUAAUCAACCAAAAACAAACAACAAACAAAAUCUCCUUUUUAUUUCACAGGAAUUUCCCAGAUCCUCCUUACUCCACACUUUGUCUCUCUCUACUGGUAAUUGCUUUUUCUUUAUAUUUAGCAAAAUAUUUCAUGUUAUUAAUUUGUUGGGAGAUUCACUAUUACAAACACCUACGUGUUGUCCACGUUUUAAAUUUUGUGUUAGAAUUACUAUUACGUUUAGAUUAUUAACUUGUAUCAGUUUCUUCUUCGAACCUCGCCCACACAGAUGACAGAAGGGUGUUUCAAUUUAUAUUUAAUGCAAUAAUUCAAAUGUAAUAGAAGUUAGGAUUUCAACUUUGGUUCAAGUUUGUGACCUAACGUGCGUGUAUAUCUGCUACUUCUUAUGGGAAUUCAAGGAAAUUUCGAUCAGUUUAUAGAGUAUAGGUGUCCAACAAAAUAUAUGGAUCCACUUGGAGGCCAAUGUAGUUUGUUUACUACUUUACUUUGGUUCAAAAUAGCAGAUAUAAUUUGUGUCAUAGUGGUGCAUAGGAGCAUGUUAAGAGAUUUCACAUUUUAUAUCAAGGGCUUGAGUUUCCGUCUGUUGGCGUCUAUAACAUUACAUGUAUGUACAUUGGCAGAGUCGGCUAGUUAAUGGGGAAUGUUUGUUAGUUUAAAAUUUGGGUCUGAGAAAGGUUUUUGGGUUUAUUAGUAAGCCAAUGUGUUUAUUUUUUCGAUUUUGGAUGAAAUGACAGUUUUGAUUGGUGUCUGAUGAAUAUUAUGAAAGGAUGAAGUUUGGAGAGACAUUUACAGAGUAUUUGCAUGGAGAUCAGGAGAGGUUUUUGGAUAAAUGCUCUCAUGUUGAGUAUAAGAGACUAAAGAAAGUCUUAAAGAGCUGCAGGACUUGUAAAGGACUACACGAUUCUGCUUGCAAAACGGAGCAACAAUGGGAUGAGGGAAAAGACAUCUCAGAGUCUCAAUUAUGUCAGUGCCAGUCUUCAUGCCAAUGUCAGUUCUUACUUUCGUUACAUUUUCAUUCUUGGUAAAUUAUAUAUAAUUAAUUGGUUAGGUGAUGCAACUUAUUCUAAAAAAAUUUGUUUCCUUGUAAUGUGAAAAAUACAAUGUCUAGGAAUUGUGAAAUCAGUUUAAGAAUGAAAUUUGGGAGCUUAAUAAUAUUGAUUUAAAGCUUGAACUUUAAAUUUUCUCGAUUUUGCACAUCAAUUGCUAAACUCUUAUCGGUAAUGUAAACAUUAUAUUUUCAAGUAUUAAUCAUGAAUCCUUUGUUGAUUUUCUAGUGUGUGAUCAUAUGUUCUUCUCUGAGCUGAUGAAGGAAGCAUCAGAUAUAGCUGGGUGCUUUAGUUCUCGGGCUAGACAUCUCCUCCAUCUUCAUGUUGCUAGUGGAAUGCAAAGAUAUGUGCUGCGCAUACGUCAAUGUUUCAAGAAUGAUCAGACAGCCAUGAUAGAAGAAGGAAGGGUGUUGAUUGAGUACAUAAUAAUGAAUGCAAUUGCUAUCCGUAAAAUCCUCAAGAAAUAUGAUAAAGUAAUGCAACUUUGGUCCACUUUUGCUGUCUGUUGUUGCUGAUUCAGUUCACAGUAUUUUUGUAACGCCGGUGACAGUUAUUUUACUUUGCAUAGGUGCAUAAAUCUGUAAAUGGGAAGAAUUUUAAAUCCAAAAUGAGGGCUGAACACAUAGAGCUUUUGCAAUCACCCUGGCUAAUAGAACUGGGAGCUUUUUAUUUGAAUUUCAAUGGAUUAAAUUGUGGAGCAUCCAGUGAGUUUUCAGGUCAUUUCUCCUUUGAUUUCAAUGCUUCACGACCUGUGAUGACACUGGCACUUCCAAGUUCUAUAAAGCUAGAAUAUGAUUUGACUUGUGCAGUAUGCUUGGUAAGAUCUCAUUCCAAUAAAUUCCUAGAUGAAGAAAAGAUGAGAUUUAUUAUUUAGUUUUUCAUUUGUUUGUUUCUUGUUAUGAACUGACAGGAUCUUGUUUUUAAUCCGUAUGCUUUGAGCUGUGGUCAUCUCUUUUGCAAGUUAUGUGCUUGCUCAGCUGCCUCAGUCAUGGUGUUUGAAGGCCUUAAAUCUGCCAGUCCGGAUUCAAAGUGUCCAAUCUGCAGAGAGGUUUGUGUUUGGCAUUAGAACAAUAUAUGGAAUUCAAAUUUUUUAUGUGGAAGUAACACCGGUAAAGAUUUCACCAGGCAGGUGCAAAAAAAUAGGUGUAUAGUUAAAUGUCCUCUUCUUGUGAAAACUUGUCACAUUUAUUCACAGAUUAUUCUUAUAUCGUCUAUAGGAGCUGGCUGGCAAUUAGGAUGCAAGGAGACGUGGUAACUAUUUUGACCAAAAAUUCUAAAAGAUACAUUCAACUUCAUGAUCCUCCUAUUAAUCACAGUUCACUUCAAAAAGGCUUAUUUUCGGUUAGAAUAAUAUGAACACUUUGCUUAAUAUUACUUUGCAGUCAAUUUCGUCACUCAUAUCAUAUGUUCAACUUUUGACUUCCACCGUUGACAUUGAUCAAUUGUUUGGCAGAAUUGUCUCGAUAAAAUGUAGAACUUGAGUGGUUAUUGAAUUAGCUCUCCAUCCUGUCUUUGGUUGCUCAAGGCUAUGCAGUAGCAAAUGACCAUAGUCUGAUGCUAGAGGACAUUUUAAAACAGGGGCGUAACUGCAGGCAUUCGCUGGCAAACUGCCUUUGCAGCAGUUUAGUCAUUGCUAUAGUAAUUUGUAUUCUGAAUCUGUUUCCGAAUUCCCUAUAAAACCACCUUUCUUUUCCCCUUUGCAAGCAACUGCCUUCAAUUUGUAGAGUCCUUGAGCAACUGCCUUCAAUUUUUAGACUCCUUCUCUGGUAAUAACUUGUUUUGCCUACUUUCAUUCACAUGUAAUAUGCUAUUUCUUGAUUCUAUCAGACAGUUGAAGUAAUGAAGUAGCUACCAGGUUGUUUUAUUCCUUAGGUUCGAUGUGAAAAGAAUGACAAUUCGUUAAGUUUGAUGCUCAAAAUAGAUCUUCGCUGCUGCAGUUCUUUGUCUUGCUAGGCAAGGUUUCAGAAGUAAUUGUUCCUUAGUUGUGCCUGUUUCCUUCAAACUAAUAGCACCAAAACCCCUCUGCACGGUGUGGCAAUGGGCAUGAUAAAAUCCCUUCGUUUUUAGAAGUUUUCCCUUUACAUUAGAAGGCACAUUUAGAGCAUUCUCUUGAAACUCCUGCUGUUUAAUCAAACUUGAUCAUUCUGCCUGUGAUCACAACAAUUUUUAUCUUUUAUGUUGUGCUCUUUUGAGCAUAACGUAGCAAAGAUUGGAUUAUUUGCCAUUUAACUAGGCUUCUGUUAUUGUUCUCUAUUAUGCAGGCAGGAGUAUAUGCGAAAGCAGUCCACAUGCUUGAACUAGACUUAUUGGUAAAAAGAAGGUAAAGAAACUGAAAACUCACUUCAUUCAUUAGAGACAAAUCAGACUUUUCUUAGUAAAUAUUUUCCAGGUUCAAAGAAUAUUGGAAGGAAAGAUUAAUUGCCGAACGAGCAGAGAUGGUGAAGCAAUCUAAGGAAUACUGGGAUUUACAAACCAUAUCUGCAGUUGGGUAUUGAUUUUUCAGGCUCCCUUGUUUGAGAAGAAGAGAAAUAAAUCAUUCAGUUCACUUCAAUCUCUGGUACCGGAUAGUAUGAUUUCGUUAGUUUGGUUGGCACCAGUAACAUCUGCGGUUCUGCAUCCAUUGUUGAUUAAUUUUUGGGUUAUAUGUUGGACAUUUUUAGUUCAAAUCAUAAGAUUACUGAAUGAAAUCAUGCUAAAUUGCUCUCACAAUCCAAUGUUUAGUUUGUAUUCAUUGCACUCUUGAUCAAAUAAAACCCAAAUUUAUUAUGGUUAAUUUCAUGAUUGAUAUUUAAUAACAUAAUACAAGGGCUUGGCUACCUGACUGCUUUCGUAAGGUACAACUGGGCCGAAAGGGUAAUCGGAGGUGGGCCCUAGGAGGCCUAUAACCCCUUUUCUAUAUGGGCUGUACUUUAUAGAAGGCGUAAGGUAGAAAGAGUUACGAGAUUUGUGGGCCCUACAGGAGACAAGACAUUGACACAAAUCCUCAUUUUUCAACCCCUUUGUUUUUUUUUCAAUAAAUAAAUGUUUGUCCUAUUAAAAGUGGAAAAGGUCGGGUUGGCUUUCUCCUUUUUUUCUUCGCAAAAAGUCAUUAUAAAACAAAAACAUUUGGUUCUGUAAAUUUUCAAAUUACAAUCGCAAAACAGCCUAUCAAAUAUAUUUCUUUAUUGUCUAUUCUUUAAAAGAUAAACAAUAAUAAUAUGUGCAUAAAGAAUAGCAUAAAAACAAAAAAAAAAUUAAUUCUUGUGAUAAUUUUUUUUUGUCUUUUAUAUUAUUUUUUUGUUAUUUUCGUACAAAAACACAAAACAACGAAAGUAAUCCUAAACACUCUGUUACUCUAAGCUAACCCUUUAUUUUUUUGAUUUUAUGAGGUUUUGUUGGGCUUUAAUUAUAAUUUUUUACUGGGCUCAUGUAUUUAUUUCUACCUAAUAUUAAAAAACAAAGGAAGAAAAUGUCCGUUGGCGGGUCAAAAUUUGGCAUUACACGUGCAGUGGGUUUGGUAGUUUACCCUAUUAUCUGAUUAAUAAUUACAUAAAUUCCAAAAAGAAAAAUUAAAACUAAAAGGAGAUAACAUCCUGCCCUCUAAUUUUGUCAUUUUCGCAUAAAAGGGCAUAGGUUUUCUGUUUGUAUCAAAUAGGUCCGUAACCCCUUCUCAAAUAAUGUAUUUUGACAACAAUAGAGUUUAAACUCUCUAAAUGAGAGACUGAAUGACUUAAGAGAAUAGGAGUAGACCCUCUCGAAUAACAAUAAUAUAUGAUUUUUUAUAUUUUAAAAUUACAACUCAUAUUAUAAUAUAUACUUUUUUAAAUAGAGAUUAGUGUCUAAGAUGAGUAUUUUGUGCAGCACAUGUGUGCGACACUUAAACAACUUUCAUCCAAAGUUACUAAGUAUUAAGAUUCCCAUUCUCAUUAUUUAAGCUAGAAUACAUGUAAAAGAGCAAUUAAGUCAAAAGAAAAGAGAGCUUAUAAUAUUUACAAGAGAAUAUGUGUGUACAAGUAUGUUGCAAUACAAUGAUUGAGUACUUGGAGAAUUGCUUAUAUGGAACGCUAAAUAAGUACGUGGCAAUACAAUGCUUGAGCACUUGGAGAAUUGCUUAUAUGAAAUGCUAAGUGACUAGUCUAUUAAUAAGGAGGCUUGUCACAUUCUACUAAGUUCUAAAAUAUUUCUAUUUAGAGAAUUUUCAUAGUUUAAAAAACUCUUACAUAAAAUAGAUAGAAUAUUUAUUUAUAAUUUCUUAGAGAAUUCUCGUUCUACCACAAUACCACUAUUUUAGAGAAUUCUUAUUUUAUCCAGAUAUUUAUAAGCUAAAAAAUUCUAGAGAUAGAAGUUUUUAAAUAUAAAGCCCGAGUUGCACGUCCUAAACUUAUAUAAUAAAUCUCUUAGUUCAAAAUUAAGUGAUUUGUAACACUAAAAUCUUAAUUUUAAAUGGAGAUUUGACUAGAAAAUGUAAAUAUUUAAGAAAGGAUUAAUAUUAUAUUUUUAAAUUAGUAUUCUAAACUUUACAACCUUACUAGACAUUAUGGAAUAAUUUAAAUUUUCAAUAGAAUCGACUAUUGAAAAAAACUAUGCUUUGAAUUAAAAAUUAAAAAAAAUUAGGGAUCUGGAUGUUAUUAUCGUUCAAAAAAUUUACUUCAUAUUUCAAUGAUCCAUUUUCAUUCACUAUCGGUGUUCGCAGAGGAACUCAACAAUGGCGUACUAUUCCUUUUGGCUCGCUCGUUUACGAUCAUCAUCAAAAUCCAUCCUCAGCAGUCUCCGCACUUCAAAGUUCAGUACUCAGAACACACGUACAAGAACUCUUAUCACAUUAUCCAGCGACAACAGCUCGAGAAAUGGAACCCCGUUUCAGCUGUUUUCAGCCUCUCUUCUUCCUUUAGCACUCGCUGCCUCUGCUGGGUCCCUCGCCAUGCAAUCCCAGACGCACCCUUCUCUCUGCGACUCCUCAGCUCUUGAUUCUCGGUAACUCUUUCCCGUUUUAGUUGAUUUUGUGUAUGUUUAGUUUAGGCUGGAGGUGCUGUCGCUUUUAGCUCCGAAUAAAAAUCACUAGCUAUCAAAUCAGGUAUAUGUGAAUGUGUCAGAAUGUCAGUAAUGAAUAUUAGUUGUGAGUAAAAGUGUUUGAUAAAUAGGCGCAGCAUUUUCAGUUGGUCCCACAUCAUACCCGCCCCACGUAUCACCUUUUAUGCCCUCUGGCACUAGGCUUACGAGAGGUUAUCCAACGUAAGUGGUGGUUGUGGAGACUUGAACGUGGACCUUGAAGUCCGUACUGUUCAUCUGUGAUUUCAAAAUUGAGUAGAAGUAUGGCAGUUAUUCACAAGCAUACAGUAUGUACUCGAUUUUGAUUCUGUGUUUACUUUUUCAAUUUUGUGUAAAGGGAUGUGAACAUUGGUGGUAAAGGAAGUACGGAGUAUGUGGUGAAGGGGUCACACAAGGAAAUUCCGCAGGAGCUUGUUGAUGAACUCAAGGCUAUUUGUCAAGUAUAGCUUUAUACAUAACUCAAUUUGAAUCUUUUGAUUUUUUGCUUUUUGAUGGAAAGUAAACUUAUGGGUCUGGUUAUAUUAAUUGAUCAAUAAGCUAAUUGUAGACCACAUGUAUGAUUAUGGGUCUAACGUUCGAUGUUAUUAGUUUAUAUUUUAUGUUAUCAUUCAUCACACUAUCAGUAUGACUUUGUCAUUUUACUAGCUUAAUGUUCUACUUUGGUUUAUAAUAUUACUAGUUGGAUGUCCUUUCAAUUGUCAAUAAGGAGGUUUAUUGUGCGUGAAUCCAAAUUCGCAAAAGUAUAAAAUUGUUUCAUCUGAAUUGGAGUAGGAUGAUAUGACAAUGGAUUAUGAAGAGAGGUACAUCCAUGGAAAACCACAAAACAGCUUUCACAAAGCAGUAAAUAUCCCCGAUAUCAUUGUGUUCCCCAGGUGCAAUUUCUUCUCAAUCAUCUCCUUGUGUACUGAAUUUUUUUUUCCAGCUCUUGAUAUCACAUUUGUAUUACUUUUCUUUUUUAAGUUUAUAUUUUGAAGAAGAAUACAGACUCCAUCAGACUUUAUUGACCAUUCAUAAAAGAUUAGGUUACCUGUGUCUAUUAUAAUAAUUAUUCCAUUUUGUGGCAAGAACUGAUUGCCCUGUUUCUUGAAACUAUCCAGGAUUGAGUUGUGAAUUUUCUUUUUACUUUUUGGAGAUUUAAAUCUCCUUUGUUCAACUUUUGAAUUUAAAUAGGUAACAGUAUGCUUCUGGAUACUUGCAUGUGAACACAACAUGCAUAGAAGAAAACCAAAACAUUUUAUUUUAAGAGAGAUCUCCAAAUGUUGCUAGCAGUCUAUUUCUGCAUUUCUGUUAUUGUUCUCUGAAAAAAUUUUCAACUUAUACCUUCUACAUGCAGGUCUGAAGAUGAAGUUUCCAAGAUUGUCAAGUGUUGUGAUAAACAUAAGGUUUGAGUUCUUCUUUUUCUGCAAAUUAGUGAAAAAUGCACUCUCUUUCUUAUAUGAAGUCUACAGGUUUUCUGCAAAAAUAGUGCUUAUCAUAAACAUUUUAGGUUUAAUGCUUGUGGGUCACAAGAUUCACUAUCUAAAUCUAAAGAUUUGAUUGUCAAUUUUCAAUUUGGUUUAUCUACUUUUGCUUUAGUUGAUCAUGGAAUGAUGAAAAAUGAAAAAUAUUGCCUUCAUGUAGCAAGUAUUUAUUUGGUUUGCUUUUACAUUGUGAUCAGGUCCCUAUAAUACCAUAUGGUGGGGCUACGUCAAUCGAGGGUCACACCUUAUCUCCUAAUGGAGGUGUUUGCAUUGACAUGUCUUUGAUGAAAGUAUGUAUCAAUAUCCUUUUUGUAUACAUAGUUACAUUACAUAAACUCUGAUUCAUCUAAUUGAGACAUUCUAGAUACAAAUUGCUCAAGAAUACCUCAAGUUGUGUCUCUUCCUGUAAUUUUAUAAAGUUACCCACAUGCUAAAUGGAAUUGAUCAAUGUUCUUUGUAUCUGCCUUUUUAACAGCAAUCAUACGGGUCACCUGCCAUCCCUUAUGAAAUUUUGUUGGGGUGGAAAAAUUCACAAUUUUGGUGAAUACAACUUACGUUGUGUGUAAGUUAGACAGUGCACCUGAUUUUGGGCUUCUUUUGAUUGAACGUACAUUAUGCAAUUAAAUAUCUUGGGCCUAAGCUCUUAAAAUUCAGGAAUUUGGUUGUCUUUUAUGGUUGCAUUUGUUUCUCUAAAAGACUAUCCUUCUUUUUCUUGUACUUGCUCUGCUUGUGGGGCUCAAACAGUAUAAGCUGUCCAGAGAAAUAACUAAUAUCUACCAUCCGGGGAGAUAUAUAUAUAUUUUCUAAUCUAGGAUUUUAAAGUGCGGGAAAGUCCGGGAUAUGUAUGUAUGUAUUUUUAAGUCAAAAUAGCUUCUUUAAAUUUUACUAAUGUCUACCAUCCAGAGAAUUUUAACAAAAUAGCUUCCUUUAAUUUACUCAUCUAAUUCCUCCUUUAGUAUCAUCUAGUAAUUUACUUAUGGCUUCUUGAUUAAUUGAUAUAUGGAACAUUUCUGUACUUUAUAUUUCAAUUUUGCCCAAAUGUUUGCUAUUUAUACAUAGCAAAAUUUUUGUGUUAUCUAUCAACUCUAAUCUCUAAGCCUCUUGUGUAUACAAUUAUUGUGGUUGUGGAAUUGUUCAUUUCUAAUCUUAUAAAAAUGUGUCAAAUUUAAACAUGUAUUCUGGAAAUUCUUUCAGCUGCUUAUUUAAUGUGGAUUCUUCUCACAUUGUAGAGUGUUAAAGCAUUACAUAUUGAGGACAUGGAUGUGGUUGUUGAGCCUGGGAUUGGAUGGAUGGAGCUUAAUGAAUACUUGGAGCCAUAUGGGUUAUUCUUCCCUCUUGAUCCUGGUCUGAUUCCUAACCCUUGUAAUUUUUGUCUGUAAUUUUAUUAAGGAAGAUGUAUUUGGAGACUUUGGAUUUCAUUACAGUUUUAACUCUUUCAUUCUUUCCAUCCUCCCACAACCCAAAGGGAGAAAAAAAGAAAAAAGAGUUAAAACAUUUUAAGCCGUACAAAGGUAAUGUGCCUCAUAAUGGUGUCAUGCUUUUCCACAUUUUCACUUGAAUCUCUAUUUUUCCCUGGGAAAUCUUUCGAAUUACUAUUACCACUGCUUAGCUUUCAAUUCGCCUCUGACCAUCAAAUCAAAAUCAAAUUAUUUCGUGGAUUGGAUUUCACUUGACUGUCUACGGCUUCAUUGUGAACUUACUGCCUUGUUCUGAUUCUGUCACAUCUUGUCUUGCAGGGCCUGGUGCAACCAUUGGGGGUAUGUGUGCUACCCGCUGCUCUGGUUCCUUGGCUGUGAGGUAGUUUCUCAGCCUAUUUAGCUCUAGUAACUUAUUUGUUGCUGAAAAUAUCCACAUGUGAGAUUGCUGCUGUUCGGUUAUGAAGAGAAAGACUUAGUAUGACCUUAAAGUAUUCAUGGGUGGGGGUGUAAUAUAUUCCUUCUCAACUUGUGUGAUGGACACUAGAGUUAUUUAUACCCAGUACACCUGCUUUUCUUGGUAUAUAACCUUUUACUCCUGAGAUAGUUUUGCUAUUUUGUCCCAGUAAUUCCUUUUAUCAGUUUUUUUAGUGUUUAGAUAUUAUAAAAUCUUGCAAUUUCUUAAGUUUAUCUUUAGCUUUGUACUUGGCAGCCGAACUUUCAGUUAUUCUCCUAUAUUACUUUUUGUUUCUAAUCUAAAUAAUGCAUUUUGCUGAACUGAAUUCGUUUAUUCACUAUUUACCAAUUUAUUUGUCUAAAUGAAUAACUCAUUACUAGUUGUUGAAACUAUUUUCACGGUCUGAUUUGUUGUUGGAGUUUAUGAUUUCACUCUUAGCAUGUAGGUAUGGAACUAUGCGCGACAAUGUCAUUAAUCUGAAGGUUUGUUAAUUUCCUUUUUGUUAUACAAUUUCAUUAAAUUGGGAUAUAUUUCUCAUCCUGUCAACAUCUCAGGUAGUUCUUGCCAAUGGCGAUGUUGUUAAGACAGCUUCUCGUGCUCGAAAAAGUGCUGCAGGGUUUGUUCUCUUGUCUAUUUAAAUUGUCCCAUUGGUUUUCUACUUCCAUCCUGAAAAACCAAUAUACAUGUGAUACAGAAAUAACACUUGGUGUUACAAUGGUGUUUGAGUUUUUCUAUGCAUUUAUUUAAACUUGAUCUUAUCCCUUGGUUUGCUGUCACCAGAUGCCUUUUACUACUGUUAUGACCUGGACUCACAUUUAUUUUGUGAAUCCUUAUAUAUCUUUCUUAACUAGGUCCAAGUAAUGUUAAUAUAGGUGUGUUUGUGUCUGAGAGAGAGAGUUCUGGUCCAACAUCAAUAUAUAAACCUAAAGCUUUUGUAACGUUUUGUGUGCAUGCAUGAAAGAUGUUCUCAUUCGGUUCAAAAGUGCUUUUGAUCUUUCAUAUAUAAAAGAUAAGAAGUUUUCAAUCCAUGAGGCUUAUGAGGCUUCUGUAUGUUAGGUAUGAUUUGACCCGACUGAUAAUUGGAAGUGAGGGAACCCUUGGCAUAAUAACAGAAGUCACUCUAAGGCUUCAGAAAAUUCCACAGCAUUCAGUGGUAUCUUCACCUUUCUUUCUUGAAAAGCAAUUAUGUUUUACUUGAUUUCAAAUUUCUGUCUAAAAUUUUAGUUUCCUUGUUGCUAAUGGAUGUAAGUUUAUUAUAUAUGUUUAUAUUUGUGAAUGUUUGUGUUUUGUGUUGUAUAAGAUACUAUAGAAGUUCUUUGAGAUCCUGAUAUUUACGGAACUUUUGUUUUACAAGAAACUGAUUGAUAUUUGCAGUAGCUGUCCUUCUUUACUUUUGUUCUAAUGAAAGUAUGUAUUAAAAUUCACAUCUUGUUCUUUACAUUUAAUUUUCUAUACAGAAGUUGAAAAAUGAAGGCCUUUUAUUUUGUUAUGCUUUGGAAAUAGUUCCUUUUCCUCCCUGCAAUAUUCCUUCACAAUAACCUAUAGGGUUAAAGUUAACCAGUGGGAGUAUAGGAAAAUUGGAAUGGGCUACUUUAUGUUUGGGAAAAAUAAAUCCUUGAGGAUGGGAAGCAUUUGUACUCCUUCGAUGGCAGAUGAGGAUGAUUUGCAUUUAGUCAAUGUCAAAAUUUCUCCUCUUAUCCAUCUUUGAACUGUGUAUGGGGUUGGAAUCCACCUGUUCUCCUUAUUAUUGUGUAUAGAAGAAUUUUCUUAAUUGAGUUUGAUAAUGUUGUAGGUGGCAACAUGUAACUUCCCAACUAUUAAGGAUGCAGCAGAUGUAGCUAUUGCUACUAUGCUGUCUGGCAUACAGGUGUGGCUUAAUCUGCAAACUUAGUUCACAUAUCCAAUUCCUUCAAAGUUCAUAGAUUUUAUAAUACUUAAUAGGUGUCAAGGGUGGAGCUCCUGGAUGAAGUUCAAGUGAGGGCUGUCAAUAUUGCUAAUGGGAAGAACUUGCCUGAACUUCCAACUUUGAUGUUUGAAUUUAUAGGCACUCGUGAGAUGAUAUCACUUUUCGCUUUUAACACAUUUCUUUAAUUAAUGGCCAUUUAUUUGAACUUUUUCUUCAGUAUUUUAAGAAUGUACUGUACCUCAUAUAUGUACAGAUUUCAAACUGGCAAGACAAAGCAUGAGCAAUCUCUCAUUUUAUGCUUUUUUUCCGCUCAUUAUCUAUAUCGUCAGUAGCUUCCAGCAAAAGGCGUAUUUCAAAAGUUGUCUUCAUUUUACCAGUGCUAACUUUUCUAAUAAAUUCUGUUUACACCUUCUUAGAGGCAUAUUCACAUGAGCAGACACUAAUUGUUCAGAAGAUUGUGUCUGAGCACAAUGGUACUGAUUUUAUUUUUGCGGAAGAUCCUGAAGCUAAAAAGGAACUCUGGAAGGUAGUGAAUCUGAUUUCUUCAAAAUUGUCUUCGUUCUGCUUGAAUUUUGUUUGAAAUCCGGGAUCUUAGCUCUUACAUUUAUGUUUUCUGAAUGUGUUUGAGCUUUUUUCUCCUUUUUAGGGGCUUGCCUUCUCCUUCAUUUAAAAUCUAUCAUAGUAUAAUAUUUUAAUUUCAAAUUAAUAUUCUCAAACUGUUCAUCAGCUUUCUAAUAUACAUAAAUGAUCAUUUUGUUAAUACGCUAAAACUGUAUGAGUCGAUGUAUAUUAUUUGUAUGUAAAAGUUUUAACUGUAGAUUGAUUUUUGGAUUUUAUUAAAAAAGUUCAUUUACUUAUAAGUAUUUUCCAAGGGAUUAAUUUAUUCAUUUUCAUACAUCUAUAAUUUCAAUUUUUUAUUUGGCUUAUUAUAACCUCUCCUGGAGCUUUAUUUAUUCAUUCAGAAUAGAAAAUUCAAUUUUAUUGGUUGAAAGAGACCUAGAUUUAUGGAUUCUUAACAUUUCUACUGAGUGCAUAAACAUGUCCUUACAUGGGCAUCCAUAGAACAUACAUGUAUACAUGGUAAAUAGCUAUCGAGUUGAAUGGCCUUAGCUGACGCAUUAAUCCAUAUGAGAUGUCAGAUCAUUAUUCAAAUUCUCGAACCCGUCUUGUAAUCUUGAUCUAUCUAAUCAGUUUGCUGCUCAUGCCGUGCAUGUUGGGUCUUGUUUUGUUGGCAUAAAUUGGUCUGCAUUGGUUUUCUGAGUUGUAUUUCUCUUUGCAUUGUGUGAUCUUUGGCAGAUGAGAAAGGAGGCACUCUGGGCUUGCUUUGCAAUGGAGCCGAGUUUUGAAGCAAUGAUUUCUGUGAGUAUGAUGUUAACAAACUUAUAAAUGAUAAUUUCAAAAUAUGCUGACAGUCGCACUUUUUAUUCUAAACCAUAUCUAUUUUAACAAUCUCUGGACUUGCUACUCAAGUGUGUCGAAGCUGAAUUAGGACAAACUUUACUAGAUCAAUUUUGUUACCUGUUUUUGCAGAUUUGUUGCUAGGGAUAAUAGCAUCCGAAACCCCAAAAUGCUGACAAAAUGACAAGGACAUAGUUUGCAAUUAAUUUUUCACAUGGGUCCUAGUGAGUGCUAUCAGAUUAUGUUAAGAAUACAUCAGUGAAAUCAAUAAUUUGACUGUUAUACUCUUAGGUCGUUAUUUAAUUUCAAAUACUAUGGUAGCAUCAACUCUAAGGUUGCCCAGGUUUGAGAGGACCUUACUACAUCAUUAAAAUCAAUAAUUUGACUGUUAUACUCCUGAAAUAAGCUUGUCUAUUUUCCAAUUUUUAGGGAUAUAACAGUUGAAUCCUUGAUUUUAUUGACCGCCCCCCCCCCCCAACCAACAAAACACAGUUUGAUUUUUGAUUCUUCGAUAGUCUGACGAGAGAAAAAUAACAAGAAAUUUUUUGAGAAAUGAAGCAUAUUUAGCAUUUUCUUUUAAAUCCUUCCACUCUUCUGGGAGUUAUACAGAUUAUUAAUCUCUGUUGUUUGGUCUUACACAUAAAUUUCAUAAAUUUCUUUCUUUUCCUUGAUGUUUCUGGAAAAUUGCAAAAGUCAUCUUGAUAAUUUCCAACACAUACAAUCUUAAAUUGGUGGUUAGUUAAUUUAUAAGUAUUAGUUCCUGUGUUCUUUAGUUAGUUAAUUUAUAAGUAUUAGUUCCUUUGUUCUUUAGUUACACUUUAUUUUCUCUUCCUUAUUUUGCUUGAGAGCCCUCUUUGCCAAUCUUUCUUUUGUCCAGGAUGUAUGUGUUCCUCUUUCUUGCCUGGCAGAGUUGAUAUCAAGGUCAAAGAAAGAGCUUGAUGCAUCACCACUGAUUUGGUAAUUUCAGAAUGAUUGUUUGCAGGUUAAAACAUUUUAUGUUUCUUUGUCAGCACGGGCAAGUGAACUGAUGCUUGUAUUUCUUAUGCCCUAUUUCAUACUACGCAGCACUGUAAUUGCUCAUGCCGGUGAUGGUAACUUUCACACGGUGAUACUAUUUGAUCCGAGCAAAGAAGAGGACCGCCAGGAAGCAGAACGGUUAAAUCGAUUCAUGGUCCAUACUGCCUUGUCGAUGGAAGGUACAUAUGAUAUUUGACUUUUUUUAUUAAUUGAGACUACAGGUUGUGGUGUUCAAUAUCUCCUCAUAACAUGCAGCUGUUUAGUUAGCGGAAAAGGCAUUUAGUUUAAGUAUAAUCUGUUGCGUGUCAAUGGAAAAGAUAUAGGUACUCGUACAAAUGUUACAAUGCUGAACCAAUUGCGGCGCUAAAACUGGUUUCUCUGAUUUCACUGUUGAGCAGGAACAUGUACUGGUGAGCAUGGUAUUGGGACAGGGAAAAUGAAGGUAUUUUCAAUCUUUCCUGCUAGAAUUGUGCCGCGUAUCAUGCGAGUUACUCGGAUGUGACUUUAAUAGUUAAAUAGAUUAAAAAGUCAAUUCCAUGACCAGAGUUGGUGGUGCCUACCACUGGUUUAUAUCAUCAAUAUUAGCUGUAGAUGCAUUGACUUUAUAAUGACAACUAAUUUAAUUUCACUUCGGGUGUUGAUCAAAAGUUUUAUUCUCACGAUUUACAGUCUGAGAAUAUCAAAAUCUAAAAUGUGUUGUGCACAGUUGGUGAUCAUCUCAACAUGCUGUUAAAAAUGAUGGGUUUUUCUUGAUGUUUCCAGUAUCUAGAAAAGGAGCUAGGCACUGGAGCAUUGGAGACGAUGAAAAGAAUCAAAGUAGCACUAGACCCCAACAACAUCAUGAAUCCGGGAAAGCUAAUUCCACCACAUAUUUGUUUCUAAAUAUUGUUGCGUAGAUUGGUCUCAAAGGGUUAAAGCUGCUACACGUGCUCUUUUGUGAAAGGAUUUGCAAUUCAUUGGAGGAUCCUUAGCCUGUCUGUGGCAUUUAGAGUUAUUAAUGCUGCUUACGCUCGCAAGAUUUACUUUGAUUGCAAAAGAGAAAAAAUGGGGCAAGGUAAGUGGCUAUCUUAUCAUUGAUUAGAAACAAAGAUUCCCCAUUUUGUUUAAAAUGGUUGCUUGAAAUUUGCCCUCUCAGUAUUCUAAUUGAUUGUAAUCUAUCAAUCUAUUUUCUGUUCCCUCUAUUCUGCAUUCCAAAUAAACUCUAAAUUAGAAUGGAAAAAAUCAUGUGUUGAUAAAGAGAAACAUGAGGAAUAAAUCAAAUUUACUUUCAAUAUUGAUCUUGUUCAGCUUCCUUUUCAUUUCCUUUCUUUUUCGGUGCAAUAAUAUGGCUUUGGUGAUUGUAAAUGAGAGUUUAUUUAAACGGCCUAACAAAGCUAAGCAUAAAAUCAAAUGGGCUAUUGUGCAUUCACUUCAGCUUUGAAAUGCCAAUCCUAGCUGAUGUUUUUGGUUGGUUUGGUUGUUAAUGUUGGCAUUGGGAAUUCUUCUUUUGGUCCUUCUACGAGUGCCUUUAACAUCUUGUAACAUCAUAGAUUAGAAUACAUUGCAUAAGUGCAUACUUUAAGGCCUUGUAACAGUAUCUUCAACAAAUUCAUCACUACAGUCUAGAGCGUAGCUCAUGCCUUUUGUCAGAAACUGAGAAGGCACUAAACCUAAAGGCUACUGCCUAGUGAGGCAUGAAAUGAUGGAUGAAAUGAAAAGGCACCCCACGUUUGAGCACCCAGAUUUAAAAGUGAUAAAUUUUGAUUGAGGAUGCAAACAAAGCAAGAGUUGGGACAAAUUUCAAGUCUCUGUUGAGUAUAUGUAAGAGCUUUAAAAAGUAUUUUGUUUGCUUGUAUGAGAUCUUAAAGGUUUCAAGAUUGUUCUAUUACUAGGAAUCAAUUUUUGACUCCUAAAUCUUGUUUGGAAGUAAUAAAUUCCAUUUUGUGAAAUUGUGGAAUUGAGCAUCAAUUAAAAAAGCCUAGGAAUUAGGGUUUAGUGUUGGGCCCAUUUCUUCGCUCUAGUGAUCUUACCAUUUCCUAAGAGGCAUGGCAGGCAAAACUUGAAAAUGGACACUUUCAAAUGGGGUUUCAAUGCAUUAGAUAUCAAAUCAUUUGUGGACGGUAGAAAGAUACAUUUUAGUUGACUAUUUUUUUCAUUUCUGCAACUAGUUAGUGAGGCCUCUCUCAUCUUCAAUACAAAGUUCAUUAAGUUUGGUCCUUAAAAAAAUUUGAUCACUACAACAUUACUGAUGCAGCGUGAUUUUACAAAAUAAUGCUCUGUAAUAAAAUUGAUGCAGUGAAAGGAUAAAUUGAUGCAACAAAAGAAUAAAAGAUGUAGGGUGAUAGAUAGAUAGAUAGUGAUAUUUUCAAUAUUCUAUUGAUUCUUGAGAAUACAUAAAUAAAUAAAUAAAAAGUUAAAUCCACGUUGAUUUAAAGAAUGCCCGCGAAUUUAGAGUGUUAAAAUUUGUUGAUUUCGUAAAAUAUCGAGAAAUAAUAAGAGGAGUAGAAUUCAAAGUAAAAGUUUAUUCUAAAAAAUAAUCAAUAACGAAUAAUCAAGGAGGUCUUGUAAAAAAAUAUUUAUUUAUACUAACCAUUUUAAGAUGACUCAUUUGACUAGAGAACUUAUUUUAAUAAAUAAUGACUAAACAACAAAAUUCUAAAUAAAUAAUUAAAUUAAAUUAGAAUACAAAUUAAUUAAAAUAUUCUUAAAUAUUAUAACUUUCAAUUUGAUUAGGAUUUUUUUUUUUUUUCAAUUUCUUCGGAUGAAUCACUCAUGCCAUCAUUAUUAGCAAAGCAAAUUCCCAAAACCUGGUGGGCACUGAACAGUCCAAACUCUAAAGUUUCUGCAGAUUAAGACAAAAUAAAUUAUGACUGAGGAUGAUAACAAAUUAACAAAAUGUAAGGACAAAUUCCAAGUCUCUGUCGGUUAAAUACAUGUGGUGGGAGUUUUAAUGCAUAUGCAAAAAAACUUAAAAGGUUUCAUCAAGAUUGUUGUAUUACUAGGAUUCGAUUUUUAUGCCUAAAUCUUAUCUGAAAGUGAUAGAUUCCAUUUGUGAAAUUAAUGGAUUGAUGAUGAAUUGCAUUGCAAAUGCAUGCAUUGAUUUUGGCAUUCAAUUACAAUGUUGAAUUUUCAAUGCAAUUACGCGUGAUUGUAAUAUGAAAUAAAAUCAGUGUCACUUCGUAUCUCGAUUGCGGACACAACUUUGUAGCCAUUCCCUUUGUCUGUGAUCAACAAUGAAAAAUUUUUAACUAUGGUAAUUAUAAUCUCAAAAGAUAAACUCAAAAUCAAUGUGUAAGUGUGGAGUUGAAAUUUUACCAAUUACGGCCUAACCAAAUACCGAAGAUUGAGCUCUUAUUUUCAACUAUUUUUCUAAAAUUGUAAAUGUGGAGAAUCAUGGCCAUAGCUGUGGACCAAAACUUUUUAAGAAUCAGACAUUAUUUUGUUGGUUGUCCUCCAAUUAAUUGAAAAAAGUUUUGGCAACCUCCCAAAGAACAAUUUUCUUUCGGGAGAAUCGAUUAUCGGUUGCCCACGUUUCAUAAAUUUGGUGCAUUGUUUGACCAAUUUCUUAAUGAUUUGCAAUUCUGUUACUACUUUAAGUACUCCAUUAUAAGUGUUUGAUUAAUUUCAAAGAGAAGAAAGCAACAUCUUUUUAUUAGAUUCUCAUUCUGUCGUUCACAUGCCCAUUUAAUUACUUUUGAUGUUGCCUUCAAGAAAAUAAAAAAGUUACUUUUAUUGAAUUAUGGCUCAUAGCUAGGUGCAGGAUAUAUAUAUUUAUAUAUAUUAACUUUUUAAUAUUGGAUUCUAAAUGUGGGUUAUUCGUGUCAUUAUUGUAUAUGUUAAGAAACACAAUUUGAUGUAGAGUAAUAUAAUUUUAAGGGAAAAAGAUUCCAAGAUCUCCAAGAUUUAUUAAAAUAUAUAUAAGAGACAAACUGCUCAUUAUAUCAAAUUUGCUAGCUUCUUGUCCAUUAUUAUUUUUUAAAAAAGAUUUUUAAAAGUUUCUUUUAGACAUACUGGGCGCAAUUCACUUUCAAAUUAGCCCCACAUUUAGAUGAGGGGCAACGUGUGGGAGUGUCUUGAAAAAAAUAUAUUGGCAAAUAGAACUUAAACUAUGUUUCAAAGGUUGAUCAUCUCCUCAUUGUUUACUAACCUCGCCGGCUGGCUUGUUAGUCUUUAAAUUCCUUAACUUUACGACACAUUUUCCUUGUAUUUGAUAUUAUUUCAUUUGAAGAUAUUUUUAGAUGCUUACAAAUGAUUUUUUAAUUGACAAGAUUGACUCUUAGUUUCCUAUCAUAUUUCUUAUUUUCGUCCUUAUUUUUUUCCCGAAUUACCAUCAAUACUCUAAUUUUAUAAUUUUAUCGAUUGGCUGUUUAAGAAUAAACCUAACUUUGAUUAACCUACGAAUCUUCUUACAUUUUCACAACCACUUCUCAUAAUAUUAGAUUGACAGGGAGAUUAUGAUAGUAAAAGAGCCUAAAAUAGGUCUCUUCAUUAUUUCUUUAACAUGGGGAAUAUAGUAGGCAAUCAAAAAUAAAUUAAGACCAACAAGCUUGUAGAUUAGCUGGCACAUGGCUGUUCUAAGUUAACCAAAGUUUUCGGUUCGAACCUUGGAAAUGCAGCUGCGUUAAAUACUUAUUGGGAGAACUUUGUCACCCUAAUGGUCCUACCCGGCUUGAAUCUGGAUUAGUCGAGGCCCAAUGUAAUUUUCGGAUACCAAAUGGUUUAAUACACACAAAAAAAAUUAAGGACAUAAAUGACAAAAGUGAAAAACAAUAGAGACCUAAUUAUCAUCUUUUUCCAUUAGUAAUUGGUCUACAGUAGAGAAAAAGUCCAAUCAAAUAUGCAAAAUGUAGAAUAUGUAAUAUAUCCAAUUACCCAUUUUCUUUUCUCAUUUGUGAUAAGUGAGAUCCUUCUGGAUUAAGGCUAUUCUGGUAUGUACGUAUGGCAGAAAUCAGCACUAUUGUAAGAUUGUAUAUGUAUGACAAGAAUCAAGACUAUUAUAUGCAUGUUGAAAGAUCAAGGUAAAGUUGCUGUGCAUUCCCAUUAGCAUUACCGAUGAGCUGCUCCCUCCCCCGGUUCACAGCUUCCGUGGAGCACUUGCCUGCAUGUUGAAAGAUCAAUACCAUAAUAACUAGCUAACACACACAAAUGGCAAGAAGCAGUGAAGCACAACGACAAAAUGGAGCUACAAGGAUGAUAGAGUGACCCUAAACAAUAGAAAGUAGGAUGUGUACAUGUUUGUGAAAAACCAAUAAACAACACAUCUUAGUUAACUAUUUAGAUCCACUACUCAUCUUGCCUUCUUGAGAUCCACAAAUUGGUGAUUGAUAGAAGCAAUAACAAUAAAUUAAAUACAUCUAGUUACACCAUACAUGAUACGGUGUAUGUUUUGCUAGAUUCUUAAUAAAGACAAGCAGAGCAAACGAGUAGACAAUUCAUUUCCCCCGAGUAAACCUCUAAAGUUAAGGAAAACAUCAACAUCUUUGGAACAAGAAAGACUUAAUGCCCUUACAAAAGCACCUGGCUCACCAUGUAGACCAUCACAGAGUCCAUAUAAAUUAGCAAAGCGCGUCACCCUUGUCAUGGUUGUCUCCAAAAGCGUGAGUACCGCCAAAAUUCAUUAAACAAAAUCGUUGGAAUAUUCAUCUCAAUUAUUAAUGUUUGUUCCUUCUACCAGUUCAAGAUACUUGAAUGUAUAAAAUGCUUUAUCGCAAUAAAUUCAGUCAAUAUUAUUUCCGCCGCCCUAAUUUGAGCUUCUGAUAAUUAGUUGGUAAUUUGACCGUAAUAUGAACAAUAAUGUAGACUUGGCACCAAAAAACUCCAAUCCAAUUAAACUGACAUCAUCAACCAUACUGUGGCCACCACCAACCUCAUCUAUGGUUGGUAUUCACAAUAAAAAGAUAAACACUACAAAAUUACAAAUAUACCCUCAAUCAUCAACAAUAUCUCCACCCUCACCCCUCGCUUCCUCUUUGUCUAUAUAACAGGCACGCUCCCCCUUAACUGAUUGCCACAAGAACAAAACAACUCUCUCAGCAAAACCACCAGAGAUUUUCUUUCUUUCUUAUUAUUAAUUUUUUUUUUUUUUAUUUAAAGAAAAGACAAAUGGGUUCUCUUGAUCCUCAAGUUAUUGAAGACUUGGGGAAAGGGGUCAUUCAACUACUGAGCGAUGGCACCGUACUGAGGUCCAACAAUAUAGAUUUUGAUUACCCUUUAGACAAGAAUGACGGCUCUGUCUUGAUCAAAGACUGUCAAUACGAUGAAAAACAUCAACUGCAUCUCCGUAUGUACAAACCCCCUUCAAUAAUAACAUCCUCUAGGAAGCUUCCUAUUGUCGUAUUCAUUCACGGGGGAGGCUUUUGCGUCGGCUCACGUGCAUGGCCAAGCUCUCACAACUGUUGCAUGCGCCUGGCGACCGGGCUCAACGCUCUUGUUGUUGCCCUAGACUACAGGUUGGCGCCGGAGCACCGUCUCCCGGCUGCCAUGGAAGAUGCUUUUAGCGCCAUGAAAUGGCUCCAAGAUCAGGCUCUGAGUGAGAAGGUCGUUGACGAUGAAUGGUUCCAUGAUGUUGAGUUUGACAGAGUCUUUGUGCUGGGAGAUUCCUCCGGGGGGAAUAUUGCUCAUCAUCUGGCAGUUCGGCUCGGCGGCGGCGGCGGUUUUGAAGAGUUGGCGCCUGUUAGGGUUCGAGGGUAUGUGCUGUUGGCGCCAUUCUUUGGUGGGGUGGCGAGGACCAAGUCUGAGGCAGGGCCAAGUGAGGAGCAUUUGACUCUCGCUAUACUCGACAGGUACAAUGUUUUCCCUCUCCAUUUAGUGAGCGUUAUGGAUGAAUUUGGAUCCGUUCUCAUGUAAUUAUAAUCCGAGUUAUGCAUAUCUUUAUAUAUAUAUAUAUAUAUAUAUUUUUUUUUUUUUGACGCAUACAUUUAAAACAGAGGACAGUUAAAACCAACAACAUUAGAUCUAAAUUUAUUUGAGGUUGCCGUUUUGUCAUAAAACAACAUGUUUAUUCUUUCAGAAUGAAGCCGAGGUAUAACCGUUAUAAAUUAAUUACAGAUACUCUAAUUGAAGGUUUCUGAUCAUUUUUUAAAUAACGGAAUAUUCUGUUCCUUUUUUUCAAUAUUCUAUGCAUUAUGCAGGAUUUUGCAACCGCAUGCGAAUUUGUUCUUUUUUUUUUUUUAAAUUGCGUCUUUCAUAAAUGUUUACAAACGAUGCUGUUUAGAUUUUAUAUUUUCAAAUUUAAAAAAUAUGAUUCUGGAAAUGAGAAUCGAGAAAAAGCUUUCAGAAGUAAUAUUUUCGUUGUUCAAACACUAAAUUUUAAAGCUUAAAGCAGUUGAACCACACUUUUUAUGCAUUUUUCCAUAGUUUUUCAAAUUUUAAAAUUUUUAAUUGGAACAUUUACAUAUAUAUAAUGCGAGGAAUCUCUUUUUUUUUUUUUUCUAUGCAGAAAUACUUUUAAGUCAUGCCGUUUAAGAGAGUAAGUUUUUAAUGUUAUUAAACCACAUAAUUUUAUAAUUCAUUUAAAAAUAAGUCUAUUAAACCUCACAAUUUAAGAGCGUGUUAUUAAGACACCCGCACAUAAGAAUUAUAGACACACCACGAGCAAGGCAACAGCCAUAACUUGUUUGGAUUCCCUUUUUUAAUAGAAACAAAAUACAUACCCACAAUUUAUGUGAGUCCACUAAUUUUUGGAACUCGACACAUCAAUUUUUUUCCAAAUUGUGUGAAGAUGACGUGUCCAUUUUAGUAAAAACGUUCUGGCCUUUUAUUCGUACAUGCAUAAAUGUGGUUCCACUAUAUAUACGUGAUAUCACUCUCGUGAAAAUGGCUUUCCACAUAUACGAUUCCACUAAAUAAUUAAUUUAAUUUGUGUUCUCACUUGAGACAUUUUAAUGAUUAGUUUACAUUUUCUUUAACAUUAUUCCUUGAAUUGACCUCACAUGAUCAAGAACUAAUAGAUAGACAUAUAUAGUGCUUAGCUAUUGAGUAUUUCUCUUGUAAUGAUAAUUUAUUUGAAAUAUUAUAGUUGUAUGAAGGAAAGAAAAAUUUACAGCUAUAAAAUCAUACCAAAUAAAAUAAUAAUGCAACUACAAAAUUUUAACAACUUUAUUACAUUGACAUAUUUGAAUCAUAUAAUAAUAAUAAUAAUAAUAAUAAUAAACCACUUCUCUUACGAAGGAGUUCAAGUAGUUAUAAAGAAAGUUCAUAAAACACACACACACACACACACACAUAUAUACACACAAAAAAUAAAAAAAAACUUAUAUUAUAUGAGAAAGAUUUCAAAUCCCUUGUAUAUUGGAACAACCUCUAAAUUAAAAAUCAGUUUACAAACAAAAUAUAAUUUUAAUAUAAUAAUAAUAACACAUAAUUCAAUAAUAAAUUCAUACAGGUACGUGGAAAACAACUUGUAUCAUAAAAAAAAAAAAAAAACAACGACAAAAGAAUAAUUUUAACUAUUUUUCCAUUUUUAUUCUCAUGCGUUGUGUUAAAAAUUCAUAUAACACAUCAAAAUAUUAACGUGGGGGUUCCUAUCAAUAAAAAGUAGCUUUUUGAGAAAACGCCUUCCUUUGCCUGCCUGUUACUGGGGUCACAAAUAAUCGAAGCAAUUUGUCAUUGCCUAUAAAGAAAUUGCAAAUUUGAAAUUUAUAUGAGCUAAAAAGUUGGCCACUAGAGGACAAGUUAAAUUAGCCAACUAGAAAACUAACCUGUAACCUCCAUGACCAUUUGAAAAGUCCAUGAAAGGACAUUUCUUUACUUUUGCCAAUUUGCAAUUUGAUCCCACGAAUUGGUCACCCUUUAAUCCUGCCUAAAUUCAGAAAUUAAAAUUAAACAUAAUCACAAACGCCAAAAAAGACAAAAAUAAAUAAAUAAACAAAUGAGAGUUAAGGGAGAGUUAUACAGGUCAAAUGGAAUUAAACUGAAUUAAACCACUUGGCUUUUCUUGAGUUGUUCUCUUUCUCUCCUUGAAAAAAAUCUUCCCACGUUUGUGAAACUUUUUACAAUCAUUAUCUACCUGAUAGUCUCCUUUGGCUAAUAAUUACCAAUCCUGAUGAUUAUUUCAACUUUUUUAUUCUUAAUCAACUGAUUUAAGUGUGCAACUAGGACAAUUAAAUUUCUCCAAAACUCUUAUCCACUUUAAUAAGCAGUUAUGUUGGAUUAGCUAAAGAAAUAUGGCCUGGACUAAUGAACAUCGUUCAUUUUAUAACUAUCUCAUGUUUAGCACAGAAAAAGUCUUGUGAUGAUAAACGCAAAAGUUAACUCUCUUAAUAAUCGAUAUUACUUUUAAGAUAGUGCUCAGUCCAUUAAUUUUAUUAAUAUCGACUUCCCAUCAUCACCCAAAAUCAUUUGAGAUAGUGCCUUAUCCAAAACUAUCUUCCUCUUGGUCUUAUACAAAAAAGGUGAAUCCAAUAUCUGAGUAGAUAUAACUCACAAAAAUUUUAUGACCUAUAUGAUAUUAGCGUGAUUGAAAUUCGAUUUUAAAAUCUCUUAUACUAUUUCAAAAGAUUCUACCAAUACAAUCAAUUAGUACCGGCAGAUGAUCAUUUGAUGUAGUUUUCUUAUAUAUAUUUGUUUAAUGCUUGGCAGCUUUUGGAGGCUAUCAUUACCAAUUGGAGUAACUAGAGACCAUCCAUAUGCAAACCCUUUUGGCCCCAAGAGCCCUAGCCUUGAAGCAGUAAGCCUUGAUCCGGUGUUGGUAGUUGCCGGCGAAAAGGAACUAUUGAAAGAUAGGGCUAAAGACUAUGCAAGAAAAUUAAAAGAUAUGGGGAAGAAUAUUCACUAUGUUGAGUUUGAAGGAAAAGAACACGGUUUCUUUAAUAAUAAGCCAUCCUCAAAAGCUGGCAAUGAAUUCCUUCAAAUCGUCGGAAAUUUCAUGUCCGAAAACUCAGCCUAGUCCUGACAAUCAAUCUUUCUUGAUUAUUAUAUAUAAUCAUAUAUAGCUGCCUGGAGUUGCAUGCAUGGAUUAGUGAUCUCUAUUAUUAUGAGUGUUAAGUUUAAUUCGUAUGCUUAGUUCGUUUUUAGAAAUAUUUUGAAGUUGUGUUAGCUUUAAGUGUAUUUGGAUCAUGGACGAUGAAUGUACUAUCUUAGUUUCUAUUCUCUCUUUUAUAAUGUGACUUAAAAAAAAAAAUCAUCGACUUAUUGAGGUUCACUGUAAUUAAUUAUUUCUUUUGGUAAGUGAUGUCCUGUAUUUGGCCUUGAAAAGACAAUUUGCAUGAGGCAUUAGGGCAUUAUUAUCACUUCAAUAAUUGUAGAUUAGACACCAUAAUCUAAGGCUGCAAUUUUAAGUAGGUUUUUUUGUGGCUUAGCAUUUAUGGAAAUUAGUGCGUAAGCACUUAGAUUAUUUAAGCUGGCAAGUAACUAAAUUAAUUUGUUUCUAUAAAUUAAAAACAUAGAGCAUUUGGUGUCAUAGUGUGAUUCUUGCUUAGGGUGCCAGAGGUCCCGAGUGCAAUUCCCGGAAUGCCCCCAAAUUAUUAUCAAUCAACGAGUCAACGACCUAACUUUUGGUUUAGUUUCUGUACAAUAUUCUCGUUAAUAUGCUGUUUGUGGUUGUUAAUUCAAAAUUAUAUAUAAGUCCGUAUAUGGACUAUGGACUGAGCAUAUAUAUAUAUAUAGGUUUCUUUGACAGUGAAAAAGUUUGUAUAAAAAUAAUAUUUCAAAAAUAAAUGAACAAAGAAAAAGUUGUAAAAUAUUGUUGCUGAAUCAUUCAAACAGAAUCCCAAGGGUCGCAGAAAAAAAGUCCUGCUUUAAUGGUUGUGAGUAAUGUUUAAAGGGGUAUUCUUCAUGGAUGACGAUAAUCUUUAAAGGGGUAUUCUGUUAUGACCUCAUAACUUGAAAUUUUGGUUAAUUUUAAAAUUUUUGGAAUUUUAUUAUCAUUUAUCAUUUAAGGAGAAACUUUAGGGUAUAUCGUCAUUAUAUUGCCUCAUCCCGUAUAACAAACAGUCCAAUAAAUUUCUUUAAUCGGAUAUUUAUGAGUUCACAUUAAUGUUUUUUUUUUUUUUUUCUCCAAAGAGAUAAAAUUUCUAUUCUUAAAAUCAAACCCUAGUUUGAAUUGCCUCGCCCAGUACUUAUACACAGCACAUAAAAACCCUACUCUAAUUUUUCUUUCUCCAUAUUUUUUUUCCCUCACUCAGCGAACUUUAAAUAGGUAACACUCAAUUUUCUCAAACCCUAAUGCUGUUUCAAUUUCUUAUUCUCAAAUCAUUUUGAUUAUGAGUUUGUGAAUAGGUAAGAAUGGCCACGGCGUCGACGGCGAAGGCAACUUCAGCGACAGCAGCGCCAAAACAGGCCCAUCAGGAUUCAUCUCAGCCGCAUUAUGAUGUAAAGCUAUUUAAUAGAUGGACUUUCGAGGAUGUUAGCGUUAAGUUUCCACAUUUUUUUUUCUUUUUUACAUUACCGCUUCAUUUUUCUUUAAUACUAUGAUCUUUAUAUAUAUAAUAACAUACAGUGAGGUUUUUGUUAUGAUUAUACUUUAGAGAUGUCUGAUUUUUUUUUUUUUUUUUGGGUACGUGUAGAUCUUUGGAUUCAGAUUCAGAUUUAAUCUGCAAAGUAUCCCCUAAAACUUGAGAGGAAAUAUUCUAAUAAACUUAUGUUGAUUGAAUUUUUUUUCAAUAUGAAUUUUUUUAAAUUAACCUCUCUUAGUUGUGAAAGACUUGAAUCUGGAACAAAUUUUUAAGAUAUGUGAGGGUGCAUGAAGGAUUUAUAAAUGAAUGAAUGAAAGUGUCAUUGAAUUUUGUUUAUCCCGAUCUGCCACGCUAAAAUCUAGAUAGAAUCCAAUAAUAAUAUUUAAAAUGAAUGUUAACAUUCUCGAUGCAGACCACCCAUCAACUCUCUUUAUUAAGAGUUAUAGCACAAAUUUUAUCAUUCAACAACUCUCUCUGUACACAAAAUUUGUCGAUUAAUAAUUUAUACUUUUAAAUUAUUUGAUUUUGACUUUUUGUAAAUCUCAGUGAUUUUGAUUUUUUUGUAAAUCUCAAUCUAUAGGUGAGCGACAUGUCCUUGAAUGAUUACAUUGGAGUCCAAGCACCAAAGAAUGCAACCUAUGUACCUCACACAGCUGGGAGGUACUCAGUGAAGCGGUUUAGGAAGGCACAGUGCCCAAUUGUUGAGAGGCUCACAAACUCACUGAUGAUGCAUGGACGAAACAAUGGCAAGAAAUUGAUGGCCGUCAGGAUUGUCAAGCACGCCAUGGAAAUCAUUCACCUUUUGACUGACCAGAACCCAAUUCAAGUCAUUGUUGAUGCUGUCAUCAACAG